This 156617-nucleotide long non-coding RNA is filed under the name Triticum aestivum (bread wheat). Its description in RNAcentral is "long non-coding RNA (TAES_LNC017809)". The stretch from base 104787 to 104873 matches the Rfam family "MIR1120/MIR1122 microRNA precursor family". The record is from RNAcentral. Lineage: Eukaryota; Viridiplantae; Streptophyta; Magnoliopsida; Poales; Poaceae.
CUGUUUCACAUCACGAAUGUUAGUUUCACAAAUCCGCAUUUCACAUCAGAUAUAGCAGUUUGACAUAUCUACAUAUCUAUUUCGAUUUCGGAACAACAAGAAAUAAUGGCAUGUCACCAAAAUAGUAAAGUUAUAUGUAAACAUCUGGAUUCCAUGUAACAAUAUAUUCCGAAAACAACAAUGCUAAUUUGGCAUAGAAACAUAUGUACUUAUAUAUACAUACGAUUGUUUUUCAAAUAUGGCAAUACCAAAAUGUUUUGCAUGACAAUUUUUCUUUCUCUUGUUUCUUGCUCCUCUUGCCUUGUUCAUUUCUAGAACUUGCAAGAAUGCGAGUGAUCGAAUUAGACACCUUCAUUUCCAUCAAAUAUAACAGUUCCAUAUAUCACNNNNNNNNNNNNNNNNNNNNNNNNNNNNNNNNNNNNNNNNNNNNNNNNNNNNNNNNNNNNNNNNNNNNNNNNNNNNNNNNNNNNNNNNNNNNNNNNNNNNNNNNNNNNNNNNNNNNNNNNNNNNNNNNNNNNNNNNNNNNNNNNNNNNNNNNNNNNNNNNNNNNNNNNNNNNNNNNNNNNNNNNNNNNNNNNNNNNNNNNNNNNNNNNNNNNNNNNNNNNNNNNNNNNNNNNNNNNNNNNNNNNNNNNNNNNNNNNNNNNNNNNNNNNNNNNNNNNNNNNNNNNNNNNNNNNNNNNNNNNNNGAUCACAGAAAAGAAAAAAAGCAAUCUAAAUCACAAAAUCCAAUUGCCGCCGAGAAGACAACAUUUUCUUCAAACGAAAUGGACUUUCAGGAUGCCAAUUUAGAGGAAAUUUUAUAGCCCUCAGUGACAUGACAUGACAUGACGACAUGAGAUCAAUAUGGUUAAUUAGGAUAAGGGCAAGACAACUCUUGACUGAAAACAUUAAUCAAACACACACAAAUUCAUUGGUUACAAUCAAAUGGCUAAAAAUAAUUUGGCUGGUUUUAUUGUCUAAAAUUUAUUAUAAAUGUGUUAGUUGAUUACAGGAAAUAAGGUUAUAUAUGCCCUUUGUAGCAAAGCAUUAUGUAACACAAAUUAACGAUAUAUCUCGUAUGAUCUAUGCAUGGCCCAUGCAACAAAGUUCUACAUUUGCAUCACUCCAUUUACUUCCUUAAAUCUGUUCUAAAAAAGUAUUACAUGUUCAAGGUUUUACUAUUUUAGCUAUAUUGCCACUAAAAAUAGUCAGCCACGCUCAACAAUAGGAGCAACCUCAAUUAAACACCACAUUUCAGCCAUUUACAUUUUUACAACUAAGUUACUCUUUGAGAAGAAGAAAACUGCAACAAAGACAUGCUUAUUUGCACACAAGAAAACAUGUUAAGGCUAAGAGAGCUCACAUCAAAGUCGUCCCCUUCGACCUUCUGGACAUCAUUUCCAUGUGUCCUUCUACCCUUCCAUUUCGCACUUUAUUACUAUGCUCUUCAUUGUAUUCCAAAUAACAGAAGCGCAUCUCUGUGUUAUUUACACCUAUUGCAAAAUUGACAAUUUUACGGAGCGGCCAAAUCACCUCCCCUGCAGCGGUCUCCUCUAUGCAUUCAUCACGAGAUAUAACACAGAUAAAUAUGAUUAAUAUCUCUUCCCUUAGACUAGCCACGCUAUGACUCAGCACAAGUACUUUGAACACUACAAAUGUAGCAUCAAGCGGUACACUUCCCUUCACCAAGACUAUACUCCCCAGAAAAGGUCAUGUCCCACUACUCCAAAAAAAGGGUCAUGUUCCACCAAUCUUUCUCAGUAAAUCUGCAAGGAGGCUUCUACGUUCCACAUACACCAUCUCUGUAGUACUUAAAACACACCGGUCAACACUACUUUUAAAGCACAACAAAAAGAGGGAAAGUUCUACACAACACAUAGGUAGAAUCAUCCAAACUUCCUCAUGUCCCAUUAUCUGGAACGCCCAACAUUGUUCUGCGGCCAUAUUUUUAAUAAAAGAUACAACUCUCCACACUUCACGAUCAGCACACGGCUAACCCUAUUUAAACUCAUUAAACCCCUGCUACACGCACAAGCGUUUGGUGGCAUAACUUAACAUGUACAACCAUUGUAGACUCACAUCACAACUUUCCUUAGACAUAAAUGAACAGAUGAGCUAAGGAUUCGAAGAGCUAUCAAUUUAACAGGAGAAAAAUCAACAACAACAACAACAACAACAAAUUAUAUACUCCCCGAGGAAACGCACAAGCCCCACCCGCGCACAACAUCAUUAGUAUUUCCACCCGAGGAAACGCACAAGACCCACCCGUGGUCGCAUUCUAAUAGGAGUACAAGCCGAGAUGUAGUUUCGGCUAGAAGCAUGAGUGCCGGGAUAGAAAAACUAGAUCAAAUAAGAACAUUUGGUAGCAAGUACAGGAAAGCCUAUUUACCAAUGCAAGGAAGAACUGAACCACUGCAUGAUAAUGCAUACAUUAUUUUUCUGCUAACCUUUGCUUGCAUUGGCUCGUCUGAAUCUUCAGAAACAAACACCUGUCGGCUGGCCCAUCAUCCUCUCACAUCUGCAUCACAAGGUUCAAAAGAAAAUUCCUCGACUCGACAGAGUGGUAACAUGCCAAGGGAGAGAGAGAGAGAGAGAGAGAGAGAGAGAGAGAGCAGGUGAGGAGGGACCAAACCAACCAACCUGAGUAUGGCCGAGGAGUCAAAGAGCGUGGCCACUCGAGUAGACAAGAUCAUGGUGUCGCUCGCUCACCAACGGAGCAUCUCUCAACAUCAUGUGAUUGCCGGACACCGCAUCGGCUAGCCGGCAGCUUGAUGUACUUGUUUUGUGCUGCCUCGAGGAGAAAGGAGGAGUUGGUGGUUGGCGCUUAGUCGAUCGACACAUAGAAGGGGAGAACCGUGUGGCGCGAGAGAAAAAGGCGGGCUGGACAUAUAUAGUGUGAGAUGAGAAGAUGGUGUAGGCAGAGAGUGGGCAGGGACGCGGAGAGACGUCGGAUGAGAGGGUGAUCCGCGUGAGGAGGCGGCCACCAAUGGAUGGAACAGGAUGGAGGGAGUAAUGGAGGAAGAGGAGGAGGCGGGAGCGAUAUACUUCCUAGGGGUCUGCGUUGGUUGGUUUGGGAAGUUGUGUUUCUUAACUAAUACGUGCUCCCUCCCUUAAAUAACGCAAGUAGUAGGUAUGUAGUUUUCAUUUAUUCCUGCCUUAUUAAUUAAUUAAUAACUAUUGUCAAUGAAUCACGUCAAAUCUUGUGUUAUUCCCUAAUCCUCUCCGCCCUUGCAUCUCUUAACAAACUUGCGUAUUUGAACGCAUGGUCGAGCUGAGUAUAACAUGAAGAGUAUACAUAGGAGUAUAACAGAAAGAUGCUACGUACCUACACAGAUUCAAUUCGAAUGAUCACAUGAUCGAGCUGAGCCAUCAUCAAGACUCGUGAGGUUUGAGCUUGUCCCCAUCAAUUCGAAGUAGUAAUUUGAACAUAAUUAUUCAUUAACACGCACUACAGAUUGAUUAUCUUCAACUUGCUUGUCACAUAAUCUUCAUGCAAAAAAUAACAAAAGAGAAAAGGAUCCAAAUCCAACCCGAGGACAAGCUCAAACCUCACAAGCGAGCGACGAAGAAAACCAACCCGAGGACAAGCUCAAACCUCACAAGCGAGCGACGAAGAAAACCAACCCGAGGACAAGCUCAAACCUCACAAGCGAGCGACGAAGACAGUUUCGACACUAAAACUAGCAUCCAUCCAUGUUCGUUUGUCAAGGAGGACAAGAACAAACCCCGCAUAAAAAAGGAGGACAAGAACAAGACCCAUCCAUCCAUGAUUGUCAAAGGAGGAAAAGAACUGCCAGCCAAAUAAUCCUCUGCUUACAUACAAACACCACUCCAGUCUCUUUUUCAAGUCUAAUGGUAAAUCUGAAUGCAAGCAAGCAGUUGUUUUCCAAUAAUCAUCACACAGUUGCUUUCCACAUCAACGUACUAGAUAGACAGACAGACAGAUAGAUAGGUAUCUAUAUAUUAUUUUCAGGCACCACUUUUUAUCAUAUAAAUAAAUACUCGGUAAAUGAAUGAACGAGCUGGCAUUCAUGCAUUCCCUCAUUCAUGGAGAGUUAACCAUUUGAUUCAUUCAACCAGUCCAAUCUCUUGACAUGCACUGACCAAAAAAACAAUCCAAAUUUUACAACACUAUGUAUGUAGCAGUAGCAAUCCCUCCCUGAGACGAGACCUUUCAACAUAUAUCACCAUUCCAUCCAAUUUUUCACAACUCCCCGACGGAAAAGAAAAACACGAAAACGCCUAUCUGUUAUCUUCAAGAUUCGCUGGCCUAGGCCUCCUUGUAUUUCAACCUGUGUAGACAGCACAAGUUCUAUCUGUUGAUUGCUGAGACACGUCAAGCGAGUUCCCCCCUGCCUUCAACCAAUUGGGCCACCUCCUCGCAAGAUCUCCAAGGACUCUCUAGACCGGCAAGGCGUAUUGUAUUCGGCCAGAUCCAUUGGUGGUCGCUCACCAUCAUCCAUCCAUUCCAUGACAUGGAACCUGACAGCCAUAGGAACAAAUCAGAGCUUCAAAUCCACACACAAGUUAAAAAAUCGGUGGCCACAGCAACUUCACAAACUAAAUCUUCUCCAGUGAGUGAUAAAAAAAGAAACUAGAAAAUCUCACACAAACUGUUGUUUCAUACUAUUAUAAGGAAGACGACAAAAGCAACAUCAUCAUGCUUUGAUCAAAACCCCUUUAAAACAAGAGCAACCCUUCAGUUGUACAUAAGCUAGCAAAACUAACGACGGACAGUCGCAUAAUCCAAGUGCCGGCAGGCAUCAUCUUUGACAUGCUGGUGGUGGCAUAGCUUUGCCACAAAAGUACUGCAAGCAUCAACCUCACAAACAAAAUGUUUUCUAGUGACUGAUCCAAAGACACUAGACAAUCCAACACCAAGUGUUGGCUUAUACUACAACUAGGAGAUGGCAACAAACAAUAGCAUGCUUUGCUCAAAACCAAAAAGGAGAGGGAAAACCAAGAUGCCCAACCAUUGAGCUAGCGAAAAUGAAGAUGUACGGUCACAUACACCCAAGUAAGUGUUGGCGGUGCCACUAUGGCAUCACCUUUCAGAGGCUGGUGGCAUAGCUUCGUAAGGAAAGAAAUAUAGUGUGCAACUACUUCUACAAAGCAAUGUAUCAGGGGGUGCAGGAAACAUCAUUGGAGCUCUUAGUAUCACCUUUUUCAUCCAAAAAACACACCACGCCCCCUAAUUAGUGUUAUCCUACAAAGAAAAGAUCAUAAAAGAACCCCAGGAAAGUUAUUCUCUCUAGUUCAGUAAUUGCUUCCAAACAAAACUGAGAAGCACCACCAAAAGCCGAUUCAUGCCCCUGAGACGACCAAAUCGAAUGCCUCUACUUGCCAUGCUGCUGCAAGCAAAGAAACUAAAACCUAGAGCUAGUACAUGCUAUAUCUAAAUAGAAAUGAACAGUUAUUACAGUAAAACAACCCACUGUGUCAAUUACAGAAAAUUAACCACGAAGAGAUGACUGACUGCAAAUACAAUAACCAGAGGUCAUAGCAAGCAUCAAUUAGCACCUAGCACAAGUUAAUUGACCUUUAACAAUAUCAAUUCAAGCCAACUAAUAGAAACAGUAGCAAAACCCUGACCAUAGAACAGCAGUGGCUCGACGCCCUUGAAUAGGAGCAUGAUAUAAGCCGUGGCUUGAUGGCCACGAGCUAAGAGCAGGAAGGAGCGAGGGAGGCAGAGGAAGGAGAAAAGGAGGAACUCACCAGAUUAGUUUGUGGCUGAUGCCCUGCACAACCGCCACAGUCACGCGAUGGAGGAAGCCACCAAAGGAGGCGCAUGCACCCCAUGAUCACCAGGCGCAGGAGCACCAUCCAGGAGGCGGAUCCGUGCGUUUAAGCACGGGAGGCGACCAAGAGGAGCCGCCAAAGGACAAUCUUUUUGGGCCGGACAGAGAGACGCGGCCAGAUCUUCCGUUAGAAGUUUCGUGAGAAAUCUGGUAGCAGAAUUCAUAAGUAACUUGUUAGGUCACUAGAUAAUGGUGAGACCUUUCUAUCUCAAAGCAUAUAAAAAUGAUAUCUUUCUACGAUAAAGAGUUGAGCCUGAAGGAAUAAAAUCUGGCAAUAACUAUAGAAUUGUUCUGAAGCACGAUACAUGCAAUGUAACGCAACUUCAAUUAGAAUAUGUUCACCACUUAAUCUGAAACACACCUUGUCUUCUGGAAAUAUGAACCACGACUACUGCAGAUUCACUAAUCUGUUAUUCAAUAUUCAUAUAAGGAUAAUAAAUCGAGUAACUAGCUGAAUGCAAGCUGGGACAAAAUGUAAUAUUGAUAGAUCAAACGAAUUUAUAUCAAGUGUUCUAUCACCUAAUAAGUGCACCAGUACAUGCAAAGCUCAUCGGUACUGAACCUCCUAUAACUCAAUAAAGCAAUGGAGGUUAGGCGUGAGGGGGUCAGAGUGGAUAUGCAGGUGGGCUGAGGACCUGAGUUCUACAUCAGCAUGUCAUUUUCCACAAACAAAAAAAGCAAGCCCAGCAUGUAACCAUGAUUCUGCAAAGACAUUUUAGACGAUAGUGCUUACAUUGACAGAAGAGGAAUUGCUGGAGGAGGCAAGCGCCAUGUACAUGCAAAAAAUAGUGCAUUGUUAGCAAAGAGUCAAAGUAAUCGCUGGCCAAGUAAUCGAAGAGAUACGAAAAAGUAUAUGGGCUCACAAUCUCCCAACAGAGCAUGAGCAAGAGCUAAUGAAAUAUAGCUGGUAUAAGAAACUGUAACAUGUUGAAAUUGUUCUGCAUGCAGAAACUCACAAAAUUAAGACUUAGAAAAUCUACAGUCCUAAAGACUACAUAUCCUCUCAUUUUGUUUCAACCAUCUCAAUGCCAGUGGGAAUGAAUGCUAGACCUAGCUAUGUGCAGAAGAGAGGGGGUAAUAUCUUCAGUUCACUUGUGUCUAACAUGUCCCACGCCCCAAUCUUAAGAAGUACAUGAAUAGUCCAAACUUAUCAAACUAUAUCGCCUAAAUUUCAUUCGUAAGUGAAACUAGUUAAGAGGUGCCAGCCAAAAUUAAUUGACCACAAAAAUCAAGGAAUAAGCUGCAAAUGGGGAAUGUAAGGUUGCAUAAAGCAAUUGCAUACCCAUAAAAAAGCCGGAACAGCGACAGCUCUAACUUUAUCUUCGGAAGUGACACAAAUGCCAAGACACGGCUCCCCCACGCACGGUUCUGUCCAAAUAAACCUUAGUUUAACCCACAGCUCCACAUCGAUAUCAGAAUCUCAAACCCAGACUGGCACGACGAUUGGUACAGCACUGAACUUCAAGGAGAGGGCCAACGCCAUGCGUGCAAUGCCAGCAUAACGGAUGCCAAUUUGGUACCUGAAAUACACAAUGAAUUAGCCAAUUCUAACUUCUUUUCUCUACCGAUGGGUAAUACCAAGAUACACACAAUUCUGGCAGCAAUGUCUCCUUGAAGGAAAAAUAGCCUGAACAAGUUCAUAAGGCAGUCUGCUUCCACACCUUUAAAGCUAUCUAACAUUUCAGCAAGAUUCCAAUCAGAAUAUCCUCUUGCAUCUCCAAACUAAAGGUUUCAAGUACCACACCAUGACACUAUUUACACAAAACAGAGCACGCUUACUGGUAAAACUAAUACACCGAUAUAAAGGUCUUCUUCACACUCUAGCAGGGCCUUAGAAAAAAGGAAAUGGCAAACAAAGCAUGAGAUAUGAAUGUAACAGUAGAUCGUUAACCUUAAACAGUAGCCAAUUGAGCUAAUUAAGCUCAAACGGUACCAAAACUCUAACCCUAGAUCAUCCAUGGUUCGAUGGCCAUGAAACAGAGCAUGGUACAUCCAUGGCUGGAUGGCCAUGAGUUCAGAGCAGAAGAGAGGGAGCCAGAGAUAGGACACUGAGCCGAGAAGAACUCACCGGAGAGGUUGUAGCUGAUGCCGCACACAACCACCGCGGUAGAGGAGGUCGCCUCAAGAGGCACAGCUGUGCCAGAGACACCUCCAGGCAUGCAGCAGACCAUAAGAACCAGAUAAACCCCUCCGCAGGUCUAGUGCAACCUGCAUUACAGAAGGUAAAACAGCAAGUUAGGGAUUAAACAAAGGAAAAUAAAAGGGAAGUCAACAAGGCAUGGAUGAACCAAUGAAAGAAAUAUAAGUGCUCAGGCACAUCAACAAGUUGGGCCUACAAAUUGACAUGUCACUUAACUAUCACUGAAGCAAAGACACUGGAUUUCAUAAAAUUGAAUCAUAUCUGAGAAACAGAUUGGGCAGUAAGAAAUGUUGAUGCGAUGACCAAUCAAGUAAAACAUGACCUUGGAUUAUAGUAGGUGAGAAAAUUAGGAGAAUAACUUCUCAUUCAUUGACUUCUUUCCUUGCACAACCAACCAAAAGGUAUGAUUGAUUGUUCUUAUAUGUGAAGCAGUCCAUGCCGACGAAUGCAGAAGGAAAACUAUUUUUAUACAUGAACCGAUGCAGAUAACAUAGCAUGUUUGAAACAAAGUUAUGUUUGCUAAUAGAUGAAAAGGAGUAGGCCUUAUUAUGGUUUAUGGAGACCAUGACUUCUAAGAAAUAAAGUGGAACUCGAUAAAUUUUUAAGGAUCAAAGUCUGUUCGACAUGGCAACAUGGACCCACACAACACUAAGCAUGCCAAAAAGGGAAUACCAGGAAAUGCAGUUGCACAAGAUUAAGAAAGAACCAAGCAAUGUAGAUUUUCUUAUUUCCAGAAGCAACCCAAACAAUAGUUGCAUCAAGAGCAGCAACUGUAUGUAUGUGCAUUAGAUGAGCACUCCAGAUCUAAUUUGAGUGUCCUUUAGAUGUCGAAUCCCAAUUUCAUGCUGCGCCAUAUGUGAUGAUAACCAUGGAAAGAUUGUGUGAUUAUGUUCAUAAUCAUGCCCUUUGUGCUCACUCUUUUCAAGAUGGACUUUGUUGGUAUUCUAGAGAAUACAGUUCCAAAUCUUUGUGUUAGGAUGUCUUUGUGCUGUUAAACUUUGACUAUUCUUGAUAUUAUUGGUAACACUUGAUUUUUGGGAGUGGUGUUCAACUACAAAGAUAAUAGAGCUGCAGUAUAACAGGGCAGUGAAAUUUGAUAAAUCAUAGAAGAAACCAGCAUAAUCCUAGGUUGCAAGGUAGCAAACUAUUGCCAUAGAAAGUUGCCACCUUUUCAACAUCCGGUUUGUCCACUGUGAUCCCGCCACGGGGCGAAGAACAUGAACAUCAAGUCGGGAAACAGUCAAUGGUGAGCUAGACUAUAGGUCAACAAAAAUAAACCCUUUAUGCGCUUAAUAACUAGAUGAAUGAAUGUCAGAGCUAGAGAUCAUUAAUGUUCGUUAUCCAGGAAAUACAAAACUUUGGAUUAUUGAAUGCAUUCUGAAUUCUCACUAUACAAGGGGAUCACUUGAUUGGCCAGGUCUAAUUUACACUAUAGGGUCUUAACAAUUAUAAAUCCAACUGAAGUUCCUACAAUUUUGCCCUGUAUCAUAGAUCAAGACCACGAUUUUAACAAGAGAUAUCUAGUCAGUCCAAUUGAACAAAACAUGGACAGUAGCAUUCUGAGUAUUUAAGCGGAUAUGUAGCAGGCAAUCAACUGGAUAUAUGGAGAAGAUUAAUAAAAUGGGGCAAUCAACUGCUCAGGCGUGGGGUCCUGGUCGUCGAUGAAGAGCCCCUGCUGCCCCAAAUCAAACAAAUAAUUAGGAUAAGACCACCAAGAAUAGGAGCACUAACCAAACAGUGCCUAUCCCGUAGCAAUUUUAGGCGGCGAGCUCGGUGAGGUACAAACUGAGACGCCAUUCAAUCAGUAGCAAAACAAGCUUAUUACCUAGCAAGUACAGUAGUACGUGACCAUCCAUCAUGCGCACACGCAUCAUGCAGGACCAAUAUGAAUAUUUUGUGUAAGGGAGACAUCAAAACCUUGUUUUUGCAGGACUAAAGAGCUCUUGAAAGUUGUGAAGAUACGCAAAGAAUUAGCUAUAGUACCCAGUAGGACUAGGCAGCAUCCAGCAAGCACUGACAGGACACACAUUUUGGUAACAAAAUGGUAAGAGUAUCAUCAGGAUCAUUACUCUCCCUCUUGCUGAAGUAACAUGUUUGUUGUUUCUGCUCCAUGGCUGUCCUAAACAAAAACCCCACGAAAACCUGAAGAAGAAUAAAAAGCUAGUUAGGCGAAAACGCAGCAAACCAAGAUGGCUUGGUCUAAAAGGCUUCAACUAAAAGCUAGUAGUUAGGCUGGAAUCUAAAUGCAGCCUGUGCACAUUUGUUGCACAUGUCAAAUCAGCAAUGAAUGAAUGAGCUGCUUUUGCAGCACAGCAAGCAAAUGCAAGGAAACACUCAAUUUGGAACAGAAGGAAGCCCGGUUUUAUACAAGCAAAGAUUAAAGGUUGAAUGUUCAACGGCUCAUAUAAUAUGAUGGUAAGAAAAUGAGGGCAAUUGCGGCAUCAAACAGAUUGGCAACAAGAUUUACUCAUCUUGGGCAUGGAGAGCUCUAUGCAAAUUGAACCAAGCCAAUGGAUGAAUUUGGCCUAAGCAGGACCAACCCAAUACCAUGGCAAAAACUAGUUGCAUGCAAGCUCAGUUGAUGAAUUUGUUAAAGCUGAGAUAAAAAAACAGGGCCUGAACCAUCCGUGUGUGUGUGUACCUUUCUCUCUCUCUCUCUGAAACCAAGCAUGUAUUUAUGUAUGUACAAAGUAAACUGCAACCAAAUUAAAUGGAAUGCAAACCAGAAAAUGGAAUGCAAGAUCACAUGACAAUUGUACGGAACAUGACAAUUGUACGGAACAUGACAAUUGUACAGAACAAAAACAAAUAUAGUCAAUGCAACCUGUGUGUCAAGUUGAAGGAGAAUAUAAGACAUGAAUUGCAAUAUAUGUUUCUCACCAGAAACAAUUUAAACAAAGAAGAGAUAACUAGUCAGUCAACUGAACAAAAUGUGGACAGUAGCUUUCUGAGUAUUUAAGCAGAGAUGUAACAGGCAAUCAAAUGAAAAUAUAUGGAGAAGAAGAAUGAAAUGAGGCAAUCAACAGCUUAGGUGUGUGGUCCCGGUCGUCGAUGGAGAGCACCUGUUGCUCCAAAUCAAACAAACGAAUAUGUUUAGCCCACCAAGAAGGGGCGUACUAACCAAACAGCAGCAAUUUUAGGCGGUGAGCUAGAUGAGGUACAAACUGAGACACCAUUCAAUCAUUCGGUAGCAAAACAAGCUUAUUAGCUAGCUAGUAAAGUAGUACAUGGCUACCCAUCAUGCACACACGCAUCAUAUAGGACCAGAUAUGAAUAUUUUGUGUGAAGGAAACAUCAAAACCUUGUUUUGGCAGGACUAAAGAAUGCCUGAAUGUUGUGAAAACACACAAAGAAUUAGCUAAUAGCUAUACUAACCAGUAGGACUAGCUGGCAUCCAGCAAUCAUUGACAGGACACAUAUUUCAUUUAACAAAAUGACAAGAGUAUCAUCAGGAUCAUUACCCUCUUGCUUAAAUAGCAUGUUUGUUCUUUGUGCUUCGUGGCUGUCCUAAACAAAACCCCUUGAAAACCUGAAGAAGAAUAAAAGGCUAGUUAGGCAAAAACGCAGCAAACCAAGAUGGCUUGAUCUAAAUGGCUUCAAAUAAAAGCUAAUCAGGCUGGAAUUUAAAUGCAGGCUGUGCACAUUGAUUGCACAUGUCAAAUCAGCGGUGAUGAAUGAGCUGCUUUUGCAGCACAGCAAGCAAGUGCAAGCAAACACUCCAUGCACAACAGAAGAAAGCCUUGUUUUACAGAAGCAAAGAUUAAAGGUUGAAUGUUCAGCGGCACAUAUAAUAUGAUGGUAAGAAAAUGACGCCAAUUGUGGCAUCAAACAGUUUUGACCGCAAGAUUUUCUCAUCUUGGGCAUGAAGAGGUCUACGUAAAUUGAACCAAGCGAAUGGGUCGAUUUGGCCUAAGCAGGACCUUGGAAAUUUGUGAACGAUCUGUCCCAUAUCUUAAGCAAUGCAAAUAUCAUCUAUUAGCAUUCGAACCAAGAACUGUCAAAGAUAAAUUAGUUUUGAUCUAGUGAAAAAUUGUUAAUUAAUGAAUCCAUUCUGAUGUAAUAGCAUAAUCUGAGCAACAUUUUUGGUUGAUGAAAAAGUAUCCAUGUUCAAAAUCAUGGGCACAAGCAUCAGUGAUUAUCUGUGAAUAAUUUCAUAAGAACUAUCGAUAAUCUAAGCACCAUUGUCUUCUAAUAUUCAUCACAUACACCAGUUGGCGCUUAAAGUCUCGAAUUUGGGAAGAAGAAUAUGGAUUAAAUUCCGUCCGUGACACCCUAGUGUCAGAAUAGGAAUUACUCCUAGUUUAAUUAAGGAACGGUACAGUUGACAGCCCGUGACGCUGCAUGUGAAGGGCACAGAUUAAGUCCUACGAGGUGCAUGGCCUCUACUAUCCAUUUUAGCAUUGUCACAUAGCCACAAUAAUUGAUCGAAUCCCUGUGACAUGGACAUCUCUGAACAAAGUUUCAGUUUUCUCACGCUUGGUGCAGUAUAGAAGCAAACUGGGCAUCAAAUUUGUGAGGAAUAAAACUCACGGCUGGACGGCCUUGACAGCCAGAGCAUGAGAGAGAGGGAGAUUGGGGGCGCUCCAUGGCGUCAGAGCAGCGGCGCGCCGUGAAGAUGCACAUUGAGCGGCGUGCCGGGAAGAUGCACACGGUGGUCUGCGCGCGUGAGGAAAACGCAUCAGGGAGAGACCAAAUCGAAACCAAGAGUGGGAGGGAGGAGAAGAGGGACCUUGACGAAGAAGAGACCUUCCAUGGCUGGUGGUUGUGGAGAAGGAGACAGAGGUGGGGUCAGGUGCCGUGGUCGCUGGCUGCAGCUCGAGCAGAGGAGGAGGCGGGCCACGGCGUUCGGAGAGAGAAGGCGGCCGUCCCCCUCACUCCUACUCUCCCGGUCGGCGCGGCGCAGCUCGACGACGAAGUCGCUGGCGCAUCUGGACGUGCCAUGGCCGUCGCCUGACCUCCUCGGUCGAUCACCGUCCCUCCCUCCGUCCCUCCCUCAUGUCUUGUGANNNNNNNNNNNNNNNNNNNNNNNNNNNNNNNNNNNNNNNNNNNNNNNNNNNNNNNNNNNNNNNNNNNNNNNNNNNNNNNNNNNNNNNNNNNNNNNNNNNNNNNNNNNNNNNNNNNNNNNNNNNNNNNNNNNNNNNNNNNNNNNNNNNNNNNNNNNNNNNNNNNNNNNNNNNNNNNNNNNNNNNNNNNNNNNNNNNNNNNNNNNNNNNNNNNNNNNNNNNNNNNNNNNNNNNNNNNNNCGGCGAGGUCUGACCGAGGGAGACGGGGCGGUGGGUGGCGGCGGCAGUGUAGGUUCCUCUGUGAAUGUGAAUGGGGAUUGGGGAGCGGGCUGGGGUUGGGUGGGACUGGUUUCGUUUCCCUUUCUUUUUUUUCUCUAAGAAAAAGGAGGACUGUUUUCGUUUCGGUGAGGAGCGUCGUGAUUCUUUCUGAUUGGUGAGUGUGAUUGGUGAAUGGACAUCACACACGGAUCGAUCCUCUCUCCGGCGAAUCCCAACCACCCGACCACAUCCAACGGCAGUGGCAAACUCAUACUCCUGCGACUAGGAUUGAGAGAUUAAUUUCAGCCCGGAGAGCCCGGAAAGUGCUGUUUCCCAGGGCAUUGAGUGCUGCUCUUCCAUUGGUCGAUCAUCGUCUCUCACGCCUCGUGAAUCGAUCCUAAUCGCACGCUCGCAUCCGAUAAAAGAGAGCAAGCUGACCGAGGCACUCAAUUAAUAUUCCGUCCGGUUUUUUUACUUUGCAUAUAAGAAUUCUCUGAAGUCAAACUUCGUAAAGUUUGACCAUAUUUAUAUAAAAAAUAUUAACAUCUACGAACAAUGCUAAAUUUAUAUAAUAUGAAAACCAAAGUCAUCACGCACCUAAUGUUGUUGAUUUCACAUUCUGAAUGUUCGUAAAAUUUUCUAUAAACUUGGUCAAAGUUUACGAUGUUUGACUUCAGACAAAUCUUAUAUGCGAACUAAAAAGGACCGGAGGAAGUACAUAUCGAACAUGUGCAUCAACCGAAGCAUGCCCACAGUAAGAGGUCAUUUUCAGUGCUCCAAGGUGUACCGGUGCUAAGGGUGCCACAUAGGCAAAAAAAAAUGAUGUGGCAGAGCAAUUAAAUAUGAGAGAGUAUUAUGGUGACCCCAGAAGAAAACGAUACUAAGAGGGUGCUUGGAUCCAAGGGACUUAUUUUAGUCUGACUAAAAAUAGUCGCUUUAAGAGGCUAAAGUUCCAAGCACCCCUGACUAAAGAGGGGCUAAAACUAGUUUUGAGACUAUAAUUUUUUAGUCAGGGGUACCCCUACUAAAAUGUGGAUUAGUCCUCUCUCUCCUCAUUUAACUCCUCUCCUUUAACACAGACGAGUUCUGGAUUGGAGGGUUUGGAGGAUAAUAAAUGCUCAUUAACUUGAUUUUAGUCUCUUUAGUAUUUGGAUCCAAGCAUGGAUGAUUCCCACUACUUUUAGUCAUGAGACUAAAACGUAUCCAAGCACCCUCUAAGUGCGUGGACCUAUGCAAAAUGAGUACUCACCUUAGCACCAUUUGAUCAAUGCAUGAAGGUGUUUUGAUGUUAAAACAUUAAAUAAGGAAGGCUUAGCUACAAAUGUUAAGCACCAAUGCAUUGGGGAGAGUGGUUGCUAAGCUCUUUAAUGCAUUUAGCACCCCACCUUAGCACCAAUGCAUUGGAAGAGGCCUGAAUACUUUUGGAUGGCCUCAUGCACGCCGCCCACCACACGACCACUAAGUAUUGACACAAUAUAGUGGGUGUUAUUGAUAGGUGUCGUCGUCUCGUUUCAAAUCGGAAACAAUGUAAUAUUAUUAUCACAUGUUGAAUUUUGCAAAUAAAAUUAAAUGUUUACCCAACCUAUAACCUUGAGAUGUGGUGGAAACACAUGGUGGGAGUAAUGAACAGGAGAAAUAUGUGUUGGGGAUCGUAGCAGAAUUUUAAAAUUUUCCUACGCUCACCAAGAUCCAUCUAUGGAGUAUACUAGCAACGAGGGGAAAGGAGUGAAUCUACAUACCCUUGUAGAUCGCGAGCGGAAGCGUUCCAAUGAACGAGGUUGACGGAGUCGUACUCGCCGUGAUUCAAAUCACCGAUGACCGAGUGCCGAACGGACGGCACCUCCGCGUUCAACACACGUACGGUGCAGCAACGUCUCCUCCUUCUUGAUCCAGCAAGGGGAAGGAGAGGUUGAUGGAGAUCCAGCAGCACGACGGCGUGGUGGUGGAUGUAGCGGGAUGUCGGCAGGGCUUCGCCGAGCUUCUGAGAGAGAGAGAGGUGUUGCAGGGGAGGAGGGAGGCGCCCAAGGCUGUUGUAUUGCUGCCCUCCCUCCCCCCCCUUUAUAUAGGCCCCCUGGGAGGGGGGGCGCCGGCCAGAACCCAUCUGGAUGGGGGGGGGGGCGGCGGCCAGGGGGGGACUUGCCCCCCAAGGCAAGUGGGGCGCCCCCCCACCCUAGGGUUUCCAACCCUAGGCGCAGGGGGGAGGCCCAUGGGGGGCGCCCCAGCCCACUAGGGGCUGGUUCCCUUCCCACUUCAGCCCAUGGGCCCCUCCGGGAUAGGUGGCCCCACCCGGUGGACCCCCGGGACCCUUCCGGUGGUCCCGGUACAAUACUGGUGACCCCCGAAACUUUCCCGGUGGCCGAAACUUGACUUCCUAUAUAUAUUCUUCACCUCCGGACCAUUCCGGAACUUCUCGUGACGUCUGGGAUCUCAUCUGGGACUCCGAACAGCUUUCGGGUUUCCGCAUACUCAUAUCUCUACAACCCUAGCGUCACUGAACCUUAAGUGUGUAGACCCUACGGGUUCGGGAGACAUGCAGACAUGACCGAGACGCCUCUCCGGUAAUAACCAACAGCGGGAUCUGGAUACCCAUGUUGGCUCCCACAUGUUCCACGAUGAUCUCAUCGGAUGAACCACGAUGUCGAGGAUUCAAUCAAUCCCGUAUACAAUUCCCUUUGUCAAUCGGUAUGUUACUUGCCCGAGAUUCGAUCGUCGAUAUCCCAAUACCUUGUUCAAUCUCGUUACCGGCAAGUCUCUUUACUCGUACCGCAAUGCAUGAUCCCGUUACUAACGCCUUAGUCACAUUGAGCUCAUUAUGAUGAUGCAUUACCGAGUGGGCCCAGAGAUACCUCUCCGUCAUACGGAGUGACAAAUCCCAGUCUCGAUCCGUGCCAACCCAACAGACACUUUCGGAGAUACCCGUAAUGCACCUUUAUAGUCACCCAGUUACGUUGUGACGUUUGGCACACCCAAAGUACUCCUACGGUAUCCGGGAGUUGCACGAUCUCAUGGUCUAAGGAAAAGAUACUUGACAUUGGAAAAGCUCUAGCAAACGAAACUACACGAUCUUUUAUGUUGUGCUUAGGAUUGGGUCUUGUCCAUCACAUCAUUCUCCUAAUGAUGUGAUCCCGUUAUCAAUGACAUCCAAUGUCCAUAGUCAGGAAACCAUGACUAUUUGUUGAUCAACGAGCUAGUCAACUAGAGGCUUACUAGGGACACGUUGUGGUCUAUGUAUUCACACAUGUAUUACGAUUUCCGGAUAACACAAUUAUAGCAUGAACAAUAGACAAUUACCAUGAACAAAGAAAUAUAAUAAUAACCAUUUAUUAUUGCCUCUAGGGCAUAUUUCCAACAAUAUGGCGGGAUAUAUUGGAACGAGAAAUGAGCGGGAAACUGUGGUGGGAGAUAUUUGGCAGGAGAAAUUUGUGGGGAAAAGAGACAUGAGAUAUUAGGCGAGAGAAAACGACGAAAGAAAGGGAAGGAGAAAUGAGCGAGGAAAGAGUUAACACCAUCAUGGUAGUGUCAUGGGGCGUGAGUGCAACGGUCGACGGAUGCCCCAGCAAGAUGCCCGACACAAAAUUUGUCGUUCGUGUGUAACCAACUUUGAUGGGCACAUUGGGCGGUAGAACAUGGGAGGAGAAAUUAGCGAGAGAUGUUGACAUGACAAAUGGAUGAGAAAGCAUGGCUGAAGAUAUUUGGGUGGGAAAUAUGGUGGGUGUCAUUGGUAGGUGUCAUCGCCCCGUUUCGGCUCCAAACCAAUCACGAGGAUUCGUGACUUAAAAUAAUCUGUUGGGUUUAUGAUAUAUUAUAUAACCUUGCAUUAGGAUAAUAUUUUCAAUUUAUUUUAGUACUUGUUUCUUACUUUUCAUAACCAGAAAAAUUGUACUACUGUUAUCACAUGUUGAUUUUUUGCUUCUNNNNNNNNNNNNNNNNNNNNNNNNNNNNNNNNNNNNNNNNNNNNNNNNNNNNNNNNNNNNNNNNNNNNNNNNNNNNNNNNNNNNNNNNNNNNNNNNNNNNNNNNNNNNNNNNNNNNNNNNNNNNNNNNNNNNNNNNNNNNNNNNNNNNNNNNNNNNNNNNNNNNNNNNNNNNNNNNNNNNNNNNNNNNNNNNNNNNNNNNNNNNNNNNNNNNNNNNNNNNNNNNNNNNNNNNNNNNNNNNNNNNNNNNNNNNNNNNNNNNNNNNNNNNNNNAUAUUGGGAAGAGAAAUGAGCGUGAAAACAUGGUGGGAGAUAUUUGGCAGGAGAAAUCCGCGGUGAACAGAGGGAUAAAAGAGGCGAGAGAAAUUGAUGGAAAAAAAGUGCGGGAGAAAUGAGUGGGGAAAGACUCAACACCAUCAUGGUAGUGUCAUGGGGUGGGAGUGCAAACAUCUUCUCAUGAGAGUGGUGGUUCGCGGAUGCCCCAGCAAGAUGACUGGCGCUAAAAUGGUUGUUCGCGUGUAACCAACUUUGAUGGGCAUAUUGGGCGAAAACAUGGAGGAGAAAUGAUCAGGAGAUAUGAACGGGACAAAUGAGUGAGGAAACAUGAUUGAAGGUAUUGGGCGGGGAAAUAUGAUGGGUGUUAUUCGUAGGUGUCAUCGCCUUAUUUCGGCUCCAAACCAAUCACAAGGAUUCAUGACUUAAAAUAAACUGUGGGAUUUAUGAUAUAUUAUAUGACCUCGCACUUAGAUAAAUUUUAAAAUUUAUUUAAGUAUUCGUCUUUAUUACUUUUCAUAAACAUCAAUAAUGUAAAAUCAUUAUCACAUGUUCGAAUUUUGCAACUAAAAUGAAAAGUUUACCAACGUUUUAUCCUUAAGAUAUGACGGGAAACACAUGGCGGGAAUAAUGAGCGGGAAAAAAUACAGCGGGAUAUACUGGCAAGAGAAAUGAGCGAAAAAACAUGAUGGAAGAUGUUGGGCAGGAGAAAUCAGCGAGGGAAAGAGGCGGGAGAUAGUAGGCGAGAAAAAUCAAUGAAAAAAAAGGAUGAGAGACAUGAGCGGGAAAAGAGUCUGCAACAUCAUGACAGUAUCAUGGGUGGGAGUGCAAACAUCUUCUCAUGGGAGUGAUGGUCGCUGGAUGUUCUGGCAAGAUGCCGAACACUAAGGGCUCCUUUGAUUCAAAGGAAUUACAUAGGAUAUUUGGAGGGUUAGAAUCCUUAGGAUUUUUUCCUACGGUUGUCCUUUGAUUCAAAGGAUUGAAUCCUAUAGGAUUUUUUUCUAUGAAAUCAAGUGUACUACAUUUCAUUGGAAAUCAACCAUCCACUCCAACCUCUUUUUACAAUUCCUUUGUGUUUUCUAUGACAUCAAACCUUCUAUGCUAAUCUUAUAGGAUUCAAAUGGACAUGCCACUCAAAUCCUGUGUUUUUCCUAUUCCUACGUUCUGAAAAUCCUGUCAAAGAGGGCCUAAAAUGGUCGUUCGCGUGUAACUAGCUUUGAUGGGGCAUGUUGGGAGGUAUAACAUGGGAGGAUAGAUUAGCGGCUGAUACUGACAGGACAAAUGAGUGAGGAAACAUGGUUGAAGACAUUGGGCUGGAAAACAUGGUCUGUGUUAUUUGUAGGCGUCGUUGCCUAGUUUUGGCUCCAAACUGCUUGCCCCCUUCAUGCAAUAUUGACUCCAUACAUGUGUUUCCGCGCUUUGAUUGAUCUCCCAUGCGAUCCCACCAUCUUGUCGUUAGGAUUCAGGCAUCACGACUCCAUAUUCUAGUCGUGGACUCAUCGGCACUCGAUGACCAACAUCCAUGCCGCCCACAUCUUCCGGUCCGCGGAGCGAACACACCGUCGUCGCCGAGAGGCGGGUGACCGAAGCACGUGCCAAGAAAGGGGCAAGAAGUUAUUGUUGUUAUUUUGAUGCCUAUACAUAGCAGUCUGCAUAUAAAAUUUGAUUAAGGUCAAACUUUAUAAAAUUUGACUAAUUUUAUAUUAAAAAUAUCAACAUUCAACAAUAUGAAACCAAUAUUAGUAGAUGCAUUAUGAAAUUAAUUUUCAUACUUUAUAAUUUUAGUACGUAUUUGUAGAUGUUGAUAUUUUUUAUAUUAAUUUGGUCAAACUUUUGCUUAGUUUGACUUCAAACAAAUCUUAUACGCGAAGUAAAAAAAACUAAGGGAGUAUAUAUCAAAGAGCAUUGCGUCCAAGUUUGACUUCAAGCCCGGAAAUAGUCUUGUACGGAAAGUAAUAAAGCCCAAGAAAAAGAAAAAGAAUUACAUUAAUUAAUUAAAGAGGCUUUAUAUAGGUUGUAAAUCAGAUCUUCUUGCUACACGUGGCUUCAUCUAGCAUUUCCAGGAAAACAAAAAAGAAACAAAACGCCGUACGUAGUGGAUGCUUGUUUUUUUAAUGGUAAUACAUGUUUUAUUCAUAUCAUAAAGAACUAGUCACGUAAAAACCGAUAUGACAAAACUGAAAAGAUAGCAGAACAUCUCUGAGCUUGACACCAACGGCCGUCACCUGACCCCGGCACCACCACAGCAGCCACCGAAGAAAAGAAUGACGAAUCACCGCCUCACCCGAGCUCGACGCGGCUCCAUCGCUAAUAUGCAGCUUUGCGAACCUCCAAGAUGACUCACCAAAAAAUGAAGCCCUUGUCGUUGAAUGAAUCAGACCAGGGCAACACUCUGGACACGCCAUCGAACUCCAGAUCUGGCACCCCACCACGACUAAGACGCCGAAGGAGGAAACCACACCUGUCAUCCACGAACCACGAGCCCAGCUGAUAUUCCGUCUUUCUGAUAUCGUCGAUGCAGACCACAAUCUGCAUCCGCUCCUGGACCACUAGUACAAAACAGGGCUUUCGUCACAGGGCAAUAUUCACAUUAGUCCCGGUUCAGUCACGAACCGGGACUAAUGUGAGCAUUGGUCCCGGUUCGUGCGGCUAAGGCAUUAGUCCCGGUUCACCUGGGCCCUUUAGUCCCGGUUGGUGCCACGAACCGGGACUAAAGGGUGCGAUGCCCAUUAGUACCGGUUGGUGGCACCAACCGGNNNNNNNNNNNNNNNNNNNNNNNNNNNNNNNNNNNNNNNNNNNNNNNNNNNNNNNNNNNNNNNNNNNNNNNNNNNNNNNNNNNNNNNNNNNNNNNNNNNNNNNNNNNNNNNNNNNNNNNNNNNNNNNNNNNNNNNNNNNNNNNNNNNNNNNNNNNNNNNNNNNNNNNNNNNNNNNNNNNNNNNNNNNNNNNNNNNNNNNNNNNNNNNNNNNNNNNNNNNNNNNNNNNNNNNNNNNNNNNNNNNNNNNNNNNNNNNNNNNNNNNNNNNNNNNNNNNNNNNNNNNNNNNCGCCUUUUCGGUUUUAGAAAAAACAAAAGAAAAUGAUGGAAAUGUCAAAAAAAAAGUUUCCCAUGUGAUAUGUGGUCUAGUUGUUGGGAAAAUUAACAAAUAUGAAUUUCGACUUUAUUUGCAAAAUCUCUCUGGAAUUUCUUAAAAUGGGCAUAACUUUUGCAUACGAACUCGGAUGAAAAAGUUUUUUAUAUGAAAAAUCAUCUACUCGAAAAGUUACAUCCGAAUUUAACCGGGGGGACCCCGUUAAACAUUUUCAAAAUCCUCAAAACCUAACAGAAAAAAAGUUACGGGGCUUUUAAGAUCUGGAGAGGCAAAAAAAUGCAAAAAAAAUUCAAACUGUGGUCAAACAAUGGUCAAACUAAUUAUUCUAGAAUAUUAGUGUUACUAAAUAAUUAUUUUAGUUUUUUUAAUUUUGGUCAAAUCUGGUCAAACUGUGGUCAAACAAUGGUCAAACUAAUUAUUCCAGAAAUAUUAGUGUUACUAAAUAAUUAUUGUUUUUUAAACAAUAGUUUCAAACUCAAACAGUGAAAUAUGUCACUUCAUGCUCAAACUAAAUUCCUGAGGGUUAAUAGGAUUGACAUCUUACUAUUGUCAGGAAAACAACAUGUGCAGACUUGGAAACGAGGAAGAAUAGAACCCGGAAGUUAAGCGUGCUCAGGCUGGAGUAGUGAGAGGAUGGGUGACCGUCCGGAAAGUUAGAUGAUUUGGAAUGAUGAGGGAUGAUUAGAGAUUAGAGGAUAAAUUGAGUAGUGAUGAGGGGCGGUGAUUAGAGAUUAGAGGUUAAAAUAAUUCAAAAUUUUGAAAAUAAAAAAAAUUUAAAAAAAUCGCCAAUUUUUUUUUUUUAAAAAAUAUCAUAAAAUUUCCUUUAGUCCCGGUUGGUAACACCAACCGGCCUGUGAGAACCGGGACUAAAGGGGGAGGCAUUAGUAACGACUCUUUAGUCCCGGUUCAAAAACCGGGACUAAAGGCCCUUACCAACCGGGACAAAAGCCCCCUUUUCUACUAGUGGACUACCUCCCAAGCUCCGCGCCGACGCUGGAGCAAACGCCAUCGCAACAACGGAGCGCGAGGACACAGGUCCACCACGAGGAUGCCGCCGCCGCCACGCCAUCCUUGCUUGAAUAGACUGGUUUCCAAAUACAUCCCCAACCAUAGAACCAAUGGCCUCGUCAGGGAAGAAUCCUAAGAAUCUUUAUUCAGCGUCAUCAUCGCCGCCGCCGAAGUAAAGACGUUGAACAACCUAAAAACCUAAACUACGAGGGAGUAAAAUCGGUCCACACGCGUGGAUCCGGCGACCCCCUCACCAUCGACGACCGAGGUCGCCGACGGAGGGGAGCCGCCGGAGAACGGCGUUGGAAGAUCGGCCUCUCCUGGCAGCGGCUAGGGUUGCAGCCGCCAGGGACGAGAGAAAAACGUAUCGCUUUUUUGUAUGCUCACCACGUACUUAAUGAUGGAUCUUUUUUUUUCCCGAAAAAAAAAGAAUAACAUGACCAUCUCACUGAUCGUAUAUAUGUAUUUAUUUUCUGUUGUGUACUACGUACUGUAUUGAUCGAGACGUACUACAUGUUGUCCUGUCCUGCUGGUUCCUGGUCGGGCGUACGUCGCAGGCAGCCUAGCUCCAUCGAUCCCACGCCACCGCUACGGGCUACCCGUGCGUGGUAGUACGUUCUUCGGCUGGGACGACGCGCACGCGUCGAUCGAGUAGGCAUCUUUGACGGCGCCGUGCUCGCCGGGAGGGACGACGUACGGCUGCUUGGCAUGCACCCACGUUGCUCGACACGACGUGCACGAUGCCAAAGAUCUGCUUCCUCAGCGCCGGCGUCCCCGAGCCGGAGCAUGCAUGGCCGCCGUCCACGGCGUGGAUCGAGCACCGUUCGGCCAAACAUGCAAGUGACGAGAGACGAGAGACGAGAGAGCACACCCGUCCGGCCGGGGAGCUCGCCCGUGCCUGGGUGCCGGUCGGGGAGAGAAGACAUGGGAAGGGAACUAGCUUGGAGAAAGAUGAAAGACGUGGGCUUCGGACGGAGACGAAGACGGCGGGGGGUUGAGACUUGAGAGAGAGAGAGAUCGUACGGGCGUUGACAGGGACGGCGGGUAGGGUAUGUGAGGCUCGAGGACGCCACACGGAUCACACCGGAUGAGGCAGCUUCAGGAGCCACGGUGGAGCCACGCCGACCGGAAGCGGGGAUGACAGACGGCAAAGGGCGCGCAGUGUUCCUUGGGCGUGCGAGUAGCUAGGUGGUUAUAGAUGGAAAUCGAGGAGGAGGAGGAAAGCACCGAAAUUGGAGCGUACGUACAAAAAAGAAGAAAUGCAUGGCGACUGCGGCAAAGGGUCGCCGGAGCCAGAAUUGUGGAAGAAUAAUGGCGGACUCCUCGCUUUGUUUGUCUGCGAAGAAAAAACUCAGCUUUUUUGGUCGGCGGACGGCAGGGAUCGCUCCUGGACAUGUCCAUGCUCAGCGGCCACGCCGGUAGGACGUUGGGCGGCCUCUCCCAAAGAGGUCACCUUACCUGCUUCCUCAGCGCGGACCGCGGAGCAGGAGCAUAGCCGCUGUCCACGCCGUCGGCGUGGAGAACCAUGCAUGCAUAGCUCAGGUCAGGAUCGGAGGAGCUAGCAUUCGGCCGAACACUCUUGGUGCGUGCAGCGCAGCGCAGACAGGAGGGCGGCGGUGCUUGGUUGGUUCGAAGAGGGGUCUUCAGAAUAAGCAAUUAGUGGCGUCAACGGCGAACUGAACCAUCGCCGGAGCCGAAAUUAUGUGUUCCAGACAAAAGAAGCAGAAGAAGAAAAAAAGUCAUGUUUUUUGACGUAGGAGGUCGUCGGCGAGGUAGGAAAGAUUCCCGGCCGGCGGCGAACGUGGGCGGGCGGGAGAGGUUGGGCGAGUCGCGAAAUUGGGUGGGUGCUGGAUGGAUGGAGGAAGACGAUAGACGUACGGCGACGAAGAGGGAGAGAAAACGUGUGUGGAUUGGGCCCCACUCCCAGCGGACGCAUAUUCUUUUUUUUUCUCGAGAAUCAGCGGACGCGGGUCGUGCGUGGCACCAGUUGAUUAAUUGGUCUCGUUUUUUUUUAAUAAACAAGGAGGACACGUACGCACAUUAAUUACUCGGAUUGGACAACCGCGCUUGCAUACUCAUACUUCCAACUUUAUUGAAAAAUUAAACUGUCUCAAAGGUUGACCGAGUUUGUGCAAAAAUAUAUCAGUGUUUGUGAAACCAAAUAGGUAUAUGAUGAAAAUAUAUUUUAUCAUGAAUCUAAUGCUACUAAUUUGAUGACAUAAAUGUUGGUGCAUUAUUGUAUAAAUACGGUCAAACAUAAAAAAGUUUAACUUUCCAACAAAGUUGGAAGUACACUCUUCAAAGGACGGAGGGAGUGCACAUGUUUGCUGUUAACCGCGUUUUGGUUGGCAUCGCAGGCACGCGUCAUUGCGAGGGAGGGGGUCCUGCCCAGGGACGACACCGCUCCUGCUCACACGUUUGCUGUUUGCCGUGGCACGCACGUGCUUGCGUCUUGCGUGCGUGCGUGACGACCAUCGGAAGAACCUUCGCCGGUCACGCGGACAGGACGAGAAGAGGCCAUGCCGCGGGUCAAACAGCGCACGGCACACCAGGGAGAUCCACUCCCUUGCUACCCCCUCGCCAAUGGCCUCCUCAUCCUGAAGCACGAACAUGCGACCAUGGAGCACGUGGCUCGCCGCCUCGGAGACAUAUCUGAAGGAGUCGGGCAGCAGCUGCGACCGAUCAAUGAGCAUCUCGAGCGCAUGAGGCUCAUCGUCUAACAGCAUGAACGCUGACACGUUGCGUCCAUUUCCGGCAGCAUCGCUCUGGCGAAAUGCAUCCGCACGUCGGUCGAACCCGAGGAGGUCCUUGUGCUUGACGACAAUCCGGCCGAUGUCCUUGCACCGGCUCCUAUCGGCGCUGGUGCCGAGCACGAGCGCAUUCUGCGCCGUGCAGGUGGCCCGGAUGGCGCCGACCAAGUGGCGGUCCGUCAAGGACCACAUAUCCAGUUGGCCUAGCACCACCCAGAUGCCGUCAACCGUAUCCUGCUGGUGCUGCUCCAAGGUCGCCAAACCCGGCAAGAUGCUGUGAGUCGCGUCCUGCUGGUGUUGCUCCUUGGUCGCCAAACUUGACCUCCGCUCGCUCGACGGCAAGGCUCCCUCCAACCUCCUCAUGAAUGCAUCGACCGAAAUCAGCAGGGACAUCGCCGUCCGGGACAUCACCGCUCCCACAGGACUGUCAGUGCGCUGUGCGUAAACCUCUCGGCGCCGGAAGUAGCACAUCAGUGCAAAGAAUAUUCUGAACACAAAGAGCUUAUCAUCCGGGGCCGCCCACCCUGCUGCCAUGUAGCGAAUGAUCACGUCCGUCGCGUCUUUGGCAAUUGGUAUUAACUGCUCGAUCAACCACUCUUGAGCCAUCUUCGGCAUGCGUAGCGACGACGUCUGCUCGAACAAAGAGAGCACUGCCGCCAGCCUGUGCCUACACUUCUCGUAGAGCGGGUUGCUUCUGCCUUUGCCGGAGGCGGCGGGUAUCAACCGACAGAACUCCAACAAGAGUGGGAGAAAGCACACCUCAAGGCGAGGGAGUAUGCCGCUUAUCUCCGGAUACAGGAGGCAGAUGAUCGCCGAAUUGGCUCUUAAGUGAUGCGGCAUAGAGCCGGUGGAGUAGAGGCGGACCAGAACCCCGAUGACACCGCUGCGCAGGAGGACAUCGAGGUACUCCACGGCCGUCCCUGCUUGUCUCUCGUUGGUGGCUUUGGCGCCGGCGAGGAACUUCUUGACGAGCAGGACGAUGUCCCUGGUGUAAAGCAUCUUGGUGACAUGCUCAAAGUCGGUCCACGGUGAGCAGUUGGGGACACCGAGAUGCCGCGCCAGUGGAUCAAUUUAGACUUCGCCGUCGUGUAUGAACCUCUUGAACAACUCGGCAGUUUCGUUAGAGAUGUCUGCGUCGGUUGUUGCCUCCACGGCAAUCUGAGAUGCAAGGCUCCAUGCGUCGGGAUAUCUGGUUAAGUGCAAAGUGGCGUCGCGCGGGAGGCCGAGCUCGCCGAUUUUCGCCUUAAGGUGGAGGUUCCGACACUCGUGCACGGCGUGGAGGUCGCUUCUCCUCCUGGGUCCCAUGUCCACGAAGCGACCGAGCACCUCCCCUAAAGUGUCCUGUGGACCCGCCACGACCACGGUCAUCUUGCCGUCGAUGCUCUGUACCAUGAGCCGGAUGGCAUCAGAUGAGGAGUUUGAUUCUCGAGAGAUAGCGACGACGUCGGAAUCCAUGACUCGCAAAGUGCUUUUUACCGGAGCCGGUGGUUCCUCAACCAAUAGAAUCCUGCCAACUCAAAAGCUGUCCUGUGUUGUAUCCCUAUAUUUUACUGUUUUCUUCAUUGAAGCCACUCUAUUUAAAUAGCUGAAGCCCACCCACAUGAUUUCAGCCAUGCCACUCGCUUUAAUCAUACGAUUGGGAUAGAGGCAAGUCUCUCAUUUCACACACGUACAUGCAUGCAUUUAAAAGGAUCAACCUUUCAAUUUAAACUGGUUUGAAAUCCUGACAAAAAAUUGAUACACAUAUCAAUUUCUGUUUCGCAUUUUAAACUUCCAGUUUUAUUAACUUUGAUACACAUAUCAAUUUCUGUUUCAGUAAAUUUAACAAUGCUGAUUUGAAUUCUUUCUAUCACAUAUUUCAAUUAUUUCAACAAACUAAUUUCACUCAUUUUAGAAAAUAAUUUCAAUAGUUUCAGCAAAACUUAUUAUUUAAAAAAUGAGUGUACUACAGAAACAACAACAAAAAAAUCAAUCUUUUUAGAUUUCAAUCAUGAUUUCUGUUAUACCAAUUACACAUAUAAGAAAAAAUUGACACAAACAAUUUCAAUUUAUAUUACCAUAACUUGUUCAAUACAAAUCACACUGAUAUAACAAAUUACACAUAUAAGAAAUACCAAUUUUAUAUAUUUCAGACAAGUAAUUUCCUAUAUUGUCACAAAUAAGUGAAACUGAUUAUUCAAAUGGGUGACAUAAACAAUUUCAAUUUCUUAGAAAAAAGGUGAUUUUAGCUACUCCAAAUUCAUUUUUACUCAAAAAGAGUGAAAUCCAUUGUAGCUAAUGUGAUACAAACAAUUUCAAUUUAUAUCUCGACAACUUUUGCAAUACAUAUCACACUGAAAUAACAAAACACACACUUAGAAAAUACCAAUUUCAAAUAUUUCAGACAAGUAAUUUCAUAUAUUUUUAAUUUUAAUAAGCGAAAUAUUUCAUACACAUACCAGUUUCACUAUUUUUUUCACUUCUAAAUGAACAAAGUAUAUUUCAGUUAUUCGGGUAUCUUAUUGCACAAAAGAGUGAAACUCAUUAUUUCAAAGUACUGACAUAAACCAUUUAAAAAAAAAUGAACCCACAAGUUCUCAUUCACAUAAUGAAGAAACAACAGUUUCACAAAGAGAAACAUGCAUUCCAAUUUCUAAAAAAAAAUGCAUUUCAACAAAAAAAUUCCAAUUCCAAUUCUGUUUCACUCACGAAUGUUAGUUUCACAAAUCCGCAUUUCACAUCAGAUAUAGCAGUUUGACAUAUCUACAUAUCUAUUUCGAUUUCAGUACAACAAUAUCACAUAUAUCACACAAUCUGCUAUAGAUCUUCCCAUCGAUUUCAAUUAGACACCUUCAUUUCCAUCAAAUAUAACAGUUCAAUAUAUCACACAAGCAGGGGAGUUGUCCAUCUAGUGAAGAAGCAAGGGGGGAUCUCAAAACAUGUACCAUAAAACAAAAAUCAGGAAGUAAACACAGAGAUAAAGAUAUUAGGGGAGUUGUGCUUACUCGGGGGUGGACGCAUAUGGUCGUGGGCUUCAUGACUCACCAGAUCCGGUGGCGGUCAUUCUUGGAUUCGCCGGAUCCGGUGACGACCCUGCUCGUCGAACCGUCGUGCUAGGUGGCUGCUGUGGAGGAAUAACGCCGGAGUAGGUCUCCCCAACGCCAGCGCCCACGGCAAGGCGGGGUCAGGAGGUUAGGACCGGCGGACUUUGUCGGUCCUAGAGGAGAGGUGGCGGCGAUCUGUGGAUGUUAGAUGGUACUAGGGUUGUUCGGGCAGGGAAGGCAUCACUGGCAAAUAUAUAGUAUGGGUACUGAGUGAGAAGACCACAUGAUUUAUAUCUGAUGGCUCAAAAUAUAACUUGUUUAUGUCCACACAACAAAUAAUGGCAUGUCACCAAAAUAGUAAAGUUAUAUGUAAACAUCUGGAUUCCAUGUAACAAUAUAUUCCAAAAACAACAAUGCUAAUUUGGCAUAGAAACAUAUGUGCUUAUAUAUACAUAUGAUUUUUUUUCAAAUAUGGCAAUACCAAAAUGUUUUGCAUGACAAUUUUUCUUUCUUCUCUUGUUUGUUGCUCCUCUUGCCUUGUUCAUUUCUAGAACUUGCGAGAAUGCGACAAAUCAAGUUAGAGUUAAUGCACUUCAAUGCGACAACAACAAAGUAGAGUCUAGAGUGGCUAGUGUUCGAAUGUGUGUGGAAGAGGGAGGGGUUGCUAGUGUUCAAUAAUAACAUAGGCCCCCUCACGGGUGACAAUGUUACGACUCAGGGGGGCCUCACCAUAUAGAAAGUCGGCCUAAUAGGCCGACGUAUGGCCAUUAGGUUGGUAUAUGCCUUGGGUCGUCAUCUCGGCAUGUGGGCUCUCUAGAAGGAGGGGUCUGGAAGACUUGGCAAUCACGACAAGGAAGAUGGCUGACAGUGUGAAAUACAGUCAGAUCCCUCGGUAGGGGUCCAAGCACAACUGGAAGUCUUAGAUUGAAGGUCACACAAGGGGUUUAUCCAGGUUUGGGCCUCAGAAGAGUAAUACCCUACGUCCUGCUUGUUUGGUUAUUCAUGGUGGAGGGAUACCUCGUGCGAGAAGAUACCAAUAGUGCAGGCGGGUCCUAUACAAACUGUUUUUACCCCCUUUCCACGACGGAGUUUUAAACCGUCGCCUUGCCUGUGUGUGCGAUAGGUGGGUCCAUCCCACACGACCCAGAAAUAAUCGCCGGUAGUUCCUCCGGUCACCCACGCGGGGCAAAAAGAGCUCGUGGCGAUCGGACGAGCCAUCACAAACAAUUAUACAGAGCAAAUCAUGUGAGAUGUUCUUAGUAACCCACGCAGUGAAUCCAAAACAAACGUUUCCGUUCAUGUGUACAUCACACACAAUUUUCCGCAUCACAUCAUCUGUGAUAGCGUUGCCAUGACAGACGAUAUUCAUAAUUUUAUCGUUUGUGUUGUUGGAUGCAUCACACACGGUACCUAGAAGAAACUGUAUGGCAUAGGCUGUCCAUCACACACAGUUUUUAUGUGAAAACUUUUGUGCAAGGUGGCCUAUGAUGUGAUAGGUGGGAACCCGAUGAACGAGUUCACGCCUGAGGGUGGCCCGAUCUACAUGUCGUAGGAUCGAAUCGGGAGGGAUAACUAGCUGCAAGCAGCCGGGAGAACUAGCUUUAUACCUGCCAAGGUUGGAUGCAACCCGUACAUUGGGGAUGGCUGACCGAAGCUACAAGAACUCCAACCUGCUGUCCGAACAAUCGCAUAACCACAAACGGGGACUAACCCACACAAAAUGGCCGGAACCGUAGAGCACGAAUUAGGGGGAACCAGAGGAUCCUUCUCGCGAAUUCGGAUGAACUCGCAAGAGCAAAGGUAGCAAGGAUCUCUCGGAUCUCUCUAGCAGUCUUGCUGCAUAAGCUUGUAGCUGAAUGGCUUGACAAAAGGUUCUUUCUAGAGGAUGGGGGAGGUGGGGUUUUAUAGCAGGGACAACCCCCUUAGCUAGGUGUGAAAAUGGUUUCAAAAGUAAACAGGUUUGGAUGGCUUCCUUGGGGGAAUAAGCAGUCAACUUUGGGAGUUGUUGGAGAGCUCCUCGGAAAUUCGCGAAGCCUUGACAGCCGGGACACCUUCCACGAGAUUGGCUAGAACUUUUGACUCACAACUCCAAAUGAUGUGAGGUUUUUUUUUGCAUUGGAGAUAUAAUUUGAUGUAGCUUCUGGUGAUGUACCCCUAUGGCCCCGUCCCUCCACCACAUGGGUGUGGCAUAAUAAAACAUCAGAGGUAAAAACUAAUAGCAUCAACUUCACUUGAAAGUUGUUAUCUCCAAACUUGUUCCUCCAAACCUGUUGAGGAUAUAACCAUUAGAGUCACCCGCCCAGGAGGGGCCGGGUUACUCAUAAAGAUCAUCACAUGAAGCCCAGUACCAAGCUUGAGGAUGGCGGAUCAAUAAUGGGCUUAAGACCCGGUAGCGGCUUAAGGCCCGGAGUGAUAAACCGCCGUUAUAGCAAGACUUGUAAUGUAAGGCAAGAGUAGUUAAGAGUCCGAGCCGGAUACUGUUAUAAGCCGGCCGGGACUCUGAGAGCCGCUGGGCGUCAACCUCUCUAUAUAAAGGGACGACCCGGCGGCGGUUCAGGACGAGAGACACCAGAUUGAUAGCCAGGCAUAGCGAUUAAGCUCCCUGGUCAUCGAAACCCUAAGUAAUACCACCUCAACUGGACGUAGGCUUUUACCUUCACCGUAAGGGGCCGAACCAGUAUAAUCCUCGUGUUCCUUGUCCCGCUUAACCCCUUUAAGCUUCCUAGCUGCGAUGGCUCCACGACUAAGUCCUUGCACGAGGACAUCUGCCGUGACAAUUCCAUGACAGUUGGCGCCCACCGUGGGGCCAGCGCACGGUGUAUUUGAGUUCUUGAAGGGCAACUUCGAAGGGCUCAAGGGAUACGCUGUGGGCCGGAUGACCAAGAGUCGUCGCGGCAAGCUUUACAUCGACGAUGCAAACCGGGGCCCCGACGCCGGCUCAAUUGAGUACGGGUACCGGGUCCCCUUCGGCGGAAUCCAUGUCUUUAUUGGCAAGAUUGGUGAGCCGGGCCCUGAGCCGGACCUCUGCGCCGAUCUCAUCGAGACGGCUCAACGUGCACGACCCGCCCGGACUUUGCCUGCCUUGAAGCGUGCUUUCAUGGGAUGCGUCCAUGCAGGGCUCUUUGAAGGAUCUGGAUCUGGUGAUGAGACGGCCGCUCGCUCUGACGGCGAGUCAUCCACAGAGGAGACCGAUUCGUUAUACCAACUUCAAGAUGGCCGGCUCAGGGGUUGUUCCGAUGGCGACAGUAUUCUGGACCCCUUUGAGCCGCCGAGCCGGGUUGGAAUCUUCAUGGCUGGCGCACAACCUGUUCAAAACCCCACUGCCGGGGCAGGAAGCCCUGUGCCCUCGCCGGCUCAGGUGCUGAUGGAUCUCACAGACAAGAUGAUGGUCCUGUUAACCGCUACGGUCGCCCCGGCGGAUCAAGCUCAGCAUGACGCGAAGGUGGCACAGUUAAAGCUCGAUCUAGCAAAAGCCAAGGAGGAUCUGGCGGCGGAAGGGAUCAGGAUGGCUGCAGAGAGGGUGGCUCUCGACGCCCAGGCUCAGCGGAUUCAAGCACAGUCUUUCCGGCUCACGAUGGAUCAGAACGCGUCCAAUGAGAUCAUGAGAAGGAGGCAUCAAAAGGCUCAAUCUCGACUCCCUCCGGUUUACGAUCCUCGAAACCUCUUCAACACGCCUGGUGCAGGGCCCAGUAACCCGCCAGAGAUCGCGGCGCCCGGAGCUGGAACGCCAAUUCAGCCCCAAGUGAUGGGGCCUCCCCCGGUGAACACUACCCCGACUCGGUACAUGCCAAUACCACCGGGUCAUUAUGCCAACCCGUUGGAAAACAUGGUCGCCGCGACGGCGCGACUGGCGGCUCUCCCAAUCGAUGGUGACUCUCCAACGGCGGUCGAAACCCGCCGGGUCAGAGAGCUCCUUCAGACGGCUCUGGCGCAACAGGAGGCAUAUUCUUAUAGCCAGGACAAGAUUCAUUCAACCCCUCGUCUAGGCCGGAGCCCGAGUUAUAGCAGGCACAUGGUCUCAGCGACCGGCUCAAGCAAUGUCCGACGCCGUGACUUGCCUCCUGGCCAUGGCCCGGUUCAUAAUGGAGCCCUUAACGCGGUAGACCAAGACCGAGCACGACAAGAGGCGGAGCAGGCGGCUCAGUUGACGGCUUACCAGCCACUCCCGGCUUAUCCGACGGCUUCCAUCGACGCGGGUAUACCUACGAGGACCGGAGGUGUUCCUUGUCUGGUGCCGGCUCUCCGUAAUGAACGUCUGCCCAAGGAUUUUAAAGGGCCUAGGAAGGUACCUAAUUACACGGCUGAUUUACAGCCCGGAGCAUGGAUCGAGAGUUACGAGAUGGCUAUGGAGUUGCUGGAGGUCAGCGAAGCGGCAAUGGCCAAGUACUUCACCAUGAUGUUGGAUGGGACUGCCCGCACUUGGUUGAAAGGACUGCCACCGAAUUCUAUCGGGUCUUGGGCUGAAUUAAAGGCCCGGUUCAUCCAAAACUUCAAAGAUACCUGUAGGCAGUCUAUGUCAAUUGUGGAUUUGACUAACUGUAAGCAGCAGGAGGGUGAGUCUACAACCCAUUGGGUUCGCCGGGUCAAGGAGAUAAUACAUUCAUCUGAUAAGAUGGAUGUCGGCUCUGCAGUCUUAAUGUUAGAGCAGAAUUGUCGUUUUACGCCCCUGAAGAUGAAGCUUGGGCGGCUCAAGCGCGACUGCAAUGAUAUGGGUACGCUGAUGGCGGCUCUGGUCAAGUACGCCGACUCUGAUAGUACCAAGGAUCCCGCGUCGGACGAUGAAAGGACAGGGAAGGGAAAACGGAAUGGCAAUGGCAAGGGCCCCCAGCAUAACCCGGUGAACCAGGGAGGUAACAAGCGUAAGGCUGAUGGCAGUAUGGAGUUUGUGGCCAACACCAGUUCACAGGGUAACAACCACCGGUGUAAGGGGAGACCACCUCCACGUGCUGGCGGGUCAGGCCCGACGCUUGAGCAGUUGUUGAAUGAGCCUUGUCCAAGGCAUGGCUCUAGGGAAAAGCCGGCCACCCAUCUAUGGAAGGACUGCGCAAUCAUGAAGGCCUUUAAAAAUUCCAAUGUUUUCAAUGGCAACAGUGGCCCGGGCGGCGGCUCAGGCGCCAGCGGCUUUCAUGGCCCGGGCGGCGGUUCAAAUUCCAAUCCUCAGAAUGUUCAAGGGGGCUUUAAUCAGCAGUCCGCCCAGGGUCAUCAUCAGCAGCAGCAGGGGGGAUACCAGACUAAUCCAAAGCAGCUCAACGGCGGGCAGUAUCAUGUGUUUACUACCAGUCUGUGCAAGCGAGAGUAGAAGCUCCAUAAAAGGGCUGUGCAUGCUGUUGAGCCGGUGGUUCCACGCUAUUUAAGAUGGUCUGAGCAGCCUAUUGUGUGGGGUAGGAAAGAUCAUCCUCCACGGGUUGAUAAUCCGGGUCACCUGGCCUUGGUGGUGGCUCCUCAGGUUGGGGGAUAUAAAUUCACUAAAGUGCUCAUGGACGGAGGCAGCAGCAUCAACAUCCUCUAUUAUGAGACCUUCCGUCGUAUGGGUUUAACCGAUAAAAAUCUCAGCCAGUCCAAUACUGUUUUCCAUGGCGUGGUGCCCGGUAAGUCGGCGUAUCUAGUCGGUAAGAUCGAGCUGGAAGUGGCCUUUGGAGAUGAGUACAAUUAUAGGGCGGAAAAACUAACCUUUGAGGUGGUUAAGAUAAGGAGUCCGUACCAUGCUUUAUUUGGGCGGCCGGCUUACGCCAAGUUCAUGGCACAGCCGUGUUACGUGUAUUUGCAGCUCAAGAUGCCGGGUCACAAUGGGACCAUUACAGUUCAUGGCAGCCGAAAGAUAGCCUUGGAGUGUGAGGAAGGUGACGCGGCUUACGCUGAAUCUGUUUGUGCAACAGAGGAGUUGAAGUUUUACAAGGACAAUGUUGACCCGGCAGAUAUGGCGUCUUUGAAAAAGCCAACCACGGAGCAUGAGCCGGCAAUGAAAUUUAAGUCAGCUGAUGAGACUAAACUUGUUGACUUUGUUCCAGGUGACUCAUCUCAGCAGUUCAGCAUCAGUGCCAAUCUGGAUCCGAAAUAGGAAGGCGCGCUCAUCGAGUUCAUCCGUGAGAACAAGGACAUUUUUGCAUGGAAACCUUCUGACAUGCCAGGUGUACCUAGAGAACUCGCUGAGCACACUCUCAAUAUUGAUCCGAAAUUUAAGCCGGUCAGGCAAUUCCUUCGGCGGUUUAAUGAGGAGAGGCGGAAAGCCAUUGGUGAGGAGGUAGCCCGGCUUUUGGCGGCUGGGUUUAUUGUUGAAGUUUUUCAUCCAGAAUGGUUAGCUAACCCGGUGCUCGUGCUCAAGAAGAACGACACCUGGCGGAUGUAUGUGGACUACACGGAUUUAAACAAAGCUUGUCCGGCUGAUCCUUUUGCUCUCCCCCGUAUUGAUCAAAUUAUUGAUGCUACGGCGGGUUGUGAGCGCUUAAGUUUUUUGGAUGCUUAUUCUGGAUACCAUCAGAUUAAAAUGGCAGUUAAGGACCAGGAGAAGACGGCGUUCAUCACUCCCUUUGGAGCCUUCUGUUAUGUGUCUAUGCCUUUUGGGCUCAAGAGUGCGCAGGCGACUUACCAGCGUUGUGUGCAGAAUUGUCUUCAUAACCAGAUUGGGCGCAAUGUUCAUGCCUAUGUGGAUGAUAUCGUGGUUAAAUCCAGGGAGGAGACCCUGGUAGAUGAUCUUAGAGAAACCUUUGAUAAUCUCCGGGUUUACAAGAUGAUGCUUAACCCGGCCAAGUGUGUUUUUGGUGUUCCCGCAGGCAAGCUCUUGGGUUUUCUAGUUUCUCACAGAGGCAUUGAAGCUAACCCGGAAAAGAUCAAGGCAAUCACCUCUCUGGCUAAGCCGGCGUGCAUAAACGACAUCCAGCGUCUGGCGGGCCGCAUCUCUGCUUUGAGCCGGUUUAUAAGCCGUUUGGGUGAAAAGGCCAUGCCACUGUACCAGUUGAUGAAGAAAACAGAUGACUUUAUCUGGAAUGAUGCUGCUAAUGAUGCUUUUGAGGAUUUGAAGAGACAGCUGGCUGAGCCCCCAGUCCUUGCUGCUCUGUUGACAAGGAGCCCUUAUUGCUGUAUGUAGCCGCUAACACACGAGCCGUCAGUGUGGCUGUGGUGGUGGAGUGUAAGGAAGAGGGUAGGGAGUAUCCGGUUCAGCGGCAGGUUUACUACGUCAGUGAAGUACUCAUUGAGUCCAAACAACGGUAUCCACAUUGGCAGAAGCUUGUUUAUGGGGUAUUCAUGGCAAGCCGGAAGCUUAAGCAUUAUUUCCAGGGUCACCCUAUCACUGUGGUUAGUUCUGCUCCCCUAGGAGAUAUCAUCCAAAACAGGGAAGCCACAGGAAGAGUGGCUAAGUGGGCUAUAGAACUUGGGCCUCAUGGUCUGAAAUACGUGCCACGCACUGCUAUCAAAUCUCAAGCAUUGGUGGAUUUCAUCAACGAUUGGACAGAGCUGCAGGUGCCUGAAGAGAAACCGGAUAAUACAUACUGGACUAUUCACUUUGACGGGUCUAGGCAAUUGGAGGGCUCAGGGGCUGGAGUUGUAUUAACUUCCCCUCGAGGUGACAAGUUUUGCUAUGUGCUACGGUUGAUGUUUCCCUGUACUAAUAAUGCGGCUGAGUACGAGGCUUUGCUCCAUGGUCUUCGGAUGGCUAAGGAGAUGAGCUUGAGCCGGGUAAGGUGCUUUGGCGACUCAGAUUUAGUGGCCCAACAAGUGUCAGGCAAGUGGGAUUCCAAGGACCCUCUCAUGGCGGCUUAUCGCCGCGAAGUUGAUGCCAUUGCUGGACAUUUUCAGGGUUACCAAGUAGAGCACAUCGAUCGCAGGAAGAACGAGGCGGCUGAUGCUUUAAGUCGGCUGGGCUCUCAGCGAAAGCCGGUGCCGCCUAAUACUUUCUUGGACAUCUUGCAUAACCCUUCUGUUAAGUUGCCUACAGAGGAAGACUUGGCUGUUCCUGACUCGGAGGCACAGUUGGUGGCGGCUCUCCGCAUUACCCCAGACUAGAAAGUACCGUACUUGGCUUACAUGACCCAGGGAUAAUUGCCUGAGGAUGAAACUUUGGCCAGACAAAUAACCCGGCGGUCUAAGUCAAUGAUAAUUAUCAAUGGCGAGCUACAUCGUCGCAAUGUCACUGGAACUUUCCAGCGUUGUGUUUCACCUGAGGAAGGCCAAGAGAUUUUACGUGAGAUUCACGAGGGGGAUUGUGGCCAUCAUGCCGGUUCAAAAUCCCUUGUAGCCAAGGCUUUUCGUCAUGGUUUUUAUUGGCUGACGGCUCAUGCUGAUGCAGAGGAUUUGGUCAGUAAAUGUGACGGUUGCCAGAGGUUCUCGCGACGGGCUCAUGUGCCGGCUCAAGAAUUGAGGAUGAUUCCAAUCACUUGGCCGUUUGCGGUCUGGGGGCUUGAUAUGGUUGGGCCUUUUAAAAGAUCCAAGGAUAAGAAGACCCACCUCUUGGUGGCGGUCGACAAGUUUACAAAGUGGGUUGAAGCAGAGCCAGUUAGUAAGUGUGACGCAGCCACAACGGUUCAGUUCAUGAAGAGGGUGAUAUUUCGCUUUGGUUUUCCACACAGCAUUAUAACUGACAAUGGUACCAAUCUGUCUAAAGGUGCCAUGGAGAAGUUUUGUCAACGAGAGCAUAUUCGGCUUGAUGUUUCAUCAGUGGCUCACCCUCAAUCCAAUGGUCAAGCUGAGAGAGCCAAUCAGGAAAUCUUGAAGGGCAUCAAGCCCCGGCUUUUGGUCCCUUUGCAACGGGCGCCGAGUUGUUGGGUGGAGGAGUUACCCUCCGUGUUAUGGAGCACCAAUACUACUCCUAACAGGUCUACGGGUUACACGCCUUUCUUCAUGGUUUAUGGAGCGGAGGCGGUCCUCCCUAGCGACAUUCGUCAUGACUCGUCUCGAGUGGCGGCUUAUGUUGAGGCGGAUAAUGAGCGGGUGCGCCAAGAUGCUCUUGACUUGUUGAACGAACAGCGUGAUGUGGCAGCGGCUCGCUCGGCGAUUUACCAACAAGACCUGCGCCGCUAUCACAGCCGCCGGGUUAAGUCCAGAGUCUUCCAGGAGGGUGAUCUGGUGCUCCGGCUCAUCCAAGAUCAAACAGACGCACACAAGUUAUCCCCGCCUUGGGAAGGGCCCUUUGUGGUCAUCAAGAACUUGCACAACGGGUCAUACUACCUUAUCGAUGUUCGGGAGCACAAAGAUUCAUGUAAGUCAGAGGAAGAGACCCGUCGGCCGUGGAACAUAGCUCAGCUUCGGCCUUAUUACACUUGAGCCACCGGCUCUCAUGAUGUACAUAUUUCUAUAGCCAUGUAUAUAUUAUGAUAAAUAAUAAAGCAGGACCUCUGUCCUUUUCUCCUCCAAAGGCAAAUGUGUUAUUGUUAUUUUUAUUACAACAUUACAUGGUCACUUGGAGGUGGAUCCGGCUUAUGAUCGUAUUCGAAUCUAGCCGUUAACAAUAUGAUCACUUGGGGGCUUCCUGUUCAAACAUAGGUCAUAUUCGAACCAAAGAGAACAUAGCUGUCGAUACCCACUUGAUUGGCGAAUUGCCGAGCUCAUUGGGGAGUUUUUAUUGAUCAUAUUUGAAUCAUAGCUCAACCCCCUUUGGGAACCGACGUGGAUCGUAUUCGAAUCAGCGUCGUUAAACAACUCUCAAGGUCAUUUGGGGGCUUCCUGUUCAAACAUAGGUCGUAUUCGAACCAAAGAGAACAUAGCUGUCGGUACCCUCUUGGUCGGCAACGCCAAAGCCACUGGGGGCUAUAUGAUUGCAUUCGAAUCUUAGCUUAACCCCUUUGGGACGGUUCUCUGGUCGUAUUCGAAUCAGAAGCCCCUAAGUUUUGAUCUUUUGGUUUGCAACAAGUUCUUUUGAUCAUAUCAACAGUGUGAAAGGGCGGUUCUUACUCCGCUGGCUUAGCUUUGAUUAACAAUGUUGACAGCACACAAUAAGUAUUAUCGAUGCUGGUGAGCCGGAGUUGAGUUCUCAACCUCAUUAUUUGGGUUAUAUAAACCGGAAGUAUACUUGAAGGAUUGCAAGUAUGCUAUUAUGGUUACCUCGAGGAUAUAAUUGAGAGCCGGUAUUUUAUGAUUUUGGUUCAUAUUCCGGGUUAUAUGUAAAAUAUAUGACUUUCUGUGCGGUAAGCCGCCUAGAGACUUGUGAUUUGUUUUCUAUACAGGACAAUUAAAGACAGCUCUUUAAGUUUAAGGAAAGCAAAUGAACAAACAUAACCCAGAGGAAUAUAAAAGAGCAGCUUCAACAGAGUUGCUAAGUGCCGCACACGUGCGCUAUGGCACGACAAAAUUAAGUGUUUGUCCUACUCUAUUACAGGACUCCCCGAGUCCAAAAGGUGAGGCAUUGUUUUUAAGGUGUAACCAUGCUAACCAUGAGCUGCCUAAGAAAUCAAGAUGCUUGUUGGGCUGAAGUUCCCGGCUCAUCCCUCUCCGCUCCUCCGGCUGUUCCCAUGACCUGGAAGGUUGAUGAUUUCCAGUCAAUGCCGCUCAAAGCUUCAAAUUGAGCCUCAUCAUCAAUUAACCCGGCCGGGUCAACUUCUGGGGCGAAGGUAUGCUUACGAGUCGGCGGGAUCAGGCUGACUGCUUCAUAGCGUGGAGUUGGGAUCCUCUGAUUCUCCGUGUCAUAGCCCGGCUGAUACUUGGUAAGGUCUGUGUCAUUCCCAAUCAAGGUGGCCACCGGGCGCACGCUCUUCACACAGGCGGCGAAGUCUUUCUGGUCAAAGGGGGUACCGUCUUCCUUCAGGCUGGGGUAUCCAAGAGCGAUGUCGGCGGGGUCUAGCUCCGGUAGAAACGCCUUGGCCCGACUCAGAGCAGCUAUAGCUCCGGCUCUUGCAGAAGCCCGUCUCAGCUCUUGGAAGAGUUGAGGAAGUACGGCAAGCCGCCUGAGUACGUCUGCCAGGUGAGUGGGAACCUCAUUGGACAGAGCCACAACGGCUAAGGCACGUUGUGACCCGGUGUAGAGUUGCUCCACCAAGGUGUAAACAGCCUUCAGCUUGGUCAGCACGUUUUGAUUAAGAUUGGAGCUUCUGGGACCUGCAUAAUAACGUCAGGUGAGCUGAUGGCAAUGGUGGGACUUAUGAGACAUGAAGAAUGUAAACUUGUUAAAAGCUUGCAGAAUGACUUACCGAAGAUUGCGGAGACCAUCUGUGACACAUGGCGUUUUAAGCCGGAGAGUUCGACGGUUCUUUCAGUCAGAGCAGCCUCCGCUUGUUCGGCCCGGCUGAGCAAUGCAGUCUUCUCCUCGGCCCAAGUCUUUCUUUCUGUUUCAAAUUUCUUCUUCAGUUUUUCUUGUGCAGCAACACUGAACUCAAAUUUGGCAUUGGCCUUCCGGGUCUCAGUUUCCUGAGUCUUCAACCGGUUCUUCAGCUCAGAGAUUUCCGAUUCAAAUUUCUUGCAAGCAGCCUGUACAAAUUCUGGGUUACAAUUUGAGUAAUUAUCAUGCAAUAUUAAAGUCCCAAGUACUUUGCAAGCAAAGACACUUGGCACUUGGGGGCUAAUGUAUGCUGAAAGAUUCUAUUUAUAGUGCCGGUUCAUGAAGGUAAGCCGGAAUUAAGUCUACAACAUAUUCUAUCAUAAGUAAUAGACUUGGGGGAUAGCAUGGUAAGAAUGACUAUGGAGUAAGCAAGAGAGUUGUACCUCAGAUUUUUGCUGUAUCUGUUUCACCAUGUCAAUUUCCAGGUCCCGGCUGUUAUGCACUUGACCAAUAUAACCAGAAACAAUGUCUCCAAUGCUCAGGUUAGCAUAGUUAGUGAUAUCCAGUCUAGCCCUGCGGCGCUCCAGCAAUUCUUCUUUAGCAGAGCAUCUGGCCAGUACAGUGGGUCUUCCCGGCUCAACAUAUUCGGUCCGGGUAAUCACCACAUCCGGGUCAUCGGCCGGUUGAGCUGAGCUGGGGAUCUCCGGGUUGUCAGAACCCCCCAUGGCUUGUUGUUUAGUUGGAGCGGUGGUUUCUGGAGCUGGUGCAGCCGGCGGCUCAGAAGCAGAGGUGUUGGGUUCAGUCAAGACCGGUUCUUCGACCGGGUGACUUUUCUUUGCCCUCUUGCUGAGCUUUGCUUGUGCGCUGAAAGUCAAAAGGUUAGUGCAAAAACAUGAGUAAGAUAAGCACAAAAUAAGAUGAUCAUCAUUACCCGGGUGCAGUCUUGAAAGCCGGCAAGUUAGAUUGCAUGGAGUCACCGGAGGAAGGUGAAGUUUCCUGAUAGUUUGAAUCAGAAGAGUUGAGUGGUUGACGAGUGAUGCCCGCCAAAGGAUGAAAAGGAUAUAAGUUGGAGAUAACCUCGGUCCGGCGCUUCCUUGAUGCUUCAGGUAAGCCGGAGGAGAGAUCUGCAUCCUUGUUGGCCCGGGUUUGUCUCCGGCUCUCAUGAAUCUGUUGCUUCAAAAGAAAUUGAGGAUCUUGAUAAGCUAAAGGAUGGGAAAAUCUUACUUUCCGGGUUACUCUUCGGACUUUCAGCCUUGGCAAGGGCUCCGAGUCGGAGGAAAGUAUAGUUACCUCUUCAAUCACCGGGUUACUCGCUCCGGUGUCCUCCUGCUGAUAAUCAGUGUCAAUAAGGUGGUUAAGAACAAACAAAAAACAAAGAGAAGAGCAUAAGAAUGAAGGGUUACCUCUGACUCGGAGGUGUCAUCCAGCUGAAGCAGGUCUGAGGCGCUAGGCUUACUCCCCUUCUUGCGGGGAGCGGCUCUCCUGGCGGCUUUCUUAGCCUUCCUGGCUUUUUUAGCUGCCUCAUGAUCGUACUUGACCUUCCAGAACUUAUCAUUAGCCUGAAAAAUACAACAAAGAUUUCUUGAGGUUAAGAUGAAAAUUGUUAAAAUGGAAAGUAAGGUGCUCAGAUCAGUAGCUUACUGCCGGAGCCGGGUUAGCUUUGCAGAAGGGACUUAAGCCUGUCCUCCCGCAGUCUGCUAAGCUCUCGUUCAGAAGGGACUUGGUCAUGUCAUCAACGACGUCCUCAGGUAAGUCGUUGGGGCUGUGCCGCAGAGGAUCAUCCUUCCGGCCCGUGUAAUCACACAUUAAGCCGGGGCGGCGGCUCAAGGGAAUCACCCACCAGGCAAUCCAGACCCGGACCAGAUCAACGCCGUUAAGACCAUUUCCUAGAAGAGCUUUUAUCUUGUUGAUGGUGGGGAUAAGCGGUUGACGCUCAGCUUGAGAUAAUUUGUCUGGCAGAGGGUGAUUUGACUCCAGACGCAGGGCGUGAAAGCCGGGCAGAGGGUUCUCAUCAGCCGGAGAAGUAUCCUGGCAGUAGAACCAUGUCUGGUUCCAGUCCUUCGGGUGGCUUGGCGGUUCAGCAUAAGGAAAGAGGCAAUCUCUCCGUUGUUGGAUUGAAAUUCCACCAAGUUCCAAGCUAGGCCCGUUGGCACACUCGUUCUGGCGGUUCAGAUAAAACAGCUCCCUAAAGAGCAGUAGGCUGGGCUCUUCUCCAAGGUAUUCUUCACAGAACACUUGAAAGUUACAAAUGUUCGACACGGAAUUGGGUCCAAUGUCUUGAGGUCGCAGAUUAAAGAAGUUCAGAACAUCUCUAAAGAAUUUUGAGCCGGGAGGUGCAAAACCCCGGCUCAUGUGAUCAGCAAAUAUCACAACCUCUCCAUCUCUUGGUUGAGGUCUUUCUUCCGACGGGUCAGGGGCACGAUAGGACAUGACCUCCUUCUUAGGCAGGUAACCCGUCUUCACGAAAUCAUCUAAGGUAUCAUCAGUAACGUUGGACCUCACCCAGUUGCACGUAAUGGGUGCCUUGGGAGCCUUGGGCGGCAUUGUGAAAGACGAAAGCCUAUGACAAAAGGAAAUGUCCGGUUCAAAUAUAAACCGGAGGAAGAUUCCAGAUCAGUAUUCAAGAUGGCGGCUUAUGAAGGGGCCUAAUGAUAUAUGGCUAAUUGUGUCGGGUUAUCUAAGCCGCUGUGGACAUCAUGAGUAAUUCAAGUUGUUUAAAACUCUAUCAUAAAUGAGCCGGAAAUUUCACAGCGCAUGGCCUCUUUUAAACCGGAGAUAUGAGCCGCCAUAGCUAACAUAUGCAAUUUUUGACUAAGUGUGGCACAAACAGGUUUCACAGAUCGCAGUAAUUAUUUUGGAUCAAACGGUCGUCUAGAAAGGAAAUUUUUUCUAGACCUAAAAACUGGCACAGAGAAGUUCAUAAGUUCUAAUGAGGUCUUUUUGCAAGCAAGAGGGAUCUGCUUGUACUGGAAAUGGGUGCGAAACCACUACCGCAGGAGUUCUAUCCUACUUUCCGGAUCAAAAGAGGUCGCGGUGGCGGAACUGUGAAGAACUUGAGAUGAACUACGAAGAACAGGGGAAGAAUGACAGAACCCUAAUGCAAAUCUACUGUAGGGAGGGGCAAGGAUUUACUGGCGCUGAUGAGAUGCGGAGGUCGCCGCCGUUUCUCUAGACCAGUUCAGGGUGAUGUAGCGGCCGAGGUUGAGGAAGACAAGGGGCGCGGCGGCGGCGGAGCUCGAGCUCUCGGGCGUCAGAGGAGGAAGACGAUGGAGGAGAGGAGUGAAUGAAGGCUUAUGGGCCGGGCCUAUUUAUAAGGGUGGCUGGUAAAUGGGCGCGAGAAACGAGGAGGCCGAAGACGUGAUUAUCUUGCCGCAGAAACGCCUCGAUUUUUGGGAUGGUCAUUAAGAGAUAAGAUCCGUUGGGAUAUGACAGAAUGAAAAAUGAAUUUAAUGGAAGAUGAUGUCAUGGCGGGUUACCAGGAAUCCAGAAGAUGACGUCACGGCGGGUUAUAACCUUCGCACGAGCAGAAGCCGGAAGAUUUUCUCGUAAAGGGAUUGAAGAUUGACAUGAACCGGUUCAAAUCAAUCUGGGGCCUAAUGUUGAGGAUAUAACCAUUAGAGUCACCCGCCCAGGAGGGGCCGGGUUACUCAUUCAUCACGUGAAGCCCAGUACCAAGCUUGAGGAUGGCGGAUCAAUAAUGGGCUUAAGACCCGGUAGCGGCUUAAGGCCCGUAGUGAUAAACCGCCGUUAUAGCAAGACUUGUAAUGUAAGGCAAGAGUAGUUAAGAGUCCGAGCCGGAUACUGUUAUAAGCCGGCCGGGACUCUGAGAGCCGCUGGGCGUCAACCUCUCUAUAUAAAGGGACGAACCGGCGGCGGUUCAGGACGAGAGACAACAGAUUGAUAGCCUGGCAUAGCGAUUAAGCUCCCUGGUCAUCGAAACCCUAAGUAAUACCACCUCAACUGGACGUAGGCUUUUACCUUCACCGUAAGGGGCCAAACCAGUAUAAUCCUCGUGUUCCUUGUCCCGCUUAACCCCUUUAAGCUUCCUAGCUGCGAUGGCUCCACGACUAAGUCCUUGCACGAGGACAUCUGCCGUGACAAUUCCACGACAAAACCGGUUGCUUCAAGAGCUCAUAGGUUGUUGGAUUUCUUCCAUGUGAUACCUAAGUUCAAUCAACAACAAUGGGGAUGAAAGUGCAGCCAUGUAUUCAAGAUUAUAGUAUGAACUUAAGUUAGCGUUCACUUGGGCAGGUGUUUGCUUGAUUCGGCUUAGUAAUUAUUUUCAACUAAAUUUUGCACAUUUCUGAAAAGUCGUGUAUGAUGUACCCAUGUGCUCAUCAUCCUCCCUCCCUUGAUGAAGAGUCGUCCUCGACUCUCCACUACAAAAAAAGACACAUCCAUGACAUUUUGGGCCGAACGAAUUUUUUUUCUGUCAUACAUAUGACACUUCUGUGACGAUAAUUGUGACAAAACCCGGUAUCAUCAUAGAUGUGGUGGGCUCCUACUUCUAUGACAAAAAAUCAUGACAGAAAAUGGGCUUUUCAUCCUGGGCGGACCGGAGACGCAGCUGCAUGACAUUCUUUGGGCUGUCCAUGACGGAAAAAACCGUGGUAGAAGCGAGGGCGAGGAAAAUUUCGGCGAGUUCCCGGUUACGGUGGGAGGUCGGGGGCCGAGCGAUGCGCGUUUCUCUCGUACACGUACGCGCGUGUGUGCGAGGCAUUGGCUCUAACUGAACCCGAGCGAGGCGUUGGACUCUAACUGAACCCGAGCGAUUGCACUGCAGGCUACGCGUUACUGAACCUGAGCGAUCGAUCGAUGGCUGUUAACUAAACCCGAUCGAGCGAUUCCUUCGCUACUGCUGCUAACUGAAGCNNNNNNNNNNNNNNNNNNNNNNNNNNNNNNNNNNNNNNNNNNNNNNNNNNNNNNNNNNNNNNNNNNNNNNNNNNNNNNNNNNNNNNNNNNNNNNNNNNNNNNNNNNNNNNNNNNNNNNNNNNNNNNNNNNNNNNNNNNNNNNNNNNNNNNNNNNNNNNNNNNNNNNNNNNNNNNNNNNNNNNNNNNNNNNNNNNNNNNNNNNNNNNNNNNNNNNNNNNNNNNNNNNNNNNNNNNNNNNNNNNNNNNNNNNNNNNNNNNNNNNNNNNNNNNNNNNNNNNNNNNNNNNNNNNNNNNNNNNNNNNNNNNNNNNNNNNNNNNNNNNNNNNNNNNNNNNNNNNNNNNNNNNNNNNNNNNNNNNNNNNNNNNNNNNNNNNNNNNNNNNNNNNNNNNNNNNNNNNNNNNNNNNNNNNNNNNNNNNNNNNNNNNNNNNNNNNNNNNNNNNNNNNNNNNNNNNNNNNNNNNNNNNNNNNNNNNNNNNNNNNNNNNNNNNNNNNNNNNNNNNNNNNNNNNNNNNNNNNNNNNNNNNNNNNNNNNNNNNNNNNNNNNNNNNNNNNNNNNNNNNNNNNNNNNNNNNNNNNNNNNNNNNNNNNNNNNNNNNNNNNNNNNNNNNNNNNNNNNNNNNNNNNNNNNNNNNNNNNNNNNNNNNNNNNNNNNNNNNNNNNNNNNNNNNNNNNNNNNNNNNNNNNNNNNNNNNNNNNNNNNNNNNNNNNNNNNNNNNNNNNNNNNNNNNNNNNNNNNNNNNNNNNNNNNNNNNNNNNNNNNNNNNNNNNNNNNNNNNNNNNNNNNNNNNNNNNNNNNNNNNNNNNNNNNNNNNNNNNNNNNNNNNNNNNNNNNNNNNNNNNNNNNNNNNNNNNNNNNNCGUUUCGUCCGUUUUGCGGUACGCCACACCCCUCCCGAUCAACAGGACCCCCGUUUCGACCGUAGGAGGUCCGUUUCGUCCAUUUUGCGGUACGCCACGCCCCUCCCGAUCAACAGGACCCCCGUUUCGACCGUAGGAGGUCCGUUUCCUCCGUUUUGCGGUACGCCAGACCCCUCCCGAUCAACAGGACCCCGUUCCGAACGUAGGAGGUCCGUUUCCUCCGUUGUGCGGUACGCCAUGAAGGAAAUAUGCCCUAGAGGCAAUAAUAAAGUUAUUAUUUAUUUCCUUAUAUCAUGAUAAAUGUUUAUUAUUCAUGCUAGAAUUGUAUUAACCGGAAACAUAAUACUUGUGUGAAUACAUAGACAAACAGAGUGUCACUAGUAUGCCUCUACUUGACUAGCUCGUUGAUCAAAGAUGGUUAUGUUUCCUAGCCAUAGACACGAGUUGUCAUUUGAUUAACGGGAUCACAUCAUUAGGAGAAUGAUGUGAUUGACUUGACCCAUUCCGUUAGCUUAGCACUCGAUCGUUUAGUAUGUUGCUAUUGCUUUCUUCAUGACUUAUACAUGUUCCUAUGACUAUGAGAUUAUGCAACUCCUGUUUACCGGAGGAACACUUUGUGUGCUACCAAACGUCACAACGUAACUGGGUGAUUAUAAAGGUCCUCUACAGGUGUCUCCGAAGGUACUUGUUGGGUUGGCAUAUUUCGAGAUUAGGAUUUGUCACUCCGAUUGUCGGAGAGGUAUCUCUGGGCCCUCUCGGUAAUGCACAUCACUUAAGCCUUGCAAGCAUUGCAACUAAUGAGUUUGUUGCGAGAUGAUGUAUUAUGGAACGAGUAAAGAGACUUGCCGGUAACGAGAUUGAACUAGGUAUUAAGAUACCGACGAUCGAAUCUCGGGAAAGUAACAUACCGAUGACAAAGGGAACAAUGUAUGUUGUUAUGCGGUUUGACCGAUAAAGAUCUUCGUAGAAUAUGUGGGAGCCAAUAUGGGCAUCCAGGUCCCGCUAUUGAUUAUUGACCGGAGACGUGUCUUGGUCAUGUCUACAUAGUUCUCGAACCCGUAGGGUCCGCACGCUUAACGUUACGAUGACAGUUUUAUUAUGAGUUUAUGAGUUUUGAUGUACCGAAGGAGUUCGGAGUCCCGGAUGAGAUCGGGGACAUGACGGGGAGUCUCAAAAUGGUCGAGACGUAAAAAUCGAUAUAUUGGACGACUAUAUUCGGACAUCGGAAAGGUUCCGAGUGAUUCGGGUAUUUUUCGGAGUACCGGAGAGUUACGGGAAUUCGUAUUGGGCCUUAAUGGGCCAUACGGGAAAGGAGAGAAAGGCCCCAAAGGAUGGCCGCACCCCUCCCCAUGGACUAGUCCGAAUUGGACUAGGGAAGGGGGGCGCCCCCUUCCUUCCUUCUCCUUCUCCCUUCCCUUCUCCUACUACAACAAGGAAAGGAGGAGUCCUACUCCCGGUGGGAGUAGGACUCCCCCCUUGGCGCGCCCUCCUCCUAGGCCGGCGGCCUCCCCCUUGCUCCUUUAUAUACGGGGGCAGGGGGCACCCCAUAGACACAACAAUUGAUCUAUUGAUCUCUUAGCCGUGUGCGGUGCCCCUUCCACCAUAUUACACCUCGAUAAUAUCGUAGCGGUGCUUAGGCGAAGCCCUGCGUCGGUAGAACAUCAUCAUCAUCACCACGCCGUCGUGCUGACGAAACUCUCCCUCAACACUCGGCUGGAUUGGAGUUCGAGGGACGUCAUCGAGCUGAACGUGUGCUGAACUCGGAGGUGCCGUGCGUUCGGUACUUGAUCGGUCGGAUCGUGAAGACGUACGACUACAUCAACCGCGUUGUGUUAACGCUUCCGCUUUCGGUCUACGAGGGUACGUGGACAACACUCUCCCUCUCGUUGCUAUGCAUCACCAUGAUCUUGCGCGUGCGUAGGAAUUUUUUUGAAAUUACUACGUAACCCAACACGCCAGGCCUCGUUUCCAUCGCCUGUUCUGUCCAAGCGCUCCCGAUGAACACGACCACGCAUUCCGUUCCGACCCAGCCGGUUGGCUCCCACGCGUUUCGUUGCCUCCCGAUGAACACGACGCAUUCCGUUGCCUCCCCAUGAACACGACGCAUUCCGUUGCCUCCCCAUGAACACGACGACGACGUUGUUUCUCCGUUCCGACCCAGCCAUGUACACGAGCCCUGGCCGUACGUAUGCGCGAGUAGGCGUUCGAGACCCCGCCCGUAUGUACACAUACGUGGCCGUAUUUUCUUUCUUGCACCCUGGCCGCUGUACGUACGUGUACAUGCUACGUGCGCGCCUCUACUACGACAUGUACGCGCCUCUACUACGACACGUGCGCGCCUCUACAUCCACCAGUAUAUAUGUACGUACACGUUCGCGACAAGAAUGACAACGCCACGUACGCUUCGACCAGGUGGGUCCCGACUAUCAGGCACUUCCUUGCCUGCGAAGAUGUAGCUGGUGGGUCCCAGCAGUCAGGGGGCGAAUCGUUUUUUUUCGGACGCACUUCCUUGCGUGCGAAGAUGUAGCUGGUGGGUCCCAGCAGUCAGGGGCAAACGUUUUUUUUCGCGAAAUACGGUGGCCCAUCCGGUGGGUCCCGCUGUCAGGUGGAGGAAUAAUUAUUUUGCACGUAAUAAGGAGGCACUUCCUUGCUGCGGCCGUGGACCCAGCUGUCAGCCUCUCCACGUACAGUCCACGUCCGAUGGAAGCCGUUCCUUGACCACGUUGACCACGCCGCGCCGAGAGCACCAGGGCGGUGGACGACGGCGAGGCCUAGGAAGGGGACGACACGGAGCCGGGGAAGACGCGGCAGCAGAUGCCCACACGUAGAGGAGUACGAGGGUUCAUUGGUUCGCUGGGUGUGAGGCUGCCGUCGCCGCAGAAUAACAGGGGGUGUGGGUGAGUAGAGGGAUGGCCUGGCCAGCCGUGGGAGUAGUAGGGGGCGGUGAGGCCUCCGCCGCAUCACAGCCGGCCACGGGAGGCAGGAGCACGAGGCACGACCGGCGCUGGUUUGGGUGGCUGGAGCAAGAAGACCAGAGGUUGAAGAAGCACUACGGCCGUUGGAUGGACAUCGUAUGGUCACUGGAGCUAGAAUCGUGCAUAUUGACUAAGUUGACAAAGCCCUCUGUCUCCGUCAACUUAGUAGGCCCACAAGUCAGCCUGCCACUAUACUGGGUCCCAGCUUACAGGGGGAGUAUUCAUUUUUUUGUGCGUAAUAAGGAGGCACUUCCUUGCGUGCGAAGAUAUAGCUGGUGGGUCCGAGCUGUCAGCGUCGGUAACGUUUUUUCGCGAAAUACAGAGGCCCUUUCGGUGGGUCCCUGAUGUCAGGUGGAGGAAUCAUUAUUUUGCGCGUAAUAAGGAGGCAUUUCCUUGCGUGGGGCCGUGGACCCAGCUGUCGGCCUCUCCACGUACAGUCCACUUCAGAUGCAUGUCGGUCGUUGACCACGUUGACCAGAGAGCACCAGGGCGGUGGACGACGGCGAGGCCUAGGAAGGGAACGACACGGAGGCAGGGAAGACUCGACAGUAGUUUCCCACGCAGAGGGGAGUACGACUGUUAGAGGGUUUACUGGUUCGUCUGCCGUCGCCGGAGAAUAACACCAGGUGUGGGUGAGUAGAGGGAUGGCUAGGCCAGCGAUGGGAGUAUGGUGGGGCGGUGAGGCCUGCGCGGCAGAACAGCCGGUCGCGGGGAGGAGGGAGCAGGCAGUCCCGCCGGCGCUUGUUUAAGCGGCUGGAGCAGGAAGAGCAGAGAUUGAAGAAGCACGGCGGCCGUUCGAUGGACAUCCAACAGUCACUGCUUGUGCGUCAACCUUUUUUUAGGAGAGCCUCAAAUCUGUGGAAAACAGCAUACAACCCAUCUGCCAUUAUUUCUAAUAAUUUACAGCCCAUUUGCUAAUUCUUAAGGUUUUUUUUGGAGCCCAUAUUCUUUUUGUUAGCAUUACAACCCAUAUUGUGGCCACGGUUAAAAAAUUAUACGAAAUUUUGCAUAUUUCGGUGCGGUCCGAACUGUUUUUAAUCCCGAAAUUUCGACUCACAUUCAAACUUAUUUUAAAAAUAAAUGUAUAUCAAUAUAAAAUCCAACAAAUUCUCCACGCAUAAAAAUUAAUGUAAUUUAAAAUCUCGAAAUGAAAAAAGAUAUUUGAAACUAAUUGCCGGUUUGAUGUGUUUUAAAAAUGUAUAACCCAUUUCUCAUUACUGAUAGGCCAUUUUCUCGGCUAGCCGAAUGAAGCUCUCCUCGUCUUGAAAGAUUUGCAGCCCAACAGGCCUGACAAAGCGACUUACUUGGCAAAUCACAAAAAAACUGGGCUGUGGCCGUGGACCCAGCUGCCAGCCUCUCCACGUACAGUACUCUUCCGAUGGAAGUCGGUCGUUGACCACAUUGACCACGCCGCACCGAGAGCACCAAGGCGGUGGACGACGGCGAGGCCUAGGAAGGGGACGACGCGGAGCCGGGGAAGACGCGGCAGUGGAUGGCCACGCGGAGAGGAGUACGAGGGUUCACUGGUUCGGCUACGGCGUGAGGCUGCCGUCGCCGCAAAAUAACAGGGGGUGUGGGUGAGUAGAGGGAUACCCUGGGCCAGCGGUGGGAGUAGUAGGGGCGGUGAGGCCUCCGCGACAUCACAGCCGGCCACGAGAGGCAGGAGCACGCGGCACGACCGGCGCUGCUUUGGGCGGCUGGAGCAAGAAGACCAGAGGUUGAAGAAGCACUAUGGCCGUUGGAUGGACAUCGUACGGUCACUGGAGCUAGAAUCGUUCAUAUUGACUAAGUUGACAAAGCCCUCCGUCCUCGUCAACUUAGUAGGCCCACAAGUGAGCCACCCACUAUGGUGGGUCCCAGCUAGCAGGGGGUAUUCAUUUUUUGGUGCGUAAUAAGGAGGCACUUCCUUGCGUGCGAAGAUAUAGCUGGUGGGUCCGACCUGUCAGUGGGGGGAACAUUUUUUUCGUGAAAUACAGAAGCCCUUCCCACGUACAGUGCACGUACAGUGCGUAAUAAGGAGGAACUUUCCUUGCGUGCGACCAUGGACCUCAUGGGUCCCAGCCGUCAGGCUCUCCACGUACAGUCCUCUUCCGAUGACUCUCGUAUGUUGACCACGCCGCGCCGAGCGCACCGAGGCGGUGGACGAUGGCGAGGCCCCAGACUGGAACGACCCGGAGAUGGGGAAGACGCGGCAGUGGAGUCGCAGACGAAGAGGAGUGGGAAACUUGACUGGUUCGGGUGCGGGGUGGGCCUACACUCGGCAGAGAAUAACAGGAGGUGCGGAGUGGAGGGAUGGCCUGGCCGUCAGCGGGGUAGCGUUUCACUGAGGAGCGCAAAACAACGCCGCUGGACGCCGAAGGCUGGAGCAGGCGGUUCCGGCAGCGCUGGGGGAAGAAGACGAGAGAUUGAAGAAGAAUGCCGGCCGUUGGAUGUAAAUCCAACGCCUUCUUAGGCUUCGACCUACUGGCCCACAUGUCAGCCAGUCCAUUUGUUUUUUAGUCCAUUUGGUAGGCUGGGUGAAACAAUGAUGUAGCAUCUAUGCAGCCCGUUUAAAUCCCAUUUGCAAUUUUCUCGAAAUCCGCGGACUUGCUGGGCUGGGUGAAAAUAUCAUGUUGGGCUAGACGGAGAAAUGUUAUAAAAACAUAAACACAUGAUUGCACGUCAGUAAAAUCUUUGCAAGCUUAUGUACGCAAUCACUAGGAGUUAACUUGCCAAGUUAUAUAUAAACAAUUAUUAUUAUUAUUUUGUAAGAACUUUCAACUUAUGAAAUAAAAUAUCAUUUUAAUUUGAUGAGUUAAUAGUACGUGGGGUAUUAUUAUUUUUUAGGCUAGACGUGGGACAGUUGAGUUGGUUCUAGGGGAAAGUACUGGGAGAAAACUCUGUUUACAUCGAAAAAGAAAGUGGGAGAAAAUUCAGAGACCUGCUGGGUCCACCUGAGGAGGGGAAUAUGUUGGGAGGAAGGAGAUUCAAAGCACGGCAGCCGAGUGAACUAGUUUUUUUACAGACAAGUGAACUAGUUUACAUACAUAAUCAAAUAGUCACUAAAAAAAGCAAUCAGGUUAAUGGGUUCUUAAAAGAAAUAUUUCAGACAAAACAGAUAAUUACGACACAUAGGCUAAUGCAUAAAACACUCAGAUGAUAAAGGUGCUUAUAAACAGAUAAAGUACAACAUCUAGACCUUCCUGGCACGCUUGAUCAUGACGCUGCGGCUGUCCGUGUACUCGUCGGUUACGGGAAGCAGACACGCCCUCAUGUCCAAGAUCUGCCUGUACAUGUCGUAGCAUGCGUAUGCGUCCUUGGCCGCGUAGGUUAUGUAGGCUAGAUUCAGAGGUACCUCCCACGUGUUCAGGUCGUCUUCUUUCAUGUUGGCGUAUCAGGGGUCGAUGAUGGUCUCAGCGAGGUCAACCACGGAGUCCUUCUCCUGCCUGUUGCUGAUGAUCUUGUAUUGCUUCUGGAUGUCGACAAGCUUGUUGCACCAGAUGGCCGAAUCGUCGCGUUCUUCCUUCUCUCCACCGUAGCGAAGGUGCUGUCGGCGCUGCCGAUGAAACGGGCGAAUGCUCCAGAACCUGGUGCAGCCAUAGGACUGAGGCGAGGCAGAGCUUCACCGAGUCCGUAUCGUUGGUGUACAUCACAUUCAACUUGGUGCAGCCAUAGGACUGAACGGCGAACUCAAAGGGGAACUCCUUGCUGAAGUCCAUAUCCAGCAGGUCACCCCUCGGAUCGCCAUUGGAGUCUCUUCGAGUGAACGAGUGUGUAGGCGGCGGCAGCAGUUCGUUUUCCAGCUCUUGGGGAACUGGAUUCAACAAUAAGCUGAGUGUGUACAGGCGACAACAGUUACUACCCCUCCCUCGUCCGCUGCACGCCCAGCAGAAGAUGCACCCUCGGCCACACGUCGGUUCACGAGCGGGUCUGUAUUGGUACUGUAAUAAUAGGAGUUAGUGGUCACUUUACUUAAAUUUAAUUAGCUUUAAUAGAAAUUUAUACUUAAAACAAGCAAUGCAUUCGCUCGUUCUAUCAGUGCCACAGGAUCAACAUGCACAACAAUUAGAAUUAUUAUUCUCAGGACGCACACGAUCAGCACAUUUGUCGCACUUUCACAAAGAUAAUACUACCAAGUUUGAACUGUUUGUUAUGGUUGUUGUCCUCUGCAUCAUCAUGCCGUGUUUCCCAGCUUGCAAGAUUCAGAACCAACAAAUAAGAUCCAAAUAAUAAGUACAACAAAGAUGCCUACACAUCUCAUUGAUUCCCAGCUUGCAAGAUUCAGAACCAACAAAUAAGAUCCAAAUAAUAAGUACAACAAAGAUGCCUAGACAUCUCAUUGAUUCCCAGCUUGCAAGAUUCAGAACCAACAAAUAAGAUUCAAAUAAUAAGUACAACAAAGAUGCCUACACAUCUCACUGAUUCCCAGCUUGCAAGAUUCAGAACCAACCCAUUAGAGCCUUUUGAUAAAGUGAAUAUCGGGAUUAAAUCCAUCUUGGCUAGCCAUGUCAUACAAUCGAAGAACUUGGCGAAUGCUCUUGACCGUCACAACAUCUGUAGUUGAGUAUUCCUGUUUGCACAGCGCAGAUAAUAAAGAGCAUGAUUACUAUAAUACUGGCACUAGUGGAAGUCAACCUGCAGCUCCACUCGAUGAUUCAAUUCAUGCCACUUUUUCUGCAGUUCACCUGAAAUGAAGCAAAGAUUGCAUCAUUCAGCUACGACUCAUCUUGCAAAGGCUAAUAAAAUGUUGCACGAGAUUACCAGCAGAAUUUGACGGAGAUUUUGGAAACUCCAAUCACCAUUUUGUGCAGUUCCACCAAAAUUGAGAGAUGUUGCCCAUGUAACAUUUUAGUUGAACUGCACAAGACACUCAUUCCAAAAAGUGUUUUGUGUAGUUCACCAAAAGGUCACAAUAGCAACAAGGUGAAACGGAUAUCCCUAUCUGCACAAAAAGAUAGAAAGUGAACAGUUGCUGGUCAAUAAGAAUAUACGAAACAUAUACAAAAUGAAAAGAAGCAUCUUAAUUAUGUUCAUGGCAAUCACACAAGGACAGUAGAAAUUUUAAAACGUCAACAAUGCUUCAUGUUACCAGAAGCAUUACGAUCAACAAUGAGAUUCCUCAAAUAUGGGAUUACUUUAAUGGUGGCAUUGCUUGUUUACCAGACACGGUAAAUCAACAGCAGCUAAAGAGUUGGUUUAAGGGCAUGGGACCAUGGGGACACCAGGACACUCAACAUCGUAAAGGAGCAACUUACUUAUCAUACUGGGGAAAACAGCAGGAGUGCCAUUUGUAACAUAGUUUAAUUGCAUCUUAUCACUGGAGGCAUUAGAUUAACAAUAACACUGGUUAGACAUGUCCCUAAGGUAACAGUGUGAUCGCUUCAUUUUACAUGCGCCCUUACAUUAACAAUAGCAAAAGGUUGGUAUAAGGACAUGCGACAGUGGACGCAUCAGCACAAUGUACCUACAAGGAGGCAUAAAGUGGUGAUGCCGAGUUUGUUCAUGCUAUGUGAGGGCAGCAAACCUAAUCCUGGAGACCUUGUACUAUGUGAGGGCAGAAAAUCUAAUCCUGGAGACCUUUUACUAUGUGAGGGCAGCAAAUCUAAUCCUGGAGACCUUUUACUAUGUGAGGGCAGCAAAUCUAAUCCUGGAGACCUUUUACUAUGUGAGGGCACCAAAUCCAAUCCUGAGACCUUUUACUAUGUGAGGGCAGCAAAUCUAAUCCUGAGACCUUUUACUAUGUGAGGGCAGCAAAUCUAAUCCCGGAGACCUUUUACUAUGUGAUGGCAGCAAAUCUAAUCCUGGACAUACUCUGUUGACUUGUCCACCAGCCGCCACUUUCUAUCCUUUUUUCAACCAAUAAUAGAUCUGUUCCUUAUCCAGUUUGUACUGCGUUUUCCCAUUAUUUCCCUUUUCAACCAAGAGACCGGUUGGGUAUCCGGUCUCUACUACUUUCACCAUAUUAUUUCCUCUUUGAAUCAAGUCCUAGAUUCAUGCUACAACUUCCCCCCUUUCUUCGUUGUUUGAACAAAGCCCUAGAUUCGAAUGCAUGAAGUAGCUUUACCUCUAAUAAUACUAAAAAUUUAGGUGGCUUUGGAAGAGCUGAUGGGAGUAGAAAAAGAUGCACAUGCAGACACGUGGGGAGCUGGGGCAGUAGAGCAAGGCCGCUUUCGAAGAACUUAUACCUGAGGGUCGCUGGGAUGUCGGCGGCGGCAGGUCGGAUCUGCGGACAAUACGGCAGGGAGGAAGAAGGGUCGGAGGACCUCCCGAGCCGGCGCUGUGUCGGAGAGAACGGCACGGGCAGAGGACCGGGCCCCUCCGGCAGCUAUCGGUUUCCUCCCUCGGCGGCGAUGACCGCGUGAACGAUGCACCUUUUAGUCCUCUACACACACUGGCCGAAGGGAUCCGGUCGGAUCUGUGACCAGCGGUGAGCAGAGAGAAAAUGUCGCUACCGCUGUCUUGUUUAUAUCUGGAGAGGAUGAGAGAAUGAAGAGAGCAACCCUAGUAAAGCAAGCGCUCAGGCCCCUGCGUCCAUAUAUAGUGGAGUGAUUAUCUUUUUUCUCUCCACAACAAGCGUUUCAAUUUGUGUAUGUGGCAUUAAAAAAAGAAACUCUCUAUUUAAGGUGACUACUGUACAACUCCUACUUACUACUAGUAGUACUACAGUAUUGUUCACUUGUGCUCCCCGCCCCUCCAUUCAUUGAACAACCCCACGGGUGAAUAAACAUACAGUAAGUACUGUAUUUAUAUAGAACGAACAAGCUCGAACUAUUUUCGCGUAGUUAAAAGUUGAGGGCGGGGCUUUUCCCGGGCAGUACGCGCGGCAGUUUUUGGGCACGCGGUUUGACAGAGAGGCGAGGUGGGUGAGCGAGUGGGGCUGUGCGAUUUGACAGCGCGUUACUGCUGGAAAGACUUGUGAUAUGACCACUCACUAUAGUCAUAAAUUACUGGCGCUUCGACCGGGGUGAUGCCCCCCUUCCGUUCCGCGCUCUAAUCUGGUGCAUGACAUGUCGACCCGGAUGCUGGCUCUCCCACAUGUCGGAGUAGUAAGAAGGAGCAAAGAAUGAUGCGAUAUAUACUAGUACUAUACUACUCAGGUCGGAGGAGUGCAAACCACGGCAGCCCAGUGAACCAGCAGUGCGAACCACGGUAGCCCAGUGAACCAACAGUAGAAAACAAUGUGGUGAUAUGGCCAUAAAAACAAUAUGCUACGGUCCACACUAUAGCAUGUACAGUAACACUCCUCUUUGUUUGGAUCCCUGAGUUAGAGCUAGUUUGGGUUGAAAUAGCCUCAAAUUAUCGAAACAAGAGGGGUUAGUUUGAGCUAGUUUGCUCUAACCCAGCUAAAAAAACUAGCCCGGUGGAGAGGUUCUAAUUGGGUUAGUUGUCCUCGGGCCCACUAAAAGAGAACUAAAAAAAUCUCCCCUGCCCGCACCAGAUCGCUCCCCCCUCUCGCACGACUCCUCUCUGUUCCCCAUAGGGCCGCUCACCCUCUCUCUCCUCCGGCCGCCCUCUCCUUCUGGCCUCCGCCGCCCUACUCCGGCCGCCCUCUCCCUCCGGCCUUCGAAGGUCGGCCCGCUCCCCCUUCACCAGUCGUUUUUCUCCCUCUGUCGUGCGCGGCAGCGGCGCAUCUACCAGGGAGGUCGCGAGAGGGGUGAGUUUGUUCGUUCCUUCUCUGUCUCACGGCCAUAUCAUUGAUCUUGCUUGCUCUAGCGCUAAUUCUGAUUUGGAAAAGUAGAUCCUGAUCAAACUUGGUAUAGAUUUGUGGUGCACACAUGGAAUUGUUUGAUGAUGCUUGAGGAGGUAAUAAAUCUUUCUAGAGGCCCAAAUAUUCAGGUCACCUUUCUAGGUAUUUCAAUUUCAGGCUUGCAUUAUUUCUAGAGGCCCAAAGAUUCAGUUCACCUUUCUAGGUAUUUCAAUUUCAGGCUUGCAUUAUUUCUAGAGGCCCAAAGAUUCAGUUCACCUUUCUAGAUAUUUCAGUUUCAGGCUUGCAUUCUUUCUAGAGGCCCAAAGAUUUAGUUCACCUUUCUAGGUAUUUCACUUUCAGGCUUGCAUUAUUUCUAGAGGCCCAAAGAUUCAGUUCACCUUUCUAGGUAUUUCACUUUCAGGCUUGCAUUAUUUCUAGAGGCCCAAAGAUUCAGUUCACCUUUCUAGGUAUUUCAGUUUUAGGCUUGCAUUAUUUCUAGAGGCCCAAAGAUUCAGUUCACCUUUCUAGGUAUUUUAGUUACAGGCUUGCAUUAUUUCUAGAGGCCCAAAGAUUAAGUUCCCAGUCGGUGGCAAGCGGCCCUGCUACCCAUGCCGGUGUCGACCUCAACUCGCAAGGGCCGGCGUCGGAGGGGUUCCCGGGGCUUGGGCUCUACAGAGCCUUCCUCCAGAGCGACGAUGGCGAGCUCCUCCCUCGGUGCGUGAGGGGCUUCGGGCUCCCUCCCUAUCGUGAAUGACUUCCGUGAUGAGUUAGCUCAUUCUUUGUUUCAUGAAGUGUUUUUUAUUUAUUUUGUGAAGCUUGAUUGACGACUUGUAUGUUUAAGUGGGAUAUCUCAUUUGUAUGGACAAAGUAAAAAUUAUCAUGUUUUGCAUGCUUGAUUUGUAUAGAUGGUUCGUUUAUGUCAAUUGUGAGCGGGAGGAGGCCACAGAAGAGCCGGCCACACCAAGAGGGUGCUUGGAUCCAAGGGACUUAUUUUAGUCUGACUAAAAAUAGUCUCUUUAAGAGGCUAAAGUUCCAAGCACCCCUGACUAAAGUGGGGCUAAAACUAGUCUUGAGACAAAAAUUUUAGUCAGGGGUACCCCUACUAAAAUGUGGAUUAGUCCUCUCUCUCCUCAUUUAACUCCUCUCCUUUAACACAGGCGAGUUCUGGAUUGUAGGGUUUGGAGGAUAACAAAUGCUCAUUAACUUGAUUUUAGUCUCUUUAGUAUUUGGAUCCAGGCAUGGGUGAGGCUAGCAAGUUUUAGUCCCACUACUUUUAGUCAUGAAACUAAAACGUAUCCAAGCACCCUCCAAAUCCGGCAGGAAAUAGGGUCCAAAGUAGUCAAAUGAUUGAGACAGAGCAUUUAUAUUGUCAAUCUAACCCUGCCAUCCAUACACCUCUUUGGUUUAGAGUUAGUUCAGGGUUAGAAUCUAACUCUAACCUCUAACUGAGUUAGAGUUCUCCUUGUCUCGGUUCAUCGCCAUCAUACUUUCCCCAUUCCUGUGUUUUCAGUAUCCUGCGAAUCAAGAGGCCCUUUUUUUGCGGGAAAAAUCAAAGAGGCCCUUAGACUGGUUUCGGUCCGGUCAUUUUUUAUAAACGUGUUAUGUCCAAAAUUUAAUGAACGUGCUCCGGUUUCCACAAAAAUAAUCCGGUUUCAUGUAGUAAUUCAUUCAUUUAUUUAUUCUUCUGCGGGGGUUUGCAUGUAAUUCGUGAGGUCUGAAAUGUAAAGUACCCCGGCAUAGGCUCUGAGUCGUGCAUGCACUACGACCUAGAUGCUCUAUGUCCCACAUGUCGGCGAAUGGGAGCACGUGGAAAUAUCCUAGGAGUACAUAUAGGAGGAUAAAUGCGUGAAAUAAUAUGUACUGUGAAGCGUAGCCGCGGUUCGAAAAGGAAACCUAAAGUGAUGACAGCUAUAGGUCGCACGCACCCAACUAGUGGUACUAGACAUACGACUAAUUUUUCCCUCAAUAAAAAAAGAGGCACGAGUGCUCAGUACUCCUAUUCUAUAAACACGAGUCCCAUCUGACAACAGCGUCCGUGCUACAGCUAGCUCUCCUCCCUCGUUUCUCUCUUCUAAUUCUAAACUCGGCCGGCGCCUUGGAUGAUUUGGCACAGCCGACUGCCGCUUGCGUCUAUCGCCUCCAUAGGUGCUUGUGGCUUCUGGUCACUUGGUCUUGGAUUGGAGUGAGCAGUGUUGCGCAUAGACUUGGGAGUAGAUGGAUUGGAGUGGUGGGGCGCCUUUAUUAUAUGAGAGUCCAAACUCUGUUGCAUUCACAUCGUGCUGGCUCUAUUCUGCUUCUCCAAUUAAUUCCCUCUGGAUGUAAUUGAGGAUGCAUCAUUGACCGUUCAACGUCUCGGGAACCGCUACCCUCUCCCCCCUUGGCAUUCAAGCACCUAUGGACCCGUCGACGACGAGGUGCCUAUGGUGACUUCGUAAAUUUCAAGAUGAUAGUGCCGUGCGUGUGUGCGUUCAUAGGGGUGAGUGUAUGCGCGUGUAUAUGAGCGCUUGCGUCUGUACUGUGUAAAAAAACCGUAAAUGCGUGUCAAAAAGAGACUAGUCAGUAUACUCAAUAUUGUGCACCUCGGAGAGGAAAAUGAUAGAACUAGUACGUAUUUAUUAACGGUGCAGAUUCACUCAUUUUGCUCCAUAUGUACUCCGUCUCGAUGUAGUCUAGUCACUUGUUGAAAUCUCUAGAAGGGCAAAUAUUAGCAAGUAGUUGUACGUACUAGUACAAUAGUGGGCUCACAUAGCAAUUUUGUCUCAUGCAAGAGCCUGGCUAUAUGCGUGCUCCAAUGUUCGCAACUGCAACGUUCGGUUUGCGCUUGGCUCUUCGCCUCUUCGAGAAGACGAACAAUGAUGUUACUACUACUGCUUCUACAGUGUCGAAUCCACUGCUGCAUGUCCGUCCACCGCGAGCUGGACGGAUAGCUUGUUGUAGAAGUACUACUAAGCAAAAGCCUGUCCUCGUUUGCGAGCAACCGCGCGCAUGGGUGAGGGAGAAGGCGUGUAGUAAAAUCAAGCUUCUCCUCGUUGUACGAGUUGACGUGACACACCAUAGCACUGGCCCCACAUGCUUGCCUCUAAACUUGGCUGAAAGACCCGCAGUGUACAAUAUAUUUGCUGCAACCUCUAACACUUACCCACCACAAAUUAAAAUAUAUGUGGCCGUAUGCAUCGUUCUGAUGCAGAGGCCGGGGAGUCCCCCCUUUUCGAAAAAAAACAAAUUAAAAUAUAUAUUCCUGUCUUGACCAGAUGAGCGUGCAAACUACAAUCACCAGGGUGUCAUGUAGGGCCAGAAGACUAUUUUAAUUUUUUUAAAAACUUCGAGACGGCCACAUAGCAUGGAGCCGACCCCAACGAUUUUAAGCUUACAGGCACGGUACACGCUAUCCUAGACUACUCUACACAUGAAACUGCCACACGAGCGUCCGGGCUGCGCUUGGCUCUUCGCCUCUUCGGGAAGUCGAACAAUGAUGGAGUACUACUGCACUGGAGGAGUACUACAGUACGCUUCUGGCCAUCUAACACCGAUUGAACUGCUGCAUGUUCACCGCGUGCGGGAGGGAGAGCGUGUAGUGAAAGCUUCUCCUAGUCUUGCCAGCCACCACGCUCAUGGGCGAGGGAGGGACGCUGUAUGUGGCCAACCUGUCAUACAGCCAAAGGCGGGUGCAGUUAAGUCCGCGAGGGAGAGGAUAAUCAAACUUCUCGUUGAUGUACGAGUUGACGCGACACAUCAAAGCACUGCACUCGAUAUAUUUCAAUAAUUUGCGUUUACCGAUGCAUUAAUUACAACGCAUGCAUGCAUGCCGUGACUCUCCUUUUGAUACUUGCAUGUGUUGAUUUAAUGCACCUUGAAGUAGUAUAAAAUAUGUGGAUUGUGUCGUCGGUUGUGAAAUGUUGGGUUCUAGCACGGAUGUUUGGCCUUUGUUGGCCUCUUGGGAUGUUGCGAUUUCAAUCUGGUAGCUUUUAGUCCUUCGUGUUAGGCUGGAGUUGUGCUGAACUUCGUGUGAAUUGUGGUGGUUUUCAGUUGUAACACCCACGAUGCGGCUAUAUCUCCCACGUGCCGAGGCACGACUUAGAGGCAUAACCGCGUUGUAGGUAUUGUCGCAAGAAGGUCAUCUUCACACAAUCCCAUGUAAUGAACAAGAAUGGGAUAAAGAGAGUUGGCUUACAAUCGCCACUUCACACAAUACAUAAAUUAAUUCAUACACCAUCCAAAAUCCACACAUAGACCGACUACGGUCAAAUCCAAAUGAAAAGAAGAUAACCCCAAAUGCUAGAUCCCCGUCGUCCCAACUGGGCUCCACUACUGAUCAUCAGGAAAUGAAACAUAGUAACGACCACGGUCCUCGCCGAACUCCCACUUGAGCUCGGUUGCGUCGCCUGCACUGGUAUCGUCGGCACCUGCAACUGUUUUGGUAGAAUCUGUGAGUCACAAGGACUCAGCAAUCUCACACUCGCGAGAUCAAGACUAUUUAAGCUUAUAGGAAAGGAUGGGGUAAUGAGGUGGAGCUGCAGCAAGCACUAAGCAGAUGGUGGCUAACACACGCAAAUGAGAGCGAGAAGAGAAGCAACGCAACGAUCGCGAAGCUAGAAAUGAUCAAGAAGUGAUCCUGAAACUACUUACGUUCAUACAUAACCCAAACCGUGUUCACUUCCCGGGCUCCGCUGAAAAGAGACCAUCACGACUACACACACAGUUGAUGUAUUUUAAUUAAGUCAAGUGUCAAGUUCUCUACAACCGGGCAUUAACAAAUUCCCAUCUGCCUCAUAACCGCGGGCACGGCUUUCGAAAGAUAAUACCCUGCAGGGGUGUCCCAACUUAGCCCAUUAUAAGCUCUCACGGUCAACGAAGGAUAUUCCUUCUCCCGGGAAGACCCGAUCAGUCUCGGAAUCCCGGUUUACAAGACAUUUCGACAAUGGUAAAACAAGACCAGCAAAGCCGCCCGAUGCGCUGACAAUCCCGAUAGGAGCUGCACAUAUCUCGUUCUCAGGGCAACACCGGAUGAGACAUCCUACGAGUAAAACCAGCCCUCAAGUUUCCCUGAGGUGGCCCCGCAGUCUACUCGGUUCAGACCAGCCCUUAGAGAAGCACUGGCCCCCGGGGGNNNNNNNNNNNNNNNNNNNNNNNNNNNNNNNNNNNNNNNNNNNNNNNNNNNNNNNNNNNNNNNNNNNNNNNNNNNNNNNNNNNNNNNNNNNNNNNNNNNNNNNNNNNNNNNNNNNNNNNNNNNNNNNNNNNNNNNNNNNNNNNNNNNNNNNNNNNNNNNNNNNNNNNNNNNNNNNNNNNNNNNNNNNNNNNNNNNNNAUGCACGACUCCCAAGGGAAAAGGCUAGGUGAGGCAAAUGUAAAACCAAGGUUGGGCCUUGCUGGAAGAGCUUUAUUCAAAGCAAACUGUCAAGGGGGUCCCAUAAAACACCCAACCGCGUAAGGGACGCAAAAUCAAGGAACAUAACACCGGUAUGACGAAAACUAGGGCGGCAAGAGUGGAACAAAACACCAGGCAUAAGGCCGAGCCUUCCACCCUUUACCAAGUAUAUAGAUGCAUUAAUUAAGAUACGAGAUAUUGUGAUAUCCCAACAUAUCCAUGUUCCAACAUGGAACAAACUUCAUCUUCACCUGCAACUAUCAACGCGAUAAGAGGGGCUGAGCAAAAGCGGUAACAUAGCCAAACAACGGUUUGCUAGGAAAGGAUGGUUAGAGGCUUGACAUGGCAAUAUGGGAGGCAUGAUAUAGCAAGUGGUAGGUAGCGCAGCAUAGCAAUAGAGUGAACAACUAGCAAGCAAAGAUAGAAGUGAUUUCGAGGGUAUGGUCAUGUUGCGUGAGAUCCCGCAAGGAAGAAGAACGAGUCCAUGAAGAAGACAAAUGGACGAAGUCGAACAAAUCCUCACAACUCCGAAAUGAAACCGAAGCUAACCCGAGAAGCAAACCGGAAAGGAGCAAACAACAUGGUAAACAACCAUCACAUUAACAUGGCACGAUGCACAAUCAAGUAUGAUGCAUGUCCGGUUUAAAUGAGGCAUGGCAUGGGAAAAUGCAACAAAGAAUACUACAAAUUAAGUGGAGCUCAAUAUGCAACGAGUUGCAUAUUGACAAAACACCACAUCAAUUAUUUAGUUCUCUCCUGUUUAUGUACCCAACAAUAUUAACUGUGGUUAAGCAGGGCAAGAGGUGAAGCAUAAUAAAACUAUCUAUUUAGGCAAGUUUAAAUGAGGCCGGAAAUAACAAAUAACAAUUCCGGAAAAUCCCCAUAUGUCAUUUAGCAAUUUAAAGCAAACAAUAAUUUUAAACGUUUUAAAUGUUAUUAUCAUGAUGCGGAUGACAUAUGCAAGUUUUAAGCAAUUUUAUGGAAAUGUUGACAUGAGCAUGAUACGAGGCAUUUGUCGCCAUGGCGGAAGGAAAAGGGUGCCACUGCGGUGAAACGGAAAUGGUGCUACGGCAACAUCCCGGUUCCGGUAGCUCAUGGAGAUACCGGUGCAAAAGGAAGCGUGGCGUGAGCGUGUCAUGCAAGAUGGUGGGGUGAUCCCGGCAACCGGGUUCCCAUGGGUCGAAGGCAUGGCAACGGGAACAUGCAAGAAAUAAGUCAGGCACGUUGCAAACGUGAGCAUUUCAUGCAACAUAUGCAUUCGUUCACGGGCGGUCGUCUCGUCAUUAUACCUUUGAAGCGUGCGUUUCGAGGCGGUUCAAAAUUGUCGAUGGAAGUAGUCGUUCACGGGUCGUAGUGGAAGUAGUCGUUCUCAAAGUAGUGGUACACGUUUCGUAGUCGUACACAUUCCAUAGAUGUUCGGGGUCACGGCGAGGAACUUGACGUCCACGGAGUCUUCGAGGGUCGACGGUAGUCGUACACGGCAACCGUAGAUGAACUUGUAGGGCCGUCAAUGUCGUGGUACUUGGUGCAAUGCUCGGGAUGGUAGCCCAACAAUUUGUCGGAGAGGGACUUGACGCAUCAAAGGUCUUCGGUGCCACAAUACUUGGCAGGUCGUCAUGUAGACAUAGAACUUCCGAAGAGGAACUUGGCAUGUCCAAAAUCUUCGGGGAUAGUCCUUGGACUUGGCGGUGGUCUCCUCGGGUCAACAGUGAUGUGCAAGGGCCAGAACACCCGGCGGCUUGGGCUGCUCAAGGCCAUGGAGAUGACAGGCAGCAGGAGGCUGCUAGUGGAGGCAGAGCCACGACGAGGAGGUCCUGCUCCGACAGCUGCAAGUGGUGGACGGACGCAGGUAGCGGCAAGGCUUCGGGCGCGAGGGAGAAGGAGCCGGCGCGAGGUGGCUGACGGAGGAGAGCAUCUCACGCGCAGGGAAGGAGGUUGAGGCUGGCGCAGGAGCUAGGCGAGCUCAAGCAGAUCCGGCGGAUGGCGCUGCUCGGAGGUCACCGGACGAAGCAGGACGACGGCGGCGAACGAGAGCGAAACAGAGGAGGCAGGCAUGGCACCGCGCUCUGUUGAAGCAGGGGAACAAGCGGGCGAUGCGGUGCUCCGGCGAGGAGAAGGAGGGCGCCAUGGCAGGGGAACGGCGACAGCGGGAUUGGGACGAGCACGAGGACGACGCCGACGAGCUCCACGGCCACGGCGGACGGCGGAACUGGACGGACUCGAGGGCAGGGAGGCGGCUUGGCGACGCGGGACUUGAGGCGCAGGGGCGAGGCGGUCGGAGGAGUCGCCAGAGCAGGCGCGGAGGAAGGGCUCCGGCGAAGGGGACGUCGAGGGCGAGCCGGGUCGAGGGAAUCGGGCGCGACGCUGCUGUUCUCUCUCAUUCUCUCUGGCGGCGCACGGGAGGGAGGAAGGGAUCGAGAGAUGGGGAUCGAUUGAGGGGGCUAGGGUUAAGGACAGGGGGUGCGGCUGGGCCUCCAGGAGCAAAUGGGCCGGCCUGAGUUCUUGGCUGGGCUUCUCUCCCUCUUUCUCCCUCCUUUAAAUCUCUUCCAUAUACAGAAAAGCAAAGAAAGAAGAGGAGAGAAAAGAAAUGGGCAGACAAAGAAUUUGGGCAUGGGGAUUAUUUUCCCGGACUCACAAAAAUACGAGGAACUUGACAAAAUGGCUUGAGGAUUUUUAGGGGAAGUAAAAUCCACAGGCGUUGGAUUUAACUCGGCAUGUUUGAAUUUUCAAACCCAUUCAAAUGAACUCCAAACGGGUUGAAAACUAUAGAAGGUGACACUACACACCAGAUGUGAUUUAUGGGCAGAUUUGGAACAUUUCUGGAUAAAGUAAAAUUGCAACUCAAUUUUACUAAAAGGCCCCAAAGGAAGAAUUGAAGUUGAGUUGGAUAAAAGGAAAUUUGAAGAACAGAGCAAAUGUGUUAUGGAUGAUUCCAAACCAAUGGAAUGGUUUAGUAUAGCUCCCUAAGUAUUGGGAGGAUAUCUUAUAAAGAGAAAUCACCAUGUGAAUUCCCUCGAUUUAAAUAGAUCAAAAAUCUAUGCAAUUUAUUUAGUUGAGUUUUGAAAAUUAAAUGACAUGAUGGCAUGAUGACAUGAUGCAAUGAAAAAUAAAAGAGCAAGCACAAAAGAAACACACGGUGAUCACAAAAAUAUGGAAGUCUUCUGAAGCGUCGGUCUUGGGGCGUUACAACACUCCACCACUACAAGAGGAUCUCGUCCCGAGAUCUAGGAUGGCACCAGAGAGAAAAGCGGAAGAGGAAGAGGUAAAACAAAGUUGCUUCUUUGACAAACGAGUGAAAUCAAAGAACCUUGAGAGGUCGCAAAGCUUGAAGAAAUGACACAACGGAGGUGAACAUAAUUUAAACACUCCGUUCAGCAAGAGGAACAAUGGACAUUGCGAGAACCUUGUAGGUUGAAGGACAUGAAACAAGAGCUUAACGGAUCAAAAUUAAUGUGAAAGCACACCGGUAGAAAAGAGAAACAAGGAACAAGAAUGACAUAAUUUGGACAACACUCCAAUAGAAAAUGGAAGGAAUUAACAUGAACUUGAGAAGAUGGGAUGACACUUGAUGAAAUCAGCAACACACUGCCUCCAGAACUAUUGAAAGAAUGGCACAAUGGGUCAGAAAGAUUUCAGACAGCACUCCGGUUGAGAAGGGAGGCAAAACUUGUUAAGAUGAGAGAACUUGAAUGGAGGACACGACACUCCUGUUAAUUGGCCAGAAAUGAAAAGAAAACAUGAUCUUGAUAUGAAAAGAUGAUGGUUCGAAGAGAGCAAUAUCAGAAAGCCUCCGGAAUGAAUAAUGGAGUGAAAAGAAUGAAGAAGAAGAACAACUUCUACUAGAAAUGAAUUUGAGAACAUCCUUACGAAGAAGGGUUGAACAGAGUUGUUGGAAAAUCAACAACGAAAAGACGCUCGUUGUGGGCUUAUGGAAAACAUCCAACAUUUGAGGUUAUAACCAGCCACUAGCGGUAUCAAUUAAUUUGAUUGAGAACACCAAAGAGAUGAAAAACUUCUUCCACCAAGAUGAUAAAGAGAUAACUUGGAUCAUUGAUAAGCACCAAAAUAGUAACAUUCCUUAGGAAAUGCUUUAAGCGGAAUAUGACACAAGAUAACUCAAACGAGGAGAUUAAUGAAUUUAAAAUAUCUCAUUCUUGACAACAUGUGAAUCACGAAACAUGAAUGAAAAUUGUCAAGAAUGAUAUAACACCACCUCAAAAGAUAAGGUAGAAAGAAUAGCACUUCGACAUGCAAGAUGAAGAAUACUUGAACUCCUCACGACAAAACAUGUGUUGAACACCGAUCAUAAGUUCGAGAGAAAUCUUGAAAAACAAUUGAAGAAUGAAAAUAAUCCUUGACGGAUCGCCAUGUUGAGCCUUCGUGAGAACUUCGGUAAAAAGAGAAUGAUAGAAAGAAGGAGAAGUGAAAAACACAAGGUGAAUCCUUGCAAAGAUUUAGAAGGAGCUUCCCGAUGAGAUAAUGCCGAAAACUUGUAACUCCGGAAAAGAAAAGAUGAAGCGUCUCGAACCGAGAAAUGUGACAUGAUGUACAACUCUGGAAAGAAGAAAUUAGAUCACUUGGAUGAAACAAUAAUAAGAAUUACGUUAUGCGUAUCCUUCACCAAUAUAAAUUUAUGACAAGCAACGGAUUUGGCAUACUACUUAUUCUCGUAGAAAGGAUUAAGGUAGAUAUAGCACAAACUUUGGAAGGUCUUCAACAAACCACCGGUAGGAUUUGAACAACGAAUGAGUUGAUACGAUGAUGAAGGAAGAGAAAUCUUGAACAAACCACCGUAAGAAUUGAAAAUGAAAGUAGCAAAGGCACAAUUCACCGGGAAGAAUUGGAAAACGAAAGAAGAUACUUGAGGGGAUUUAGAUACAUGAGAACGAAGAGAUCGUGAACUGAUUAGAGGAUAUUUGAACGAUGCACCGGAAGAAUUCAAGAACGAGAGCUGAAAGCUGAGAAUGAAUAAUUCUGAGAUGAUGUGCUGCGGAGAAUGAAAUUGAAAAGACUCCUGCAUUGCUCCGGAUGGGUGAAAAUAAUUCUCACAAUCGCAAACAAUUACGAGAAGAUGGCAUGAAGCUAGAACCAUGAAUCUUGAGAGAACGGAUAAGAUUUGGAGGAAAAACUCUUCUUCGGUCUUCAAAUGUUGAGAAUGAUGACAAGAAACACCACCAUAAAUUGUCGAGAUACUCCGGGAUGAAAAUUAGGAAGGUUGAACCAAUGAUGAAAAGAAUGUGAAAAAUCUUGGAGAAGGCAUUUGACUGAUGAUAACUCACUCUCACGUCAAACUUGGAAAAAAAUGAGAGUAACUCCGGGAAGAUUAGAAGAGUCAGGUAAGAUCCUGGGAAAAGACCUGUGGGUUAGGGCCCACUCAAAAGAUACACCGUUGAACGAUUUAAAAGAUAGAUUGUGCCGGUUAAAUUAAAUGGCUUGAAUAAGGUAAGACCUCGAAAUAGCUUGAAAGGAUUUCAAAUAGAAACUUGAAUCUUCUGGGAUAUCUUCAGCACUCCAGAACAAUUGAAUAGCGAGAGCUGAAUGAUUACAAGCUGCAUCGGCAUGAGAAAGCAUUUGAAACAAGGAAAUGAAUAUGAUCAACACCGCAAGCUUGAAUUGAAACCACCGGAGAAGAAAGAGAACGAAUAAUGAUGAAGUUAAGGCUCCGUUAGUAUCUUCCUGAGAAUCACCGGAUAAGAACAUUUACGGAAAAGAAUGGAGAGACUUCCUAUCUAUAAGAUGGAUACUUGAUUAAGAAAUCUGAGUCCUUGAAGAAAAAGGGUGGGAGGGUGGGAAAACAAAGGCAACUUGGGACGGAUGAAACAAACAACAUUGGGAAAACUGAGAGGUGAUCUUGCGAAUGUUGAAAUGAUCGGAUCCACUUGAAGAGAAGCACGCUGGUUGGAAAAGAGUUGACAUGACAACCUCAGAGAUCAAGAAGGAUUAGCACUCCCAUAGAAAUAUGAGAACACAGUUUAGGGAAGGUAUGGAUCAACACUUGACAAUGAAGCAACUCGAAUACCACAAUUCAAAACAAAACAAAGGAUUUGGCUUGCAGAAUAAGCCGGAAACAAACAUAUGAUAGAUCCCAUAUCGUAUCAUGUGUGUGUUGGAAAGAUAUCCUAUGAGAUACUUGAAUUCCCACUUAUAAACUCCCGAAACUUUCUGGUUAUGCAAUCAGGUGUUGGGGAUACAAGGGACACAAAAUAUAUCACCCAAACUAACAAUCCCUAGAUCCAGCUGUAUCCACCCGUCAACACAUAACCAAGAAACCUUCGGAAAUCGUGUACCUCAACCUUCGAAAAGCAUCUGUUAUAUGAGUUAUGGCAAUACUCCCGAACUCCCGCCACAGUACUGGGUGGCGUCGAGGUGAUCUCACCAACAACUGCAUAAAAGAGAUUUUCGAUGUCGGCGAAACUCAGGUAUUCCAGAACUGCAACGAUAAAAUUGUGACGACAACACCUCGGAGCUCAACUCCCCGGGACACUGCCACAACCCCUAAAUGUCAGGAGGCACCAAGAACAAUGUUCUCAUCACAAAACCAUCGGAACGAUUCCAAGAUACCCGCGUGAUCCUAAUUUUUUUUGUGAAAUUUGAGGAGAGAAGAGUCAAAACUUCUACAUCAGGAGACCUCACCAGAGCGACGAAGGGACUGAGGAGUAAAAGGAAUCCUACUCUCCGAUAUAUAUAAUCCUAAGACUCAAAAUAUUUUUGUUCUAAACUUAACAACGCCAGCGAUUCGAUCAAGGAGGGGGCUCCUAAGUCGGGGAUGGCUCUGAUUACCAACUUGUAACACCCACGAUGCGGCUAUAUCUCCCACGUGUCGAGGCACGACUUAGAGGCAUAACCGCAUUGUAGGUAUUGUCGCAAGAAGGUCAUCUUCACACAAUCCCAUGUAAUGAACAAGAAUGGGAUAAAGAGAGUUGGAUUACAAUCGCCACUUCACACAAUACAUAAAUUAAUUCAUACACCAUCCAAAAUCCACACAUAGACCGACUACGGUCAAAUCCAAAUGAAAAGAAGAUAACCCCAAAUGCUAGAUCCCCAAUCGUCCCAACUGGGCUCCACUACUGAUCAUCAGGAAACGAAACAUAGUAACGACCACGGUCCUCGUCGAACUCCCACUUGAGCUCGGUUGCGUCGCCUGCACUUGUAUCGUCGGCACCUGCAACUGUUUUGGUAGAAUCUGUGAGUCACGAGGACUCAGCAAUCUCACACCCGCGAGAUCAAGACUAUUUAAGCUUAUAGGAAAGGAUGGGGUAAUGAGGUGGAGCUGCAGCAAGCACUAAGCGGAUGGUGGCUAACAUACGCAAAUGAGAGCGAGAAGAGAAGCAACGCAACGAUCGCGAAGCUAGAAAUGAUCAAGAAGUGAUCCUGAAACUACUUACGUUCAUACAUAACCCAAACCGUGUUCACUUCACGGGCUCCGCCGAAAAGAGACCAUCACGGCUACACACACAGUUGGUGUAUUUUAAUUAAGUCAAGUGUCAAGUUCUCUACAACCGGGCAUUAACAAAUUCCCAUCUACCUCAUAACCGCGGGCACGGCUUUCGAAAGAUAAUACCCUGCAGGGGCGUCCCAACUUAGCCCAUUAUAAGCUCUCACGGCCAACGAAGGAUAUUCCUUCUCCCGGGAAGACCCGAUCAGUCUCGGAAUCCCGGUUUACAAGACAUUUCGACAAUGGUAAAACAAGACCAGCAAAGCCGCCCGAUGCGCCGACAAUCCCGAUAGGAGCUGCACAUAUCUCGUUCUCAGGGCAACACCGGAUGAGACAUCCUAUGAGUAAAACCAGCCCUCAAGUUUCCCUGAGGUGGCCCCGCAGUCUACUCGGUUCAGACCAGCACUUAGAGAAGCACUGGCCUCCCCGAGGGGGGGGGGGGGGUAAAAUAAAGAUGACCCUCGGGAUGCGCGACUCCCAAGGGAAAAGGCUAGGUGAGGCAAAUGUAAAACCAAGGUUGGGCCUUGCUGGAAGAGUUUUAUUCAAAGCGAACUGUCAAGGGGGUCCCAUAAAUCACCCAACCGCGUAAGGGACGCAAAAUGAAGGAACAUAACACCGGUAUGAUGGAAACUAGGGCGGCAAGAGUGGAACAAAACACCAGGCAUAAGGCCGAGCCUUUCACCCUUUACCAAGUAUAUACAUGCAUUAAUUAAGAUAAGAGAUAUUGUGAUAUCCCAACAUAUCCAUGUUCCAACAUGGAACAAACUUCAUCUUCACCUGCAACUAUCAACGCUAUAAGAGGGGCUGAGCAAAAGCGGUAACAUAGUCAAACAACGGUUUGCUACGAAAGGAUGGUUAGAGGCUUGACAUGGCAAUAUGGGAGGCAUGAUAUAGCAAGUGGUAGGUAGCGCAGCAUAGCAAUAGAGCGAACAACUAGCAAGCAAAGAUAGAAGUGAUUUCGAGGGUAUGGUCAUCUUGCGUGAGAUCCCGCAAGGAAGAAGAACGAGUCCAUGAAGAAGACAAACGGACUAAGUUGCACAAAUCCUCACAACUCCGAAACGAAACCGAACCUAACCCGAGAAGCGAACCGCAAAGGAGCAAACAACAUGGUAAGCAACCAUCACAUCAACAUGGCACGGUGCACAAUCAAGUAUGAUGCAUGCCCGGUUUAAAUGAGGCAUGGCAUGGGAAAAUGCAACAAACAAUACUACAAAUUAAGUGGAGCUCAAUAUGCAACGAGUUGCAUAUUGACAAAACACCAGAUCAAUUAUUUAGUUCUCUCCUGUUUAUGUACCCAACAAUAUUAACUGUGGUUAAGCAGGGCAAGAGGUGAAGCAUUAUAAAACUAUCUAUUUAGGCAAGUUUAAAUGAGGUCGGAAAUAACAAAUAACAAUUCCGGAAAAUCCCCAUAUGUCAUUUAGCAAUUUAAAGCAAACAACAAUUUUAAACGUUUUAAAUGUUAUUAUCAUGAUGCGGAUGACAUAUGCAAGUUUUAAGCAAUUUUAUGGAAAUGUUGACAUGAGCAUGAUACGAGGCAUUUGUCGACAUGGCGGAAGGAAAAGGGUGCCACUGCGGUGAGACGGAAAUGGUGCUACGGCAACAUCCCGGUUCCGGUAGCUCAUGGAGAUACCGGUGCAAAAGGAAGCGUGGCGUGAGCGUGUCAUGCAAGAUGGUGGGGUGAUCCCGGCAACCGGGUUCCCAUGGGUCGAAGGCAUGGCAACGGGAACAUGCAAGAAACACGUCAGGCACGUUGCAAACGCGAGCAUUUCAUGCAACAUAAGCAUUCGUUCACGGGCGGUCGUCUCGUCAUUAUACCUUUGAAGCGUGCGUUUCGAGGCGGUUCAAAAUUGUCAAUGGAAGUAGUCGUUCACGGGUCGUAGUGGAAGUAGUCGUUCUCAAAGUAGUGGUAAACGUUUCGUAGUCGUACACAUUCCGUAGAUGUUCGGGGUCACGGCGAGGAACUUGACGUCCACGGAGUCUUCGAGGGUCGACGGUAGUCGUACACGGCAACCGUAGUUGAACUUGUAGGGCCGUCAAUGUCGUGGUACUUGGUGCAAUGCACGGGAUGGUAGCCCAACAAUUUGUCGGAGAGGGACUUGACGCAUCAAAGGUCUUCGGUGCCACGAUACUUGGUGGGUCGUCAUGUAGACGUAGUACUUCCGAAGAGGAACUUGGCGCGUCCAAAAUCUUCGGCGAUAGUCCUUGGACUUGGCGGUGUUCUCCUCGGGUCAACAGUGAUGUGCAAGGGCCAGAACGCCCAGCGGCUUGGGCUGCUUAAGGCCAUGGAGAUGACAGGCAGCAGGAGGCUGCUAGUGGAGGCAGAGCCACGACGAGGAGGUCCUGCUCCGACAGCUGCAAGUGGUGGACGGACGCAGGCAGCGGCAAAGCUUCGGGCGCGAGGGGGAAGAAGCCGGCGUGAGGUGGCUGACGGAGGAGAGCAUCUCACGCGCAGGGAAGGAGGUUGAGGCUGGCGCAGGAGCUAGGCGAGCUCGAGCAGAUCCGGCGGAUGGCUCUGCUCGGAUGUCACCGGACGAAGCAGGACGACGGCGGCGAACGAGCGCGAGGCAGAGGAGGCAGGCAUGGCACUGCGCUCUGUUGAAGCAGGGGAACGAGCGGGCGACGCGGUGCUCCGGCGAGGAGAAGGAGGGCGCCAUGGCAGGGGAACGGCGGCAGCGGGACUGGGACGAGCACGAGGACGACGCAGACGAGCUCUACGGCCACGACGGACGGCGGAACUGGACGAACUCGAGGGCAGGGAGGCGGCUUGGCGACGCGGGACUUGAGGCGCAGGGGCGAGGCGGUCGGAGGAGUCGCCAGAGCAGGCGCGGAGGAAGGGCUCCGGCGAAGGGGACGUCGAGGGCGAGCUGGGUCGAGGGAAUCGGGCACGGCGCUGCUGUUCUCUCUCAUUCUCUCUGGCGGCGCACGGGAGGGAGGAAGGGAUCGAGAGAUGGGGAUCGAUUGAGGGGGCUGGGGUUAAGGACAGGGGGUGCGGCUGGGCCUCCAGGAGCGAAUGGGCCGGCCUGAGUUCUUGGCUGGGCUUCCCUCCCUCUUUCUCCCUCCUUUAAAUCUCUUCCAUAUACAGAAAAGCAAAGAAAGAAGAGGAGAGAAAACAAAUGGGUGGACAAAGAAUUUGGGCAUGGGGAUUAUUUCCCCGGACUCACAAAAAUACAAGGAACUUGACAAAAUGGCUUGAGGAUUUUUAGGGGAAGUAAAAUCCACACGCGUUGGAUUUAACUCAGCAGGUUUGAAUUUCGAAACCCAUUCAAAUGAAGUCCAAACGGGUUGAAAACUAUAGAAGGUGACCCUACACACCAGAUGUGAUUUAUGGGCAGAUUUGGAACAUUUCUGGAUAAAGUAAAAUUGCAACUCAAUUUUACUAAAAGGCCCCAAAGGAAGAAUUGAAGUUGAGUUGGAUAAAAGGAAAUUUGAAGAACAGAGCAAAUGUGUUAUGGAUGAUUCGAAGCCAAUGGAAUGGUUUAGUAUAGCUCCCUAAGUAUUGGGAGGAUAUGUUAUAAAGAGAAAUCACCAUGUGAAUUCCCUCGAUUUAAAUAGAUCAAAAAUCUAUGCAAUUUAUUUAGUUGAGUUUUGAAAAUUAAAUGACAUGAUGACAUGAUGCAAUGAAAAAUAAAAGAGCAAGCACAAAAGAAACACACGGUGAUCACAAAAAUAUGGAAGUCUUCUGAAGCGUCGGUCUUGGGGUGUUACAUCAGUAAUGAAAAUCGGAAGGGGCAAGCCCUUCUUUGAUAAAAAAAAUAAUCGUCCUUAUAUAUUCAUCAGUCUUGCUAUAAGUCGCAGUAGAUGCUAUAUAGGUCCGUCGGAUCUUACAUCAAGAUCCGUGCUUUCAGAUUUUCUUUUUUCUCUCUUAAAUCUCAGUCGAGUGAGACAUAGCCACGCCAUUAAACAGAGGCUCGGUUGCCAUUAAUGGAGACCUUGGGAGAGAGGUGGACGGCAGAUGGAGGUCAAAGGGCUCUCCUCCCGAUAAGCACGCGCAAGGGUCUGAUCGCAUGCCUCUCGUACUCAAAUAGCUACCCUACACGGCGCCUCCUAGCUAAUAAAAAAUGGGGACGCGUGGCGGCACGUAAAUGGUACUAGUAAGUAGAACGCCCAUGGUUUCAAUAAUACUUGUGUUUCCGAUUGUAACGUGACGACACUUGUUCCAAAAUGACUUUGUUGCUUGUUAAUGUGUGUGCCUUUGCAAAUCGGACUGCAAAUUUACCCCAGCAUCACUAGGUAAAGAAGACACAUCCGUGACAUUUUGGGCCGAACGAAUUUUUUUUCUGUCAUACAUAUGACACUUCUAUCACGAUAAUUGUGACAAAACCCGGUAUCAUCAUAGAUGUGGUGGGCUCCUACUUCUAUGACAAAAAAUCAUGACAGAAAAUGGGCUUUUCUGUAACGCCCACGAUGCGGCUAUAUCUCCCACGUGUCGAGGCACGACUUAGAGGCAUAACCGCAUAGUGGUUUUGUCGCAAGAAGGGUCAUCUUCACACAAUCCCAUGUAAUGAACAAGAAUGGGAUAAAGAGUUGGCUUACAAUCGCCACUUCACACAAUACAUAAAUAUAAUUCAUACAUCAUCCAAAAUACAAACAUAGACCGACUACGGUCAAGAUCCAAAUGAAAAUAAGACAACCCCAAAUGCUAGAUCCCCGAUCGUCCCAACUGGGCUCCACUACUGAUCAUCAGGAAAAGACACAUAGUAACGACCACGUUCCUCGUCGAACUCCCACUUGAGAUCGACCCCAUCAUCUGCACUGGCAUCGUCGGCACCUGCAACUGUUUUGGUAGAAUCUGUGAGUCACGGGGACUCAGCAAUCUCACACCCGCGAGAUCAGGACUAUUUAAGCUUAUAGGAAAGGGAGGUGUAAUGAGGUGGAGCUGCAGCGGCUAUAAGCAUAAUGGUGGCUAACUUGCACAAAUGAGAGCGAGAAGAGAAGCAACGGAACGGUCGUCAACUAGUAAUGACCAAGAAGUGAUCCUGAACUCCUACUUACGUCAUACAUAACUCAGACCGUGUUCACUUCCCGGACCCCGCCGAGAAGAGACCAUCACGGCUUCACACGCAGUUGAUGCAUUUUAAUUGGGUCAAGUGACAAGUUCUCUACAACCGGACAUUAACAAAUUCCCAUCUGCCUCAUAACCGCGGGCACGGCUUUCGAAAGAUAAUACCCUGCAGGGGUGUCCCAACUUAGCCCAUCAUAAGCUCUCACGGUCAACGAAGGAUAAACCUUCUCCCGGAAAGACCCGAUCAGUCUCGGAAUCCCGGUUUACAAGACAUUUCGACAAUGGUAAAACAAGACCAGCAAAGCCGCCCGAAUGUGCCGACAAAUCCCGAUAGGAGCUGCACAUAUCUCGUUCUCAGGGCACACCGGAUAAGUCAAGCUACGAGUAAAACCAGACCUCGAGUUUCCCCGAGGUGGCCCCGCAGGCUGCUCGGUUCGGACCAACACUCGAAGGAGCACUGGCCCGGGGGGUUAAAAUAAGAUGACCCUCGGGCUCGCGAAAACCCGGGGGAAAAGGCUUAGGCGGCAAAUGGUAAAACCAAAGUUGGGCCUUGCUGGAGGAGUUUUAUUCAAGGCGAACUGUCAAGGGGGUCCCAUAAAUCACCCGACCGCGUAAGGAACGCAAACUCAAGGAACAUAAUCCCGGUUAACAGAAACUAGGGCGGCAAGAGUGGAACAAAACACCAGGCAUAAGGCCGAGCCUUCCACCCUUUACCAAGUAUAUAGAUGCUUUAAUUAAAUAAGAGAUAUUGUGAUAUCCCAACAUAUCCAUGUUCCAACAUGGAACAAACUUCAACUUCACCUGCAACUAGCAACGCUAUAAGAGGGGCUGAGCAAAAGCGGUAUCUUAGCCAAACAACGGUUUGCUAGGAAAGGAUGGUUAGGGCUGACAUGGCAAAAUGGGAGACAUGAUAUAGCAAGUGAUAGGUAGCGUAGCAUGGCAAUAGAGCGAACAACUAGCAAGGCAAAGAUAGAAAUGAUUUCAAGGGGUGGUCAUCUUGCCUGCAAGGUUCUCAGAGUUGUCGAAAGCUUGAUCCUCGUAAGCGUACUCAACAGGUUCCUCGUUCACGAACUCGUCUCCCGGCUCUACCCAAGACAAGAACACAAGCAACGGAACCACAAUCAAUCACGAGAAAUGCACAAGCAACAUGAUGCAAAACAUGUAUGAUAUGCAAGAUAUGAUGUGCGAUGCAUAUGCGUGCUCCGGAAGGAAAAAUAUGAACAAGGCAGUAACUUGGCAAACCAAGCAUGCCACUGGAAAGAUGAGAUGAUUUCGGUCGAAAUCGAUAUAAAGAUCACCGGAAACGGAUGCACGGUUUGCAAAAGGCAAGCAAAACAAGAAUGACACGAAUCUGCGAUUAACAGCAUGAUAGCAUUUAAAAUGCAACAAACAACAAUGCUACAGCACUCCAACAUAGCAAAAAAGCACAUGGCAGUAAUCUACAGGAGAUGCUUGACAAAAGAUGAACAAUAAGCUACGGCUAGUUCACAACAUAUCAAGCUCAAACAAGCAUGGAAAAAGUGCAAAAGAUAACAGGUUCACAGACUUGGUGAAAAACUGGACAUGGCAGAAAACAGCAUCAGGUAGCAAUGUUCAGAGCACGAAAUCAACAUGCUACAGGAACUUAACAUGGAAAAACUUGGCAUGGAAGUAUUCUACUAGAUGCAUAUGACAAAAGUCCCUUAAUGACCAUAAGUCAAAAAGGACCAGAAGAUAUGAUGGCAAGCAUGUAAACAUAGAAAGUUUCGUUAUCAGGUUUCAGACUUAGCAGAAAACAGAGCAUGGCAGAAAUAAUAAUAUGAAGGCCUCUUUGUGAGCUUGAUGCACUUACUACAGAGCAAUGAAUGACAAAACAAGCAUACCUACAGCAAGAUGGCAUGUUUAUGAAGCUAACCAUGGCAAGAACAAUAGCAUAGCAUGUAUGGAUCAACUACAAUAAUCUUGGCAAAAAUGAAUAUCAUGUUAAGAAUCUGCCAGAAAUAUUUUAUAGCAAAAGUAGAGUAAGAUUGAGUCAUGCUAUGUCACUCCAUAAUUGCAAACAAGGGCAGGAAUGGAACAAUUACAACUAUAUCUACAAAACAGCCUUACUGAACAUCUCCAAAAUAUGCAUGGAUCUCUCUGUAGCAUCAAGUUUACAUGGCAACAAAAUAACAGCAGACAAAAACUUAGAGAAAUCACCAAGUCCCUGAAAUCAGAAACAUUACGGGGCCUACUUUGCAUGCUUGUGCUAGUCACCACAGAGAUCACAAAAAUACAUGGCAUCCACCCUUGAAAAGAUGGCAUGGCAUACAACAAAACACAUGUAGAGCUCAUGCCCAUAAGAUGCACAGAUUUAAAGAUACAAAAAUGACAAAUCUCCAAGUUCUGUUAAGAACCAGCAGAUAACAGCAACUAGCCCUCUUGCAACAGAGAUUUGGGCAUCAAGAUGACCUCUAAUGAACAUGGUGCAAUUGAACAAAAUGUCGAGCAUCGCGAGAUGAACAAUUUGACAUAUUACACGCGCGAAUCGGAGCUACAUGCGAGGAGUUAUGCAAUGAGGAACAUAAGCAUAUGCUGUAGAAUUUAGAGGACUUGGAGAAAAUUUAGGGGUUCGAGAAGUCAACGCUCACAGAGUGGAUCAAGAUCUGAGGAGCUCCUCGAGCUCGAGCUCGGCCGGAGCGGCGCCGGAGGAAGGAGCCGGCGGGAGGAGGAGGACGCGGCGGCGGCGGUGCGGUGCGGGGACGGCGGCGAGGUCCGGCGGCGGGGCCGGCCGCGACGNNNNNNNNNNNNNNNNNNNNNNNNNNNNNNNNNNNNNNNNNNNNNNNNNNNNNNNNNNNNNNNNNNNNNNNNNNNNNNNNNNNNNNNNNNNNNNNNNNNNNNNNNNNNNNNNNNNNNNNNNNNNNNNNNNNNNNNNNNNNNNNNNNNNNNNNNNNNNNNNNNNNNNNNNNNNNNNNNNNNNNNNNNNNNNNNNNNNNNNNNNNNNNNNNNNNNNNNNNNNNNNNNNNNNNNNNNNNNNNNNNNNNNNNNNNNNNNNNNNNNNNNNNNNNNNNNNNNNNNNNNNNNNNNNNNNNNNNNNNNNNNNNNNNNNNNNNNNNNNNNNNNNNNNNNNNNNNNNNNNNNNNNNNNNNNNNNNNNNNNNNNNNNNNNNNNNNNNNNNNNNNNNNNNNNCGGCAGACGGGUGCCACGUGGCGGCUCGCCACUGGCUCGGGGAGGCGGCGCGGUUCGUCCGGCCGGCGGCAGACGCGUCCGGCGGCGCGGAGGGAAGUUUUUAGGGUUUCAUCAGCGAUUCGUAUACGGGAGGUGUUGAGGAUAUAGACCUGGGAGUCACCCGCCAGGAGGGCCGGGUUACUCUAAGGGUCAUUGCCAGAAGCCCGGAGUUAAGUUUCAAGAUAAUGGGCCAGAGAUGGGCUGAGACCCGGCGAGGGCUUAUUACUCAUAGUUAUCAUCAUUGUUAUAGUAGACUUGUAGUGUAAGGCAAGUAUUGUUUGGAGUCCGAGCCGGACACUCUUAUGAGCCGGCCGGGACUCUAAGGGCUGCUGGGCGUCAGCCUCCAUAUAUAAAGGGACGACCCGGCAGCGGUUGAGGGGCGACAACAAUCUGAUCGAGAGCCGGGCAUAGCUGUUUAGCUCCCUGGUUAUCGAAACCCUGAUUAAUACCACCUCAACUGGACGUAGGCUUUUACCUUCACCGUAAGGGGCCGAACCAGUAUAAACCCCCGUGUUCCUUGUCCCGCAUAACCCCUUCAAGCUUCCUAGUUGCGAUGGCUCCACGACUAAGUCCUAGCUCAAGGACGUCUGCCAUGACAAGUCCACGAUAGUUGGCGCCCACCGUGGGGCCAGCGCACGGUGGAUUUGAGUUCUUGAAGGGCAGCUUCGAAGGGCUCAAGGGAUACGCCGUAGGCCGGAUGACCAAGAGUCGUCGCGGCAAGCUCUACAUCGACGACGAGGACUGGGGCCCCGACGCCGGCUCAAUUGAGUAUGGGUACCGGGUCCCCUUUGGCGGAAUCCAUGUCUUCAUUGGCAAGGUUGGUGAGCCGGGCCCCGAGCCGGAUCUCUGCGCCGAUCUCAUCGAAACGGCUCAGCGCGCACGACCCGCCCGGGCCCGGCCUGCCUUAAGGCGCGCUUUUGUGGGAUGCAUCCACGGAGGGCCCUCUGAUCCAUCCGGGUCUGGUGAUGAGGCGGCCGCCGGCUCUGACGGCGAGUCGGCCGCUGAUGAGUCAAACUCGUUGUACCAACUUCAAGAUGGCAGGCUCAUGAGUUUUUCCGAUGGCAACAGUAUUCCGGACCUUUUUGAGCCGCCAAGUCAGGUUGGAGUUUUCAUGGCCGGCGCGCAACCUGUUCAGAACCCCGCUGCCGGAUCAGGAAACCCGGUGCCUUCCCCGGCUCAGGUGCUGAUGGAUCUCACGGACAAGAUGACGGCCCUGUUAACCGCCACGGUUGACCCGGCAGAUCAAGCUCAGCAUGAUGCGGAGGUGGCAUAGUUAAAAUUAGAUCUGAUGAAAGCUAAAGAGGACCUUGCAGCGGAAGGGAUCAGACUGGCGGCGGAGCGGGCGGCUCUCGAUGCCCGGACUCAGCUGAUUCAGGCGCAGUCCUUCCAACUCACGAUGGAUCAGAGCACGGCCAAUGAGGUCAUGAGAAGGAGGCAUCAAAAGGCUCAAUCUCGACUCCCGCCGGUUUACGAUCCGCGCAACCUCUUCAACACACCGGGUGCAGGGUCUAGUCACCCGCCGGGGGUCGUAGCACCCGGAUCUGGACCCCUUAUUCAACCACUAGUGAUGGGGCCUCCCCAGGGGCCCCCCGCCCCGCCUCAGUAUAUGCCAAUACCCCCGGGUCAUUAUAAUAACCCGCUGGAGAACAUGGUCGCCGCAGCGGCACGGCUGGCGGCUCUGCCCGUUGAUGGCGACUCUCCAACGGCUAUUGAGACCCGCCGGGUCAGAGAACUCCUCCAGACAGCGCUGGCGCAGCAAGAGGCGUACUCCUACAGCCGGGAUAGAAUCCAUUCAACCCCUCGUCCAGGGCAGAGCCCGAGUUACAGCCGGCACAUGGUCUCGGCGACCGGCUCAAGUAAUGUCCGACGCCAUGACCCGCCCCCUGGCCACGGCCCGGCUCAUGUUGGAGCCUUCUAUGCAGCAGACCAAGCACGGCAAGAGGCGGAACAGGUACCGCAAUUGACGGCUUACCAGACCCCCCCCCGACGUAUCCGACGGCGUCCGUUGAUGUGGGUAUUUCUACCAGGACCGGGGGUGUCCCUUGUUUGGUGCCGGCCAUCCGUAAUGAACGUCUGCCUAAGGACUUCAAGGGCCCGAGGAAGGUGCCUAACUAUACAGCUGACUUACAGCCUGCGGCCUGGAUUGAGAGUUAUGAGAUGGCGAUGGAAUUGCUAGAGGUCAGUGAGGCGGCCAUGGCCAAAUAUUUCACCAUGAUGUUAGAUGGAACUGCUCGCACGUGGUUAAAAGGGCUACCUCCAAACUCCAUUGGGUCUUGGGCUGAGCUGAAAGCCCGGUUCAUUCAAAACUUCAAGGAUACCUGUAGGCAGUCCAUGUCUAUUGUAGAUUUGACUAACUGUAAGCAGCAGGAGGGUGAAUCCACGACCCAUUGGGUUCGCCGGGUCAAGGAGAUCAUACAUUCAUCAGAUAAGAUGGAUGCCGGCUCUGCGGUCUUGAUGUUGGAACAAAACUAUCGCUUUGUGCCCCUAAAGAUGAAACUUGGGCGGCUUAAACGCGACUGCACGGAUAUGGGUACACUAAUGGCGGCUCUUGUCAAGUACGCCGAUUCUGAUGGUACCAAGGAUCCCCCUUCAUAUGAUGAAAGGACAGGGAAGGGAAAGAAGAACGGCAAUGGCAAGGGUCCUCAGUUUAACCCGGGGAAUCAAGGAGGAAGCAAGCGCAAAGCCGAUGGCAGCCUGGAGUUCGUAGCCAACACCCAAGGUAACAACCAGCGACGCAAGGGGAGGCCCCCUCCCCGAGGCAGCGGGUCAGGACCUUCUCUGGAGCAGCUGUUGAAUGAACCUUGUCCGAGACACGGUUCUAGAGAGAAGCCGGCGACUCAUCUGUGGAAGGAUUGUGCUAUCAUGAAAGCCUUUAAAAACUACAAUGGUUCGGGUGGCGGCUCAGGCGCCGGCGGCUUUCAUGGCCCGGGCGGCGGGUCAAAUUCCGGUCCUCAGAACGGUCAAGGGGGCUUUAAUCAACAGUCUGGUCAGGGUCAUCAACAGCAACAGGGGGGCUAUCAGACCAACCCAAAGCAGCUUAGCGGUGGACAGUAUCACGUGUUCACCACCAGUUUGUGCAAACGAGACGAGAAGCUUCACAAGAGGGCUGUUAAUGCUGUUGAGCCGGCGGUUCCACGCUACUUACGGUGGUCGGAGCAGCCCAUAGUGUGGAGUAGGGAGGAUCACCCUCCCCGGGUGGAUAACCCGGGCCACCUGGCCUUAGUGGUGGCUCCUCAAGUGGGAGGCUAUAAGUUCACAAAGGUACUCAUGGAUGGAGGCAGCAGCAUCAACAUCCUCUAUUAUGAGACUUUCCGUCGUAUGGGGCUAGUUGAUAAGAACCUCAGCCAGUCAAAUACUAUCUUCCAUGGUGUGGUACCCGGCAAAUCGGCUUAUCCAGUCGGCAAGAUUGAACUGGAAGUGGCCUUCGGUGAUGAGAACAACUACAGGGUGGAGAAGUUGACCUUUGAGGUGGUCAAGAUAAGAAGUCCUUACCACGCCAUAUUUGGGCGGCCGGCUUACGCCAAGUUCAUGGCACGGCCGUGUUAUGUGUACUUACAACUCAAGAUGCCGGGUCACAACGGGACCAUUACGGUUCACGGUAGCCGGAAAGUGGCUCUGGAGUGUGAGGAAGGUGACGCGGCUUAUGCAGAGUUUGUUUGUGCCACAGAAGAGUUGAAAUUUUAUAAAGACAAUGUUGACCCAACAGAUAUGACCUCUCUAAAAAAGCCAACCACGGAGAAUGAACCAGCAAUGAAGUUUAAAUCAGCUGAUGCGACUAAACUUGUUGAUUUUGUUCCAGGUGACUCGUCUCAGCAGUUCAGCAUCAGUGCAAAUCUGGACCCGAAAUAGGAAGGCGCGCUCAUCGAGUUCAUCCAUGAGAAUAGGGACAUCUUCGCAUGGAAACCCUCUGACAUGCCAGGUGUACCUAGAGAACUCGCUGAGCACACUCUCAAUGUUGAUCCAAAAUUUAAGCCGGUCAGACAGUUCCUUCGACGGUUUAACGAAGAGAGGCGGAAGGCUAUCGGUGAAGAAGUGGCCCGGCUUUUGGCGGCCGGGUUCAUUGUCGAAGUUUUUCACCCAGAAUGGUUGGCUAACCCGGUGCUUGUACUUAAGAAGAACGGCACCUGGCGGAUGUGUGUGGACUACACGGACUUGAACAAGGCGUGUCCGGCUGAUCCUUUUGCUCUCCCCCGUAUUGAUCAGAUCAUUGAUGCUACGGCAAGUUGUGCACGCUUAAGUUUCUUGGAUGCCUAUUCCGGGUAUCAUCAGAUUAAAAUGGCAGUUAAGGACCAGGAGAAGACGGCAUUCAUCACUCCCUUUGGAGCCAUCUGCUAUGUGUCUAUGCCCUUUGGACUCAAGUGUGCACAGGCGACUUACCAGCGUUGUGUGCAGAAUUGUCUUCAUAAACAGAUCGGGCGCAAUGUUCACGCUUACGUGGACGACAUUGUGGUUAAAUCCAUCAAGGAGGAAACCCUGAUAGAUGACUUAAGGGAAACCUUCGACAAUCUCCGGGUCUAUAAGAUGAUGCUCAACCCGGCCAAGUGUGUUUUUGGUGUUCCUGCAGGCAAACUAUUGGGCUUCUUGGUUUCUGACAGAGGCAUUGAGGCUAACCUGGAGAAGAUCAAGGCCAUCACUUCCUUGGCUAAGCCGGCGUGUGUAAAUGACGUUCAGCGUUUGGCGGGUCGCAUCGCUGCUUUAAGCCAGUUUAUAAGUCGUUUGGGUGAGAAGGCUAUGCCCUUAUAUCAGUUGAUGAAGAAAACUGACAACUUUGUCUGGAAUGAUGCAGCUAAUACCGCUUUUGAGGAUUUGAAAAAGCAACUGGCAGAGCCCCCCGUCCUUGCUGCUCCGGUUGAUAAGGAGCCCUUGCUACUGUAUGUGGCGGCAAACGCACGAGCCGUCAGCGUGGCUAUUGUGGUGGAGCGCAAGGAGGCGGGUAAGGAGCAUCCGGUUCAGCGGCCGGUUUAUUAUGUCAGUGAGGUGCUCAUUGAGUCCAAGCAGCGGUAUCUGCAUUGGCAGAAGCUUGUAUAUGGGGUGUUUAUGGCGAGCCGGAAGCUUAAGCAUUAUUUUCAGGGUCAUCCCAUCACUGUGGUCAGUUCCGCCCCUCUUGGUGAUAUUAUCCAAAACAGAGAGGCUACAGGGAGAAUUGCUAAGUGGGCUAUAGAACUUGGACCUCAUGACCUUAAAUAUGUGCCGCGCACUGCUGUUAAGUCUCAGGCCUUGGUGGAUUUCAUCAAUGAUUGGACAGAAUCACAAGUACCCGAGCAAAAGCCGGAUAACACUUAUUGGACUAUUCACUUUGAUGGGUCCAGGCAGCUGGAGGGCUCGGGGGCUGGUGUUGUCUUGGCUUCCCCUAAAGGUGACAAAUUCCAUUAUGUGCUACGGUUGAUGUUUCCUUGCACUAACAAUGCGGCGGAAUACGAGGCUUUGCUCCACGGUCUUCGGGUGGCUAAGGAGAUGAGCUUAAGCCGGGUGAGGUGCUUUGGUGACUCAGACUUGGUGGCUCAACAAGUAUCAGGCACCUGGGAUUCUAAGGAUCCUCUAAUGGCGGCUUACCGCCGCGAGGUUGAUGCCAUUGCCGGGCACUUCCAGGGAUACCAAGUGGAGCAUAUUGAUCGCAGGAGGAACGAGGCGGCUGAUGCGUUAAGCCGGCUAGGCUCUCAGCGAAAGCCGGUGCCGCCUAACACUUUCCUGGAUGUCCUGUACAACCCUUCGGUCAAGUUGCCUACAGAGGAGGACUUGGCUAUCCCUGACCCGGAGGCGCGACUGGUGGCGGCUCUUCAUGUCAUACCAGACUGGACAAUGCCAUAUCUGGCUUAUAUAGCCCGGGGAGAGUUGCCUGAGGAUGAAAUUCUGGCCAGGCAAAUAACCCGACGGGCUAAGUCAAUGAUUGUUAUCGAUGGCGAGUUGCAUCAUCGCAGUGUCUCAGGGGCAUUUCAGCGUUGUAUCUCCCCUGAGGAAGGUCAAUAGAUCUUGCGCAAGAUCCAUGAAGGGGAUUGUGGCCAUCAUGCCGGUUCAAAAUCUCUUGUGGCCAAGGCUUUCCGUCAUGGUUUUUAUUGGCUGACGGCUCACGCUGAUGCAGAGGACUUGGUCAGUAAAUGUGAUGGCUGCCAAAGGUUCUCACGACGGGCUCAUGUGCCGGCUCAGGAGUUAAGGAUGAUCCCAAUCACUUGGCCCUUUGCGGUCUGGGGGCUUGAUAUGGUUGGACCCUUUAAACGAUCCAAGGAUAAGAAGACCCACCUCUUGGUGGCAGUUGACAAAUUCACGAAGUGGGUGGAGGCUGAGCCAGUUAGCAAGUGCGAUGCAGCCACGGCGGUUCAAUUUAUAAAAAAGGUGAUUUUCCGCUUCGGUUUUCCGCACAGCAUCAUAACUGACAAUGGCACCAAUCUAUCCAAGGGUGCUAUGGAAGAGUUUUGUCAACAAGAGCAUAUCCGACUUGAUGUUUCCUCAGUGGCACACCCCCAAUCCAAUGGUCAAGCUGAGAGAGCUAACCAGGAGAUUCUGAAGGGCAUCAAACCCCGGCUCUUGGUCCCUUUGCAACGGACGCCGGGUUGUUGGGUGGAGGAGUUGCCCUCCGUCUUAUGGAGCAUCAACACUACUCCUAACAGGUCUACAAGCUUCACGCCUUUCUUCAUGGUUUAUGGAGCAGAAGCAAUUCUCCCCAGCGACAUCCGUCAUGAUUCACCUCGUGUGGCGGCUUAUGUUGAGACGGAUAAUGAACAGGCGCGCCAAGAUGCUCUGGACUUGUUGGACGAACAGCGUGAUGUGGCAGCCGCCCGUUCAGCGAUUUACCAACAAGACCUGCGCCGUUAUCAUAGCCGCCGGGUCAAGUCCCGGGUCUUCCAGGAAGGUGACCUGGUGCUCCGGCUCAUCCAGGAUCAAACAGAUGCACACAAGUUAUCCCCACCUUGGGAAGGGCCUUUUGUGGUCAGUAAGAACUUGCAUAACGGGUCAUAUUACCUCAUGGAUAUCCGGGAGCGUGAAGACUCGUGUAAAUCUGAGGAGGAGACCCGUCGGCCGUGGAACAUAGCUCAGCUUCGGCCUUACUACACUUGAGCUACCGGCUCUUGUGGUGUACAUAUUUAUCUCCGCCAUGUAUAUAUUAUGAUAAAGCAAUAAAGCAGGACCUCUGUCCUUUGGUCUCUUCCAAACAUGUGUGUUGUUUUUUACAUGCUGACUUACAAAAAGAUCCGGCUUAUGAUCAUCUUCGAAUCUAGCUGUAAGCAGUAAAGUCACUUGGGGGCUUCCUGUUCACACAUGGGUCGUAUUCGAACCCAAGAGAACAUAGCUGUCGAUACCCAUUUGAUUGGCAAAGUGCCAAGCUCAUUGGGAAGUUGCCUCUGGUCAUAUUUGAAUCAUAGUGUAACCCCUCUGAGAACCGACGUGGACCAUAUUCGAAUCAGCGUCGUUAAACAAUUUUCAGAAUCACUUGGGGGCUUCCUGUUCAAACAUGGGUCGUAUUCGAACCAAAGAGAGCAUAGCUGUCGGUACCCUCUUGAUUGGCAUCGCCACACCCAUUGGGGGCUAUAUGAUCGUAUCCGAAUCUUAGCUUAACCCCUUUGGACCGGGUUUCUGGUCGUAUUCGAACCGGAAGCCCUUAAGUUUUUAUAUUUUACCACAAGUUUACUCUGGUCAUAUCAAAGUAUGUACUACCGGGUUUCGCUUGCCGGCUUAAUUUUGGAGUUAUCUUGUUAAUUGAACAUCCUGGAUGUCAUCAAGACAAGUCCAUUAGAGUUAAGAUACCAACCAUGCUACCCGGGUCAUUUAAUCCGGAGGGUGAUAAGCCGUCUUGAGACUUGUGAUUUACCUUUCUAUGCAGAUGCUUGAAGGUACUUUUUUAAAAAAAAGGGUUGAGAAGCACAAAGGAUAAUUAUGACCCGGAGGAGCAUCAAGAGAAUGACUUCAAAGGAUUUCAGCAUUCAUUACGUGCACGAUGGCACGACAGAGAUAAAUUGUUGCGCCUAUUCUAUUACAAAAAUCUUUCAAAGUUUCAAGGGUGGAGCGUUGUUUGGUGAGCCGCUAGCCGGUUUAUGACGCCUGAUGAGUCGAAGUCCCCGGCUCAUCUUCUGCUCCGGCUGAUCCCAAGGCUUCGAAGGUCGACGACUUCCAAUCGAUGCUGCGGAGAGCUUCGAACUGGGCUUCUUCGUCAAUUAAUCCGGCCGGGUCAAUCUCGGGGGCGAAGGUGUGCUGACGAGCCGGAGGAAUCAAACUAAGAGCUUCAUAGCGAGGGGUUGGAAUCCUCUGAUUCUCCGUGUUGUACCCUGGCUGAUACUUGGUUAAGUCGGUGUCGUUCCCGAUGAUGGUGGCCACCGGGCGUACCGCCUUAACACAUGCCGCGAAGUCCUUCUGGUCGAAGGCGGAGCCGUCUUCCUUCAAGCUCGGGUAACCCAGUGCGAUGUCUGCCGGGUCUAGCUCCGGCAGGAAUGCUUUUGCCCGGCUCAGCGCGGCAAUUGCUCCGGAUCUUGCGGAGGCUCGGCGUAGCUCCUGGAUCCGCUGCGGCAGAACUGCGAGCCGGCGCAGGACUUCGGCCAGAUGAGUCGACACUUCAUUCGAUAGGGCCACCACAGCUAAGGCCCGCUGUGACCCGGUGUAGAGUUGUUCCACCAGGGUGUACACGGCCUUUAGCUUGGUGACCACGCUCUGGUUCAAGUUGGCGCUUCUGGAACCUGUUUAACAACAUCAGAUGACCCGGUGACAAGGAUGAAUUAGGAGAUGUAAGCAUUCUAACGUGAGUGAAAGCCGGUGAGGCGACUUACCGAAGAUGGCAGCUACCAUUUGGGACACUUGGCGCUUUAGGCCGGAGAGUUCGGCGGUUUUUUCAGAGAGUGCCUUCUCCGCCUGUUCUGCCCGGGUCAUCAGUGCGGCUUUCUCCUCAGCCCAGGCCUUCCGCUCAGCAUCGAAUUCAGUCUUCAAUUUCUCCUGAGCGGCGAUGCUGGAGACAAACUUGGCAUUCGCCUUCCGGGUCUCCAUCUCUUGAGUUUUUAACCGGCUCUUGAGACCCGCCAGGUCCGACUCAAAUUUCUUGCCAGUAGCCUGUAUAUAUUUCCGGGUUAUUAAACAGUCAUUCUAUAAGUCCCAAGCACUUUCCAAGCAAAGACACUUGGCACUUGGGGGCUAAUGCAUAUUGAACGUGUUUGUCUACGUACUGCUAUUUCAAUUAAGUAAGCCGGACUCUAAGUCUACAACAUAUUCAAGUAUAAGUCCUAGACUUGGGGGCUAGAAUGACAAGGAUUACUAUGCAGAAAGUAAGAAAACAGCAGAAGGUUACCUCAGAUUUUUGUUGGAUCUGGUUGACCAUGGCGAUCUCGGCGUCCCGGCUCUUGUGAACUUGGCUGAUGUAGCCUGAGACAAGCUCUCCAAUGCUUAGAUCGGUGUAGCUGGAGAGAUCCAGACUCACCCGAUGGGGUCGGAGCAGCUCCCCCUUCGCGGAGCAUUGGGCCAGUGCGGUCGGUCUCCCCGGCUCAACAUACUCCGUCCGGGUGAUUACCACGUCCGGGUCGUUAGCCGGUGGGGUUGAGCCGGAGGCCUCCGGAUUAGCUGACGCUUCGGUCGUUGUCUUGGUGGUCGGGGCAGGGGCUUCAGGCGCCGUAUCCAUGGGAAUGGUGGCCUCGGAGGUGGCUGGCGGAUCUUGAGCCGUCGUCUCCGGCUCAGGCAAGUCCGGCACUCCGGCUGACCUGGUCUUCUUUGCUCUUUUGGUGAGCUUUGCCUGGGCACUGAAAAGACAGAAGUGUUAGGCAUACAAAGAGUAAAAACAGACAGGUAAUGUAAGGUGAUUGUUAUUACCCGGGUGCAGUUUUGAAGGCCGGCAGACUUGACUGCAUGGAGUCACCAGAGGAAGGGGAGGUCUCCUGGUAAUUGGAGUCAGAAGAAUUAAGCGGUUGACGGAUAACACCCGCCAACGGAUGAAAAGGGUACAGGUGAGAAAAAACCUCAGUGCGGCGUUUCCUCGUUGCGUCGGGUAACCCGGUGUAGAGGUCGGUGUCCUUGCGGGCCCGGGUGUGACGCCGGCUUUCGUGAACCUGCUGCUUCAAAAGAAAUUGAGGGUCUUGAUGAGCUAAUGGAUGAGAAAAGCUUACUUUCCGGGUUACCCUUCGGACUUUCAGCUGUGGCAAAGGCUCCGAGUCGGAGGGGAGUAAUGUUACCUCUUCAAUCACCGGGUUACUGGCGCCGGUGUCAUCCUGUCAAUAAGCAAGUGUUGAUAAGGCGGACAUCAUCAGACAACAUAUACAACAAGAAUUUAAAAGGUUUAAAGGUUACCUCUCACUCGGAGCUAUCGUUUAACUGCAUUAGCUCCGAAGCAGUGGGUCUGCUGCCCUUCUUGCGAGGGGCGGCUUUCUUGGCGGCCUUUUUUGCCUUCCUGGCCUUCUUGGCCGCCUCAUGGUCAUACUUGACCCGCCAGAAUUUAUCAUCAGCCUGAGAAAUACAGUAAUGAAUUCCUAAAAUGGUUUAGAGCAAGGUGACAUACCAAAGAAGUUGAAAGGUUAAAGUCAGCGGCUUACCGCUGGGGCUGGAUUGGUCUUGUAGAACGGGGCUAGCCCGAUUUUUCCACAGUCUGCCAGGCUCUCGUUUAACAGAGCCUUGGUCUCUUCUUCAGCAACGUCUUCUGGAAGAUCAUUGCGACUGUGCCUCUGCGGGUCAUCCUUUCGCCCGGUGUACUCACACAUUAAGCCGGGGCGGCGGCUCAACGGGAUCACCUGCCAUGAGAUCCAGACCCGGACUAGAUCAAUUCCGUUCAGACCGUUGCCUAGCAGGGCCUUGAUCUUGUUGAUCGUUGGAAGCAGGGGCUGGCGUUCUGCGGCAGUCAGUUUGUCGGAUAGUGGAUGAGUCGGCUCCAGGCGUGUUGGGCGAAAGCCGGGCAGCGGGUUCUCGUCAGCCGGGGAUGUAUCUUGGCAGUAGAACCAAGUCAUAUUCCAGUCCUUAGGGUGGCUCGGCGGCUCUGCGUAAGGGAACAGACAGUCCCUACGUCGCUGGAUGGAGAUGCCGCCUAACUCUAGACUUGGCCCGUUGGCACACUCAUUUUGGCGGUUCAAAUAAAACAGCUCUCUGAAGAGUGGCAGACUCGGCUCUUCUCCAAGAUAUACUUCACAAAAGACUUGGAAGUUGCAGAUAUUGGAUAUGGAAUUGGGUCCUAUAUCCUGAGGCCGAAGGUCAAAGAAGUUGAGCACGUCCCGGAAGAAUUUUGAGCCGGGCGGUGCGAAGCCCCGGCUCAUAUGGUCUGCAAAGAUCACUACCUCCCCGUCCCUCGGCUGAGGUCUUUCUUCGGACGGGUCAGGGGCACGGUAGGACAUCACUUCCUUCUUGGGCAGAUAUCCGGACUUAACAAAGUUGGCCAGGGUCUCUUCGGUGACGUUGGAUUUCAUCCAGUUGCAAGUGAUGAGAGCCUUGGGAGGCAUGGUGACGGUUGGUGGUCUAUGAGGAAGAGAAAAGUAUCCGGGUUAAUUAUAAGCCGGAGUUUAUCAUUCAAACUACAAUAACGGCUUAUGAAGGGGACUAAUGGUAUGUAUUGAUACGGUGGGUUAUCUAAGCCGUCGGGGCUUUCAGGAUAAGUUGAUCAUCUACGGUUUACUACAGUUAAGCCGGAAGAGUCUACAGAGCAUGGUUCUCUUUAAACCGGAAAGUUUUUCGGCGCGUGUAUUCUUUAAGUCGGAAGUAUAAGCCGCCAAGGUUCAAGGGCUGCAGUUUUUACUAAGUGUGGUAAAACAGAUUUCACAUAUUGCAGUAACCUUUUUGGAUCAAAAUGGUCGGGUGAAAUGAAAAUUUUCUAGACCUAAAAGCAGAGGCAGGAGAAGUUCUUGAGGUGGAACAUAGUUCUUAUGCAGUAAAAAGAGGGUUCUUUGCAGAAGAAACGGAUCUCAAACAUCUACCGCACUGAUUCUAUGUGAGGUUAACAAUCAACUAAGUGUGGUGACUAUAGGAAAUACGGAGGUUUGCGGCAAUGGUGAAGAACGCGAAGAACACAAGAUGAACCCUACAAGUAGAUCUAUCUGGCAGAGCGAAGAAGACUUACCGGAGUUGGAAAGAGCGGAGGUCGCUGCCGUGAGUCUGGUCCGAAUCAGGGUGAUGCAGCGGCCGGGUCGAUGAAGGCCAGGGGCGCGACGGCGGCGGCAGUGGCGGAGCUCAGGCAGAGAAGCGACAGCGCGAGGAGGAAGAAGGAGAGUGUGAGAGGAGAGUGUUGGGCCGGCCUAUUUAUAAGGUAAGUCAUAAGUGGGCGCGAGAUUCAAGGAGACCGCGGCGUGGUUAUCUCCCCCUCACGGCGCCUCGAUUUUCGCAAAGACAGUAAAAGCAGAGAUCCGUUGCGGAUCUGGCGGAGUAAAAAACGGACUUAAUGGAGGAUGACGUCCCGGCGGAUUAUCCGGAGUCCGGAGAAUGACGUCACUCCGGGUUAUGGCCUUCACACGAACGAUGAGCCGGAGAUUUUCCUAUCGGCAGAGUUGAAGAUUGACACGAGCCGGCUCAAGUCAAUCUGGGGCCUAAUGUUGAGGAUAUAGACCUGGGAGUCACCCGCCAGGAGGGCCGGGUUACUCUAAGGGUCAUUGCCAGAAGCCCGGAGUUAAGUUUCAAGAUAAUGGGCCAGAGAUGGGCUGAGACCCGGCGAGGGCUUAUUACUCAUAGUUAUCAUCAUUGUUAUAGUAGACUUGUAGUGUAAGGCAAGUAUUGUUUGGAGUCCGAGCCGGACACUCUUAUGAGCCGGCCGGGACUCUAAGGGCUGCUGGGCGUCAGCCUCCAUAUAUAAAGGGACGACCCGGCAGCGGUUGAGGGGCGACAACAAUCUGAUCGAGAGCCGGGCAUAGCUGUUUAGCUCCCUGGUUAUCGAAACCCUGAUUAAUACCACCUCAACUGGACGUAGGCUUUUACCUUCACCGUAAGGGGCCGAACCAGUAUAAACCCCCGUGUUCCUUGUCCCGCAUAACCCCUUCAAGCUUCCUAGUUGCGAUGGCUCCACGACUAAGUCCUAGCUCAAGGACGUCUGCCGUGACAAGUCCACGACAGGAGGUCUCACAUAUAAAUAGGUAGAGGGAGCUAGGAGGCUCCAAAUGAGGUGCGGUUUUUGCCCACACGAUCGUGAUCGAACGACCUAGAGCAUGGAAGAGAGUUUGGUGGGUUUUGGGCUGGUUUUGAGGGGGGGGUUGCUGGACACUCAAAUGGAUUUUUCGGAUGCCCGGUUAACCGUUGGAGUACCAAACGACCUCCAAAUGGAACGAAACUUGACCGGUGGUCUCCGGGUGGUAUAAUAAGGCCACUUGACAAGCCUCGGUCCAUUCCGAGAAAGUUUGACACCCGCACACGAAAGAAAACAAGAGGGGUGCACCGGAGGAGAUAGGAGCGCCGGAUUGCAAAACGGACAACGGGGAAAAUGCUCGUAUACAAGAGACGAACACAUAUGCAAAUGCAAUGCACAUGAUGACAUGAUAUGAAAAUGCAUGACAUGACAAAAUGCAAAACGAAAAACAAAACCCGACCACAGAGGGAAUAUCAUAGCACAUAGCCGAAAAUGGCAAGAGUCGGAGUUACAAAUAUGGCAAGUUACAUGCGGGGUGUUACAUUUUCGUCCUGGGCGGGCCGGAGACGCAGCUGCAUGACAUUCUUUGGGCCGUCCAUGACGGAAAAAACCAUGGUAGAAGCGAGGGGAGGAAAAUUUCGGGGAGUUCCCGGUUACGGUGGGAGGUCGGGGGCCGAGCGAUGCACGUUUCUCUCAUACACGUACGCGCGUGUGUGCGAGGCGUUGGCUCUAACUGAACCCGAGCGAGGCGUUGGGCUCUAACUGAACCCGAGCGAUUGCACUGCAGGCUACGCGUUACUGAACCCGAGCGAUCGAUCGAUGGCUGUUAACUGAACCCGAUCAAGCGAUUCCUUCGCUACUGCUGCUAACUGAAGCCGAUCAAUGCUGCCUCUGGGAUGAACAGUGANNNNNNNNNNNNNNNNNNNNNNNNNNNNNNNNNNNNNNNNNNNNNNNNNNNNNNNNNNNNNNNNNNNNNNNNNNNNNNNNNNNNNNNNNNNNNNNNNNNNNNNNNNNNNNNNNNNNNNNNNNNNNNNNNNNNNNNNNNNNNNNNNNNNGGGUGCCCGUGGAGGGGUGGUUGAACAGUAGCCAGUGGAGUAGCGCGCGGUGGAGGCUGGAUGAACAGGAGCCCGUGGAGGCUGGAGGAGGUCGACGGUAGCCCGUGGAGGCUGGAGGAGGUCGACGGUGGAGAUGAACAGUAUCCCGUGGAGUCCCGUUUUGCGGUACGCCACACCCCUCCCGAUGAACAGGACCCCUGUUUCGACCGUAGGAGGUCCGUUUCGUCCGUUUUGCGGUACGCCACACCCCUCCCGAUCAACAGGACCCCCGUUUCGACCGUAGGAGGUCCGUUUCGUCUGUUUUGCGGUACGCCACACCCCUCCCGAUCAACAGGACCCCCGUUUCGAUCGUAGGAGGUCCGUUUCCUCCGUUUUGCUGUACGCCAGACCCCUCCCGAUCAACAGGACCCCGUUCCGAACGUAGGAGGUCCGUUUCCUCUGUUGUGCGGUACGCCAGGCCUCGUUUCCGUCGCCUGUUCCGUGCAAGCCCUCCUGAUGAACACGACCACGCAUUCCGUUCCGACCAAGCCGGUUGGCUCCCAUGCAUUUCGUUGCCUCCCGAUGAACACGACGCAUUCUGUUGCCUCCCCAUGAACACGACGCAUUCCAUUGCCUCCCCAUCAACACGACAACGACGAUGUUUCUCCGUUCUGACCCAACCAUGUACACGAGCCCUGGCCGUACGUAUGCGCGAGUAGGCGUUCGAGACCCCGCCCGUAUGUACACAUACGGGGCCGUAUUUUCUUUCUUGCACCCUGGCCGCUGUACGUACGUGUACAUGCUACGUGUGCGCCUCUACUACGACACGUACGCGCCUCUACUAUGACACGUGCGCGCCUCUACAUCCACCAGUAUAUAUGUACGUACACGUUCGCGACCAGAAUGACAACGCUACAUACGCUUCGACCAGGUGGGUCCCGACUGUCAGGCACUUCCUUGCCUGCGAAGAUGUAGCUGGUGGGUCCCAGCAGUCAGGGGGGCGAAUCAUUUUUUUUGCCCGGGCGCACUUCCUUGCGUGCGAAGAUGUAGCUGGUGGGUCCCAGCAGUCAGGGGGAACAUUUUUUUUACGAAAUACAGUGGCCCGUCCGGUGGGUUCCAGUUGUCAGGUGGAGGAAUCAUUAUUUUCCGCGUAAUAAGGAGGCACUUCCUUGUUGCGGUCGUGGACCCAGCUGUCAGCCUCUCCACGUACAGUCCACGUCCGAUGGAAGUCGUUCCUUGACCACGUUGACCACGCCGCGCUGAGAGCACCAGGGCGGUGGACGACGGCGAGGCCUAGGAAGGGGACGACGGGGAGCCGGGGAAGACGCGGCAGUGGAAGCCCGCGCGGAGAGGAGUACGAGGGUUCACUGGUUCGGCUGCGGUGUGAGGCUGCCGUCGCCGCAGGGCCUGGCCAGCGGUGGGAAUAGUAGGAGGCGGUGAGGCCUCCGCGGCAGCACAGCCGGCCACGGGAGGCAGGAGCAUGCGGCACGACCGGCGCUGCUUUGGGCGGCUGGAGCAAGAAGACCAGAGGUUGAAGAAGCACUACGACCGUUGGAUGGACAUCGUACGGUCACUGGAGCUAGAAUCGUUCAUAUUGACUAAAGUUGACAAAGGCCCCCGUCCCAGUCAACUUAGUAGGCCCACAAGUCAGCCUCCCACCAUGGUGGGUCCCAGCUAGCAGGGGGUAUUCAUUUUUCUGUGCGUAAUAAGGAGGCACUUCCGGUGGGUCCGAGCUGACAGCGGGGGGAACGUUUUUUUCGCGAAAUACGCUGGCCCGUCCGAUGGGUCCCAGCAGUCAGGGGGGAAACAUUUUUUUCGCGAAAUAAGGUGGCCCGUCCGGUGGGUCACUGCUGUCAGGUGGAGGAAUAAUUAUUUUGCGCGUUAUAAGGAGGCACUUCCUUGCGGCCGCCUGGACCUAGCUAUCAGCCUCUCCACGUACAGUACUCUUCCGAUGGAAGUCGGUCGUUGACCAUGUUGACCACGCCGCGCCGAGAGCACCAGGGCGGUGGUCUGGACGACGGUGAGGCCUAGGAAGGGGACGACGCGGAGCCGGGGAAGACGCAGCAGUGGAAGCCCGCGCGGAGAGGAGUAGGAGGGUUCACUGGUUCGGCUGCGGUGUGAGGCUGCCGUCGCCGCAGAAUAGCAGGGGGUGUGGGUGAGUAGAGGGAUGGCCUGGCCAGCGGUGGGAGUAGUACGGGGCGGUGAGUACUCGGCGGCAUCACAGCCGGCCACCGGAGGCAGGAGCACGCGACACGACCGGCGCUGCUUUGGGCGGCUGGAGCAAGAAGACGAGAGGUUGAAAAAGCACUACGGCCGUUGGAUGGACAUCGUAUGAUCACUGUAGCUAGAAUCGUUUAUAUUGACUAAGUUGACAAAGCCCUUGGUACGCGUCAACUUAGUAGGCCCACAGCUCCGAUUUGGCAGAGAACAUAUAGCCCAUUUGCGAUUUGUAAGAAUGUACAACCCAUUUUUUAAUUCUAAUGGAAUUUACUACAGCCUAUUUACAGUUUGUUAAAAGUACAACCCAACUUCUAGCUAGGACAACGAUUAAUAAUUUCAAACAACCGCUCAAAACAGAAUUCAAAAAAAAUUCCCACAUUUUGAUGGGAUCCGAAAUAUUUUUAUCCAAAAUUUCUAGUCAGGUUAAAUAUAAUUUCAAAAUAAAGUUGUAUUACGUUAAAAUCCAACGAAAUAUUGCGCGCGCAACAAGUAAUGAAAUUAAAAAAUUUAAAUUCCAAAAAUAAUAUAUUUUUCAAACUAAUUACGUGCAUAGUAACUGUCCAGUUAUUAUAAUUACAUCUCAUUUAUUAUUUUCUUAAAGUCCAUUUUCUUGUUAAGCCUAAUGCAUACCUCCUAGGAAAGUUUGCAGCCCAGCGGGGCGGAGAAUAACAAGUUGACCCGGAUAUUGUGUACAAUUGUCGGCCCAGUUGCAUUGUUGAUGUUGAAAAAAAGGCCUGUGUAGUACAGUACAACCUAACAUGGUUACUCAGCCCACAUUCAGCGACGCCGGAAAGGCCCAAACAAGGCUUCUGUACAACUUUUUGAAGUCACUGAGCUCAAUUAAUAACUUAAGAAAAAAGUUAGAUUACAGUGGAACCUAAUUAAAAGCUGUCACGAGCAAAUAAAUAAUUCAACGGGUCCCACUUGUGCGUGUGCGCGUGUGUGUGCGUGUGUGUGUGUGAGAGAGAGAGAGAUAGAGAGAGACCCAUCGGUCGAUGCUCGUAAAUACAUCUUUCAGCCAUAUGCAUUGCUGAUGCUCAGUAAAAACUUAUAUAGUUGACACAAUCAUAUAGAACAUCAUAACACACUGAACUUGCAUACAAAAAUUUCACGCAGGCAGCACAAUCAGGAUGGAAGCAGUGGAUCGCUACGGGAAGGGCUAUGUUGAAACCAACGAAGUCGUACAUAACGGUUCAUCGUCUUUAUCAAUGACGGGGAAAUAUAUUGAAUGUUGUGCAAAGAAAACAGACAGACAACACAAUAAGUUCUGCUAGCACAUUAAGUUGACGUACAUCCCUUUCUAAAAAAAAUUCAGGUACAAAAUUAGAACAUGUCACAAUCAAAUGUACUGGCAUAUCAGUGCUUCACACCCAUAGCUCGGAUUUAACUAGUAUCUGACAAGAUUCAUUUGUUACCUCAAAUUAGAGCACAUCCAGGCAGCCAGCCCUGCCUCUUCUCCCAAAGAAGCAGUGGCCUCCGCCUCGCGAUGGAGUAGGCCCUGUGCCAUCCAUCGUUCCGAGCAACACGGGGAAAGUCUGACGUUGACUCCUGUAAUGGACGUUGUCGACGGACCCUGGCACCAGCGGCGGCGGCAGGACUUCGAUUGAUGGAUUGACCACUUCUUCGACAUGCACGAACACUCGAUACAGGUACAUCCCUAACGUGGUCCGCGGCGGCCUUGGUGGCGACGAAUAGUACAACCCCGGUUCCUGCACCGGUAUCUCAACACCAAUCACCUUCGGUAUGGUGGACGGCUUCUUCAUCCAUGCCAUAACCGUCAGAGCCCAGCUGUCUGGAGGAACAAACAUACUUACGAGCUCAUCUCCAAGGUCAUUGAUAAGCUCGUUCAUGGACUCACUGUUCCAAGCACGUCGAGGCAUGCCGUGGAAGGUAAGCUUUGUUAAAAACUCAAGCUCAGAGGGCAGCAAGCCCCAUCCUGGGUGCCACCGAUCAAAGCCCACCAGCGCGCCAUCGCAGAACAAACGCCGGGAAGAUUUGAACACACGACUACAGUCAAAAGUUGUCCGGAACCUGACGAAGAAAUCAGCUGGUGGCGGACAGACUUCGACGAGCAAGUCACUUAUUUGGAUGUCGUGCGCAAUGCCAAGAGCUUUGACAAGGUCGUCUGGCGAGACGGGAGGCCGGUCGCCGUUGAUGGUUACCAUCAGCACUUUGCCGGCAAACUGGUCGUCAAGCGCCGCCAUGCCACUGUUGAGCGACAGCAUGCAGCGACCGAAGGCAGGACGGACCUCAGGAUCUCCGCGCGUUGACCGGCGACAUGAUAGUGCGCUUGAGUACAGGGAGUACAGGAGGGGGAUUAGGGGGAACUGGAGUAGGAAUCGAGAUUCCAGAGGUGGGGGAGAGGCGGGAGACUGGGGAUGAAAAGGUAGCAUGAAUUUCGAGCACGCGCCAAUAUGCUCUCGGCGCGCAAGCGCACGAAAACACCGGUGGCGCCCACAUGUCGGCCUAAGAGUCCUUAUUCUUUCUUUUUUGGAGAGCCCGACCUUUUUUCUCAGGAUCUUUUGAGAGCCGGGCCUGAGAGUCAUAAUUGACCUGUUUGGCAUUGCGUUACUACUCGGCCCAUAUUCAACAACACCUCACUGGCCCAAACAAGUGUACAUCAUCGAAAAGACACUGAGCUCAAAUUAUAUAACUUGAAAAAAGGAGAUAUACUCUGAACACUGGAGAAUGGUGAUGCCCUCAUUUAGCCCACCAGUAGUUUGAGACAAUAAACAGUUCGAAACAACGAUAUAUACAACAUUCAAACACUGACUAGUGACUACUACUGACAUAAACAGCAAGACAUGAUAGUUCAUAAGAAGUCUUGCUACACCACCAAAACGCACCCAUCUGCAGCGCUCAGACUCUCGUGAUCCAGACGAGAAUGACAUUCUAAACAGAAGCAACUAUUACGUAGUAAGGGUGACAUAGACGAGGAUGACCAAAUGACAAGGAAUAUGCAUAACAAAAGAAAGAACUACCCAUCCAGAACCAGCAACAAAGACAACGAAGUCAUUCGAAGAGAUGAUCCAACACCAUCAUAAUUUGCAGUCCCGCUUCAGCGACCAGUGAUCCGGAGACACCAGUACUCCACCCUUUCGAUGCAACAGCCCAAUUACCUAUCAACCUGAAGGCUUGAACCACAUCACUGCCUGUCAUAAUUGAGACAUCCAAGGAUCAAAGUUAAUCCGGAUGCCUUUGUCAUUCUCACCUUCUUUUGGCUGCAGGCUGUAUCGUUGACAAUCAGGGGAGUUUGCUCCCGAACUCCUAGGGCUCACCGUGUAGACACAGUUUUCCAUAGCAAACAGAGCCUCUCUGCCAUCAAGGUCCUUGCCAACGGUGAUCUCCUGGUUAAUCGAAUAAUUGAGUCCGAGAAACAGAGAGUGUGAACCAAGGCUGUUUACCCGCCUCCAACUAAAAAAUCCUAAAGGCCCCAACAAGCUGGUAUCCUGCUCAUAGACGUAACAGCCACUGUCCGGAUACUCACGUAUUACAUGGCGCUUGUAUACAGUGGGGUUUUUGCAAUAUAACUUUUCCGGCUCAUGUGUCCGAAUGAUCAUCAGUCUUUUGCCGUCGUCUGAUCGAGCGAGGAACCAGUUGUGCUUCCCUGUUUUUGGCAAAGGUGGUGUGAUUACAAAGGGCAGUAACUGUAGGGACACUGCAUCAUAUCAAAAAGGACAGGCAUUGUUAAUGUAAGAUCAGCAUUGUUCAGAGUAUGAGUAGGAUAAUGCAAGAAACAGCAUUGAUAUGUCCCUGUUGGAACUGGGAGGAAAAUACAGGGAAAUGUAUACUGGGUUCGAAAAUAUAGAAGUGCCAUGCAUGGUUAUACUCAUGUAAUCUCGCAAUCGAUUCUUCACAGGAAACUACCAUGUCAUGCAUGUUAUGUACUCUCUCCGUUCCCAAAUAUUUGUCUUUCUAGGCAUUUCAAAUAGACACAACAUACGGAUGUAUGUAGACAUAUUUUAGAGUGUAGAUUCACUCAUUUUGCUCCGUAUGUAGUCACUUGUUAAAAUCUCUAGAAAGACAAAUAUUUGGGAACGGAGGGAGUAAUCAUGUUCUGUCCUCACAAACAAAUUCUUCAAGGUAACUAAUAGACCAUGCAUUGUUAUAUACUCAUGUUCUGUGGGCAAAAUUUUUGUGAGGAUAUUAUUCUAGCCAUUGAUUGUUGAAGGGCGAAUAUAGGUAUGUACACAUGGUAAGCAUUGCAGGAUUUCACUACUUCCAAAUAUAGAGUUCUCCAUAUGCACAUUUACUUCCCUAAUGUAUGGUUAGAUGAAACCAACAGUGUGGUGCAUGUUUCUACAUCAUGAAAAUGAGGAAACUAACAUGGCCAUUGAUACACACUCAUAUUUAGUAGUAGUAUAUAGAUUACUGUAAAAUAAGGAUAAUAUCCAUAUAUUCCUAACCGUUUGAUUAUUCAGGGUACAAAUUGGCUGUAAUGACAUGGUCACAAUCGCAUGAAUGAACUCAUUCCAAAUAUAGCUGAUUUACAGUGUCUCUAAUACAUUGCCAUAGUUCUACUCAAAUUCUGCUCAAACAGGGAUAUGCCAAUCAUCACAAAAAGUUCAAACAGUGUCAUGGCGUCAUCAUUAACAUGAGACGGAAACAACUUACACGCGCCGUCCCAGAAAUACAUGGUGCCAUCUGCUUUGUCGAUCGCGUAGAUGAUGCCAUUGUGUUCAAUAGCAUCACAGAAGUGUGUAUCAGCUUUGACGAUGAUCCACUGCGAGCCGAGUUGUCUCCAGCUAAAGAAGGCACCGGCGUAAAGAUAGGCGAGUCCGCGGUCGAACAAGGCAAUUAGCUUGAAGUCCGCGUAAUUCGCAUGUCAUGUGGGCACUUGGCAGAUUACAAUCUUCUGCAAAACAAGGUCCGUCCAACUGAAGUAGUAAUCUAGAUGACUUGGACCGCGAUGGUAAUACUCUAUAUAAUCCAACGGAGGAAGGAUAAUCUCAUGGGAGGUAUGGAAGUUCACGAGCACCAACUUUUUACCGUCUUCUCUGAAGGCAGCCAUCCAGUGGGAGUUCAUGCCGACCCAGUACAUACCUGCCAAGAAGUUUCAGGCGAUGGUGAUCGGAUCGAUGUCAAGGGAAAUGAUGUACGGCGACCCACUACAUACCUGCAAAGAAGUUUCGGCUAAUGGAGAUCGGAUUGAAGUCGAGGGGCAUCAUGCACGCCUCCGUAUCAUGGUGAGCCAAUCUCGCAAGACCAUGUAGCAGCAAGCAGGGUGUCUUGAAAAGCUUAGGCCUCGCUUCGACGAUGGCCGUGUGCAUGUCCCUCGAGCAUGCAGCCAGCCGCAGGGCGCUCAACAUAUCCAUACACGAACAACAGAGGUCGAGGAUGUCACUGGGGAGAUUGCUCCAAUCGCAGCUCAUAUGGAUGUUGCGCGGUUCGCGUUCGGCCAUGGUGGAGUUUGGAAGGGGGCUUGAUUUACGGGGGAGAAGGAUGUCGGUGCUGGAGCGGCUAGCGAGGGAAUAGUAGUACUGGGGGAGGCGAGUGAGGUGACGGUACACGGGGGCACAGUGAGAUGGAGACGGAGACGGAGACAGAGAAGGGGAUGGAGAUGGAGUGGUGCUAUGGGAGCGGAGAGGGAGACGAGGCGAGGCGCCAAUGUGCUGUACAGCGGCGGUGACAGACUGCACAGUGCACAGGGUGAGGCUGACUUUGGUAACCCGAACACGCCGCCUGGACUAGUGUCAGGCGCAGGGUGUUGUCACUUCACUGUGAGGACCGGAUGAAUAGUAUUUUGACCAUCAAGUGUACCACAUUUGUACUACUACUACUACUACUAGUAGUAGUAGUAGUAGUAGUAGGAACAUGAGUACUCCAGUAUUGAAUAGCGGAAAUAGGUCUCCCGUGCUAGCAUGCCUGUUCACUUCAUCGUUCAGGUAUCAUCCAUAUUGCGAGCAGAACCAAAUUCUCGUGCAUGCCCAAUCGACGCCCUGCCGCGAUGCAUGCAGUGGUCGUUCUGGUGCAUCAAGGACGACAUGCAGAUCGUUCCACACUUGAGAAGAGGAAAAAUGGAAAGGUAGAACGCGGCAGCAGAGGAAGAGAACGCUGGCUAACGAGGCUGGGAGGGGAUCGAGCAGGAAGUUAAUGCUCCACGCCUAAAGGUUUUGGGAAAACCUGAUUUUCAUAAGGUGACUUAUACUCACCUAAACGGAGGGAGUAUUCCUUAACCAGAGAAUGUUGUGUCUCCCACUCACGCGCUCAAAAAAAACUACGACACAUUUUUUUAUCUGUUUGCAUAGGUCCCACCUAUCAGGAAGGAUUGACACGUACACGAACAGGUACGACUCAUCAGUCUACCCGCAUAGCCUUUUCGUUUAGUCUACCUAGCCAUCUAAUCAACUGCCUGCACGCCACUUCUCCCAUGUACUUCUCCAUCGGGAACCGAUUCUCCUCGGCUUCUUCACCUCCCCUUCGUCUUCAUUUGCAUCCAAACCCCACUGCGUUCACAUUGUUUAACCUCUUUAAAUAAUCAUUUACUACUUCAGUUAGACUAGCCAUCUAAUCCUAAUUCUCCAAACCAUAGCCCUCCGUUCCAGCGGUUCCAAAUGGCGAAAGAGAUCGAGAUGCAGGUUUUUAGCGUCCAACAUGUCCUCGUCGAAGGCUCGAUGCGCAUAGUUUCCACUGUCACCGUCCACCCAAGGGUUGUUCGGCAGUGGAUCAACAAUGUAUCCAAGUCCCUAGAAAAGUUAGAGACGAGGGUCAUCAGUCUCGACGCAGAGUACACGGAGCGUGCCCCUGGGAAGAUCCAGCGCGCCGCCAUCCUUCAGCUGUGCCUCGAAGAUGAUGUUUUGGUGUACCACAUCAUACACUCGCCCUCCAUACCAGGUGGGCUUCACGAUUUCUUGUCUCGGGAGGAUGUAUACUUCUGUAGGGCAGCCAUCGAAGGGGACAAACAGAAGCUGGAGUCGUACAACCUUGAUUUGAAAAGCAUCGCUGACCUACAAACCAGAAUCAAAAUUCCUGUAGAAGAUUGUGAUAAAUAGACACCAUCCCUAUUCGACGUAGCAAAUUUUGUGCUCGGUACAAUCUUCAGAAGGGUGACAAGACGGUGGCAUUAAGGUUGUCUGGAUGGGAGAAUUAUCCCUUGACGUACGAGCGGAUAAAAUAUGCUGCCCUCGAUGCCCGUGUGAGUUUCGAGAUAGCUGCAAGGUCCAAAGAGCUUGUUGCGAAGCCGUCUCCCACAGAGAAUGAGAACAAGAAGAAGAAGAAGAAGAAGAAGAAGAAAAGGCUGCACCAGCAGGAGGGCAUUAUGGAUGGAUGAACUAUUUCCUCUCUUGUAAAAAAAAUCAUUCCCUCUCGGUGUAUAUUGAUAUAGAUGGACUAUUUCGAUGGUGUGCAUGUCUUUGGAACAGAGUAGUAGCGUGGGUCCGCUUGACUAUAAGGAACUAUUUAUCCGCAUAUAUAGCUUUCUCUGCUAAUCCUUCCAGUGAUCGGUACGUAGUGUAUGUGUCCGUAGACAUGACAGCUUGUCCAUGGAAGUUCAACUACGACGACCAUCACGUUUCAUCUCGCGAUUCCCACGACGCCUCUCCAACCCACGGCACCACGCCCCCCGACGUGCGCCUUACCCCUCUCGGCCGCACCGCCCCUCAGCCUUUGUGUGCAUGGCAUGUGGGCCACCUAAAAUGCAGCGAGCAUCAAGUUUCUACCACAGCCACCCACGAUUCCCACGACGCCGCUCGAACCCAUGAAACCACACGUCCCCCGACCUGCGGCUCACCCCUCUUGGCCCCACUGCCCCUUUGCCUAUGGGAGCAUUACAUGUGGACCAGUCACCUAUCGCGUCCACAUGUUAUUGACUCAAAGGUAGGUGUAGUAAGGCGCUGAAGCUCAGUCCCGACGGCCCUGAGAGGGAAAUGUAACUCCUGCGCCAGGGCUUGUGGUGCUCCCGCAGCACGAACUCGUGCCAAACUCGAGAUUUGUUUCUUUACUAUACAUGCACGCAACGAUUUAAUGGACAUUGUAAUCUCAACAUGUGAUGGGGAGCUCUAAAUUUGAAUUUGAAACUUGUAAAACGAAAAGAUUCAAAGAAAAUAAACUGGGAGAGAGGGAGUAUAUCGUAGGAUGUGUCCCAUACAAAAUUAGUCCCCUGGUUUGUCACCGCGAAGAUGCGGUUAGAAAGGAGCACAACGUCUUCCUACUCGUACGACAACAAAUCGGCCGCAGACAGCACGGUCCGCCUUUGACCGCCAUGUGCAAGGUUCGUGCUAUCUUAUUCAAUCUCACCGUUGUUCCAUCGUACCAAUUCAUGCGGUGGCCUGUUGCAUGGCUGAUCCCAAUGUUGGACAAAGGUUCUACGGGAACGGUGUCACCGUUGUAAAUGUUGUGCAAAUUGAUGUUGGUACCCUCCCGUACAUAUGCAAGCCAAUCUCCACUCGCACCGAGCCUAACCUAUGAAACAGUGGGCAGGGGGAGAAUUAGGAAAUGGACACGGAAGUAGUCUUUAGAAUGCAUUUACUACGUGAUCAAACUCAUCUUACCUGCUCAUCGGAGGAAAUCCGAGUGCCCCUCAACGUCGGCAUCUCAAGGGGCGUAAACUUGCAACUACGGCCACGCCGCGCUGGAGAGACCCCCAAGGAAACAUCCUCGUGCGUUCCACGGAACAUCAAGAUGCAUUUGUAUGAGUAGUUUAUCUUGUGAGAGAAAAGGAUGAACGAGGGAAGGCCUCUAGAGAUAGAGAUGGACACUACUACUACCAAUGUGCUGGCCCGUGCGUUGCAAUGGAUCCAAAGUAGUAGAAUAAUACUUGUUCACGUGCUUGAAAUAUAAACACUCUAGUUUUGAUAUACAUGUGUCAGCAGACAUGACAACUUGUCCAUGGAAGUUGAACCACGACGACCAUCACGUUUCUUGUUUCUACCACUGCCACACCCACACGCGAUUCCCACAACGCUGCUCCAACCCACGGCACGACGUCCCCCAACGUGGACAUGGAUCCUCUGACGUGGCUAUCACUGCCUUGCCCUGCCUUUCCUUCGCUGACAGGUGGGACCCACGCUCAUGGGUCCCACAUGUCAGUGACAGAAUGGUAGGAUUGUUCGCGUCAGGGGAUCCUCAUCCCCCCGACGUGCCCCUCAUCCCUCUCGGCCCCACCGCUCCUCUGCCUUUGUGUGCAUGACAUGCGGGCCAGCUGAACUGCGGCGACCAUCAACUUUCUACCACAGACACACCCGAUUGGAUGCGGUUUGCCUGCUCUGCUGCUGUGCUCCGAUCCGUACUCCUGCAGCAUCGAAUUUUCAUCCAGCGGCUGUGACACAUUUCGUCCCGGGCAUCAAUCCUCAGCUGGAGUACUUAUGUACUACAGGUAGUACCCGCCGGUGUGGCCAUCUACGCCUCGUAACGCCCCGAUGCCCAGCUAUGGCACCCUCGCCACGGCCACGCCACCACCGGCCGGUUCAUCUCGAACGAGUGAGUCGCGAACCACGCCACCACCAUGAGAAUGACAUGUGGGCCAGCCGCAUUUAAGGUCCGCAUGUCAUUGACUCAUAGGCCGGGCACUAAGACACUGAAGUUCGGUCCCGUGGGACCCGAGAGGGAAAUGUAAGUCCUGCGGCAGGCCUUGUGGUGCUCCCGCAGUACGAGCUCGUGCCAAAACUGGAAUUUGUUUCUUACUACUACCAACUAAUACUAGUAAGGUACACGUGCAUUGCACGCAUGAGAUUCUGGUGGUUUGUGCAUUAUGCUUCUACAUGUGGAGCUUUCUGGAUUCUAACAUGUGGCAAAAUCUGGUGGAAUGUAAGGUUAGGCAAGUUUGAUUAACUUAGGUGAGUGUUUGGUUCAAGCCACACCUUAGGCAAGCCACACUAAGGCCCCACAUGACAUACACACAAAAAUGUGGCAAGAUUCCCUUAGGCUUGCCAACUUGUGGCUCUCAUUUUGAAGAACUAAUAACUUUGCCUAAGCUUAGUUGUGGCAAAGUUAGUCAUGAAUUAAGUUCAACCAUGGAGUCUUCUAGAUUAUACAUGUGGCAGAAUCUGGUGGAUGAUAUCCAACGGCCAGUAGUGCUCGGAUUUGCCAUCUUUGUACCAUCGGAUUGGCUUCAUCCAACGACCAACUUUCAAAGUUUUUCACACACUAUAUAGGGGGUAUAGAUAUAGAUGUGCCGGUCCGUUGCAGUGGAUCCAAAGUAUAUCUAUUUAGUGGAGUGCACUCUAAACACAUUAUCUAUUUAUUUUUCUCUAACCUUCCGUAGCCAUGCAACCAAGCCACAUAAGCUUCAUGGGUGCCCCCCACAUCAUAUUAUUCAUACUACGUUGAUUAAAAAAAGAUAAAUCACCCAAAACAAGAUCUUCCCUUUUUUGUUCCUACGAUGUUGUGCCGUGCACGUACCUACUAGUUGUAUAGUGGUAGUACUAGUAAUAUAGUAUUAGGAGUACAAACUUGGUACUAGUAGGAGUAGUACUAGUACGGAAUGCUCCUACUCUAUCAACGAGCCCCGUCUGACACCAAAUUUCUUGGCUUCUGUGCUACAACUCGAUCUUCCCCUCGUUUCUGUUUUCCAACCCGGCGGCGGGCGGGGUGUCGGUUUGCUCAACGGCGGUCCCACAUGAAAGUGAAAAUGCUAGGCAACACGCCUUCCCUAAGCUAUGUGUCGUGCCGGACGGGCCGUGCUGUACUCCCGAUUCCCGGGCGUGUGGGGGUGCGACGCGAACGAGAAUGCAGCAGCACAAUAAGAAUUAAGGCCACGAUGAUGCGAUCGCAGUGGUGGUUACAGAAGGCAAGAAGAAAGAUGGAUCCACGAACGUACGACCUCCUCCUCCUCAACUUAGUGCGCCCGGUCACCGACCGGCGGCUAAGGAGCGGCGGCUUUUGUGGCGAGGUCGAGGUGCUUCUCAGCAAAGGCAUCCAAGGCUUCCAGCCGGUUGAGGAAGGCCAACAUCGUAGCGUCCUCACUGGCCUUGUAGAUACCUAUGUACACAAUUUGCUCGUACACGUGGAUGUGUAGGUCGACGAUUUCUUGCAGGGCGAGGCGCCUCGCGGCGAGCGCGACCUCCAGGUGGACAUUCUUCGUGGCGUCGGCGGGCAGUCGCAGGGCCACCAGUGCUUGAAAGAGGUUCCGGUCAUGGAGGCCGAUUAGGGUGGCAGGCAAUGAGGAGCCCGGGCGCACGGGCUGGAGGAGUACGGCGAUGUCGUCCGCGAGCUUCUUGAGGAUGGUGAACUUGUUGCUGGUGGCAACGACCAUCUGGUCCAACUGAGAGUCAUAGUUGGCGUUGACGGCGGCCAUCCACCAGCCGGUCUCCAACACCGUCUGGAGACGAUCCUCGGCGCCAUGCCGCAGGCCGGCGUCGUGGACCAUAUGGCGCAGCCGCUGGCCGCUCACGCGCAUCGCCGCCAUGGGUCUGGAGUGAGCUCUUUUGCGCUUAGUGUAGGUGCUUAGGCAAAUGCUUAGGUGCGUACGAUGUGGUAGAUGCAUUGGAAUGGUGGGGCGCCUUUAUACGAGGGCAAACUGCGUUGCAUUCACAUCGUGCAGCCUCUUUUCCCGGACCUCCUCCCAUUACUUCCUUCAUGCAUUAAUUGAAGGAGGAUGCAUUGGCCGUUCAACAUAUCGGGAACCGCUACUCCCUCCCUCGUCUGCAUUAAAGCCGUAUCGGGAACUGCGCCGCCCGCUGUCAAAUCGAAUACUCCCUCCGUCUAGGUGAGUAUUAAGUCAUCUUACGAAAACCAAAUAGUAAACACAUAGGCGUGGUGCAUUAACUCUCACGUUGUUUCUUAUUUUUUGACAUAAAUAGAGGAAUCAACCAAGAAGAGAUGUGGGGCUUGUAUGCUUUUAAUGACUUGAGACUAUCAAACAUGACAUGCAGUGGUCAGUUCGUUGCACAAGAACAAAUACAACCCACAUCAGCACACACGCAUCUUAUAUAGCAUCACAUCCAACGGCUAUAAAAGAUGAAUGCGACCAAAUUAUAUCUCAUCUAGAUGAGUUCUGGAAAAACUGUAUUAAUAAUACUUAGUACUCCUGCGCCAUGUAUCAUAUAUUAGUAUCAUGUAGUACUUUAUUUAUUGCCAUGUAUGACACAUAGUACUCAACACUCUCUCUUUCUUCAUUUAAUUCUAUGACACCUCAUCAAAAUUUCUAAGGCUAGUACCAUUACAACCAGCCUUAGCAAAUACUAAACAUUAAGUUCUCUCAUUUUCCUCUCCACCUUAGUCACCUAGACGGAGGGAGUAUACUGCGCGGGCUUUUCCUGCGCGGUAGGCGGGGCAGUUCCUUCUAGUCGGUUCGACAGAGACGCGAGAAGACGAGGGAGUAGGCUGCUGCAAACGUAGGGCUGUGUGAUUUGACAGCGAGUUAUUGCUGGACAGGUGGGGCCCCAUGAUUUGACUUGCCAUUAUCAUUUUAACUGCGGCGCUAUGACCGGUGUGAGUCUCCCGAUUCCUGACCACCUCCAUACAGGUGCCUCUCCCAAUGCUCCACCAUGUAGUAGAGGCUGGCUCUUGCAUGAGAGCCCACUUCUCCACUUUUUCCUUGCCUCUCUUUCCUCCACAUAUGCAAAAAUGCCAUGUAAAGCGCACUUUUGUACUUACUUGCUCCUACAGGUGCUUAAGCUUGCCACAUAGGCAUAAAGUCUGAUGUGGCAAGUUAAUCAAGAAGAGAGAGACUAGUUUGGUGACCCAAGGAAGAAACGGUGCUAAGCGCGUGUACCUAGGUGAAAAGACAAUUUUGAGUCUAUAGCUAAUUAAAUGAAGCAAACUUAGCAACACCAUUUCAUUGGAAGAGGUCACUCCUUGGCAAAUGCAAUAAAUACUUGUACUCCCUGUGUCCCAUAAUAUAAGAACGUUUUUGGCACUACACUAGUGUCAAAAACGUUCUUAUAUUAUGGGACGGAGGGAGUACGAAGAAAGAGAUAGAGAGAAGUAAAAAAAACACUUAUAGCCAACCUUAUAGCCAACCUUAUAGCAAAAACCUUGUUGUAGUAUGAGUGACUAAGUGAUGACUAUGUAUGACAUGCCAACAUCAGAUAGCCUAACGCACUGUGUUAAAUCUCCAAGGGCGCGACCGCACGAGCGACGCGACGGUCGUGGUAGGCGCGACCACGAUACGGGCUGCUGGCAGCCCUUGGAUCUGAGAUCAAAUGGUCGCAUGCUAAGUUGCUGAAAAUUUGCAGAAUAACCCUCCAGGAUAGGAUAUUCACCCAUAGGUCUAGAAUCAUGCCAUGCAACCGUUCGAUCUUAGAUCCAAGGGCUCUCGGAAGCCCGUAUCAUGGGAGAAUGGAAAGCCACUACCCUGCCGUUCGCACGCUGGCAGUUCGCUCCUACUCGGCCCCACACGUCCUUCAAUACUACGGCGGUUCGCUCCUAGUCGUCCCGUCCAUUCACAUUACGGCAAUUCCACUAAUCUUAACCCUCCUCCCAAAUCCAUGGCGUCCCAUAUCUCCCCGAUCGGCGGUGAGUACAAGGUUAGAACCAUCACCGGCGAUGAGUUCGACAUCAUCUACACCCGUUCUUCCGCGACGGUGAAAGGAUGCCUUUCUCGCUUCAGACGCAUGUUCGAAGACUCAGAUGAUGAGUGGAUGGCUGGGCUAGAUGUUGAGUACACCACAGUCCUGGGACGAGAGAAGGAUCUAAAGGACGAAGAGAGGAAGAAGCCCACCGUGAUCCAGGUUUGCAUGCAUGACUUAUGCUUGGUCUACCACAUAUGCCAUGCCGACGUUGAGUGCUAGGAUUUUAAGGACUUCCUCGAGAGCAACCUAGUCAAAUUCGUUACUGUAGACUUUGGUAACGACAAAGAAGUCCAGCGUCGGAUAGGCCUCGUUGUAGGCAACACCUUCGACCUCCAGAAGAAUCGGCUGGUGUCCUCUCGUCAGCCUUCAAUGCUGACCCUGGCAGGAGCCAUGGUUCAUCCUUCGUACGGUAAACUGGAGAAACCUCCAUACACGUUUCAUCGUCAUGCAUGGCAGCAGAAUGUACUAGAUAUAGACCACAUCCACUACACUUCAAUGGAUGGCUACCUUUGCUUCAAUAUCUACAAGGGUUGGAUGAAGAGCAACAACAAAGUGUGCGGUUCAAGCAAACAAGUAUCGGCCAAGAGGAAGAGGGACAAGGACGAAGUCGAGGACGUGGACGAGGACUCCGAGUAAGGUGGCAGUGUCGUUGCUCAUGGUGGUUCUAAUGCAGUGUCUACCGGAAUAGUUGCAAAGUUUAAUUUCAGGUGUGCUUAAUUUAAUUUGAGGGGUGUGUUGUGCUGAGCCCCCAGCAAAACUAUGUUAUGUUUCUUCUUGUUACUUUAACUCUUCAGUACGUACAUACUAGUAUUUCUUACAUUUCAUCUUUUAUUUGGUAUAGUACUACCACUCGUUUCUUCACAUUAUAUACGUACAAUAUAUAUGGCCAACAUCAUAUAGCUAGCAGUUUAGUUGUCAAAGAAUUUCAGAGUGCUUAGUUUUGUCAAAGAAUUCCAGGGUGCUUAGUUUUAUUUGAGGGGUGGGUUGUGCACUUGUGCUGGACACCAUUAUUGUGACAAGCCUUUUUUAAUAGUACUAUAUGCAUAAUUUGGCGACGAGCGCUCUCUACAUGUACCACCUUUUUUUAAUUUCAAGUUUUGCUCCAUGGCGCAAUCCAUCGAUACUACUACUGUUCAAAAGUGGAGUAUAUACAUUUUUUAAAAGGCUAGAGGGCGGGGCAGUCUAGCUCGGUCGGUUUCACGAGAGGCGAGGGCCUUUGUCAUUUGACGGCUCAUUACUGCUGUCAAAUUGAAUAGUACUGCGCCGCCCGCUGCACGCCCGGCGCCUCCAUUAAACCCCCCCGUUAAACCUGCAUGCAAACCGAGAAUCCUACUCCUGCCACACGUCCGUUCAUGAGCGGGCCGGAAUUAAACGCAACACCGGCCGAGCUCGUCCCGUCCGCCCUCAGUUUAAACGAGGCCAGACGCCGGCCAAGCUCGUACCGUCCGCCCUCUAUUUACACGAGGCCAGACAGACAACGGGCAAGAAUCGCACCCCUUCGUCGCUCCCCCAUCUCCUCCUUCACCAUUUUCUCCACUCUUCCGAUGGCUUCCGAUGAGCCAUUCUCCGGCAUAUUACCCGACUGGGUGGCCCGCCGAGCCCUCCGGAUACGGGCGAGGCCGCUCGGUGCUUCACCAACCUCGCUUGGCCCGACGGAGCCAGUUGCCGCCCCAAGCAGGCGCGUGGUCCAGCAACUCGCCGCUCCAGUUCAGCUCGAUGAGGAGUGGCGAGUUGCUCCACACCGGCACGGCGGCUAGCACGCCGGUACGGGCGCCGUCGCUGCCGCCUCGUACCGCGCCACCAGUGUCUGCGGUGGCCGCGCCUCCCGUGUCUGUGGGCGCGACUCCCGUGCCUGCGGCAGCGCCAUGCAGGCAGAGACAGAAGCCGGGUGCAUGGAGAGCGAUGAGUCGGUGGCUAGCUUCUUCGUGUCCGCCGCCAUCAUCGAGGAGAAGUAGAACACGGGAGGCCGCCGCCACUUGGGACCCAUGAAGGUCACCGCCGAGGCGACGACCGCGGAUUCAGGUGGUUUCUUUGCUGCUUCGUCUCUUCUGAGGACCUUCAUCGACCCCGCAAGUGUCUGACGGACAUGAGGAAGACAAAGGGAUCCGCGGGCGGCCAUUUAGAACUAAAAUAAGUCUAGAUACAUCCAUUUCUAGGACAAGUAUUUCCGGCCGGAGGGAGUAUUAAUUAUACAAGAGAGCCGGAUUGACACCUCUUAGUUCAUGUAAAUGUAAUGAAAUCCAUCAUGUUUAUAUGAAGAUCCGGCUUUUUUAUACGAAAUCCUUCAUGCUUAUAUGAAAUCAGUCCGUGUUUGCAUGAAUUUCAUCUGGUUGGUUAGAGUUGUAAAAAUGUAUGCCGCUGGCGUUUGAUGUCGUCCUCCGCUUAAGUAAGCGGGAGGAAAUUUGCCGGCUACCGUUGGAGAUGCUCUUUAUGCUGGAAAUAAUAGAGUGACAUCCAAUCCAUUUGAGUUAAUUGCCUGUAUGAUUGUCCCUCUAUAAAAAGUUAAUUGCAUGUACAGUGUACAUGUGACUUGCAGGGUGGCUACAGCUUCGUACAGAAAGUUAAAAAGAAACAAGUCCAUCCUUAAUCUUGUAUUCUAAGUACUUAUGGGUUCCACUGUCAGUACAGUAGCGAAAGAAGUAUAUAUUAAAUAAGUAGAGUAAUAUAUAAUAUAAAAAUAUAAAGUUAAAAGACAGAAUUCGAACUCAUGUCAUCGCGUUGCGAGCAUCCGGCGCUAACCAGGCUAGCAAAUUUUUGUUGUAGACCAUGCUGGAGAUAUAUCUCCAUGUCUACUCUUAUAUAUACUCCAUUCGUUCCUAAAUAUUUGUCUUUUUCAGAUUUUCAAAUGGACUACCACAUACGGAUGUGUAUGUAGACAUAUUUUAGAGUGUAGGUUCACUCAUUUUGCUCCGUAUGUCUUUUCAGGAAGGGGUCAGAUUUGUCCUUGAUUUAUUUAUGAGGUAUCCAGAUGGCACUGCACCGCCAAGAAAAGAGGGUAACAUCAAAAUUAUGGACUACUUUUUUGAGUAUGUUGGUAAGGUCCGGUCAUAGUCACUUGUUGAAAUCUCUAAAAAGACAAAUACUCCCUCCGUCCGGAAAUACUUGUCAUCAAAAUGGAUAAAAGGAAAUGUAUCUAGACUUAUUUUAGUUUUAGAUACAUCUCUUUUUAUCCAUUUUGAUGACAAGUAUUUUCGGACGGAGGGAGUAGAAAACAGAGUUGGUGAUGAUGGUGUGCGUGCCAUCCUGCAAUAUAGGCCGUCGGAUUUAUAUCUAACGGAUAGGAAAGAAACUAUGGCAAUUUUGCAAAAAUAUACCCACACGUCUCUCCAUGUUCGCAAAUAAGGCCUUCACUCGUUCAACCUUUUCUCUCACAAGAUAAACUACUCAUACAAAUGCAUCUUGAUGUUCCGUGCAACGCACGGGCAGCUAGCUAAAUUCUUUUAAAAUAGUUGCUGCGAUAAUUGGGUUGAAGUGAUAUAUUUUAUGUCUGCCCCAAAUGAUUUCAGAUUCACUAGUAGUAACAAAGAAAAGGUUGCCUUGUUAAUUAACAGAAAACAAGGUGAAAACUAUCACAUGAGGCCGGUAAAAACAAGGCACACUGGGUUCAGCGUCAUCGUCACUACAGCUGUGCGCGUGCGAGAAGUCUACAUAUCGAGGGGGCUACCGAGCGAGGCACCAAGACACAAUGUUUGAGAGAGAAACCAAUUGACAGAUUAUGAUCAGAUCGAGUUGUCACCCUUCUGCUGUCAUUGUUGGGGGGGAGGGAGAGAAAGACGUAUCGAGAGUGUGCGUGGUAGGCACAGAGGCACAACUAGCGAGUGUGUGUGUAUGUGUGUGUUUGAAAGAGGAGUAGAUAGAUUAUUAUCAAGAUCAAUGUGCCACCCUACUCCUUCGGUGCCAGGUAGUGUGUGUGUGUAUGUUUGAGAGAGAAGCCAGUCGAUAGAUUAGUAUCAAGAUCGAGGUGUCACCCUACUCCUUCGGUGUUGGGAAGUGUGGGUGUGUGUGUGGGGGGGGGGGCAGUGACACUCACAUAUCUCUACUCUUAUAAAUAAAACAGAGUUGGUGAUGAUGGUGUUCCUGCCAUCCUGCAAUAUAGGCCAUCCGAUUUAUAUCCGACGGACAGGAAGGAAACUAUGGCAAUUUUGCAAAAAGAUACCCACACCCCUCUCCGCAUUUGCAAAUAAGGCAUUCCCUCGUUCAUCCUUUUCUCCCACAAGAUAAACUUCUCAUACAAAUGCAUCUUGAUGUUCCGUGCAACGCAUGGGCAUCUUGCUAGUAGGGAGAAGGAGUUUGUGUGACACAUAUCUAGCUAUAUUAAGGGAUAGGUAGAUAGCAUAUGUGUGAGAGACAUUAUUAUACUUUGAGACAUUAGUGGCUGUGGGUGGGCGGAAUUAAAGGGGUGGGCGUGUUAGACAUAGAGAGCGUGUGUGUUUCUGUGUGAGAGACUUGUAGGACGGGGUAGAAAGACAAAUUUAACCCUGACGGAGGGAGAGAAAUACACGAAGUGCGCGUGUGUGAUUCCGAUGCCCACAGGCAAAUGAGAUAUGUAUGCGUGUGAGAGAGAUUGCACAAUUCAUUCACGUAUCACUAUCUAGCGAUCGUGGACGUGCAUCGCUUGAACAUAAGUCAAUAUCUACUUCGUAUCGUGGCCAAAGGUACAAUAUCGAUUCAACGCUAUAAAGAUUGGACACUCACAUAUCACAUUUUUUAUUUAAAUAAACCUUUUCAGUUGUGCAUGCCAAAGUUACAGUGAUGUUUCUUCAAACAACCAAUGUAGCUAUCAUGUAUAUGCACCAUUGUUACUCUUGCAUUCAAAUUCAUUAGUCUUGGAUGAUUUAAGUUUCUAUUUUGAAGUAAUAUAUGUAAUAUUUAUAUAUGAAUUCAACGGGUACGCAAUUUAUGAAAUGGAGGCUAUGUAAUCAUAUGAGGUAACACUUUUAAGUAGCUGACUACAAUAUCCAUUUCUUUUUGUGCGCCUCUACACUAACACGUCAAUGCAUUAUGUUUAAAGUAAAUAACUAAUGGCACUAAAUUAUCUAUUUACACGAGAAAUACAUAGGCUGAGCGUGUGAUCCCUUUUUUUGUGAACGCGCCACUACACCCGUACGAUUGGCCGCGCCCGUGUGAACGUCCAAGUUAUCGGCGCAUCAUCCCGAGUUAUUGUCUUUUUUUCUGGGGUGGACUUCACACCAGUUAUUAACUGCUGACGCGUGCCCCGUGUACACAGUCUAGCAUGACCUUCCCGCUAGCAUGGUCCAAAAUUAGUUGAAACUGGAUACGAACGAUCCCGCGGGCGGCAAAAUCUCCCGCCUCCUUCUAAAAUUUCCGCCACCUUAGUCUUUAGCAUGCGAAAUCCCCCUUUUGUCCUUGGUGCACGGAGACCAACAGUUACAAUACCACCCUCAUCUACAUGUAGGUCGGGGCUGCUUUGGUAACUUCCGGUUCCCCCACUACACGGCACCCCCAUUUCCUCUCCCCUCCCGCAAAAACGACUAACUCCACAGCACCAGAGCAUCUUACAUCACGCCGUCCAUACUUCAUCGCCCUUUCUCCCCUCCCCUCUCGAAACCCUAGACUGCUCAUCCACCGGCCUACCAUAGCCCAUUCACUGCCAGCGGCGUCCACCUCGCCGGAUCUGCUUCUGCGGCCGCAUCUACCCCUCCCACCUCCCCUAGAAACAAGUAGACUGCUCAUCCACCACUGUACCACAGCCCAUUCAGUGCCGGCCUUGUCCACGACGCCGAAUCUGCUUUGCCGUUACUCUCGUCAACCGCCGCGCAUCUGCAGCGGCUCAUUCGUACUCCCCACCGGAGACGCUUCGUCCACACCCCCCGGAGCCGCCCCACCGAUGCCCCCGUCAACGGCCUCUGAUCCUCUUCGCCGACACCUUCCUCAACCCUACCGGAGCCGCUUCGCCGACACCUUCCUCAAUCCUACCGGAGCCGCUUUGCCGACACCAUCGGUAACCCUACCGGAGUAGCUUCGCCUAUACCAUUCUCAACCCUACCGGGGCCGCUUUGCCAACUCACAAGUCCACGGCCUCAGAUCCGCUUCCUCGCACCCUCAUCCAACCUACCAGAGCAGCUUCUGACGCCCCGUCCACGGCCGCAGAUCCGCAUCGUCGACACCACCCUUAACCCAACCACCGGAGCAGCUUCUGACGCCCCGUCCACGGCCGCAGAUCCGCNNNNNNNNNNCUUCGCCCACACCGUAGUCCACCCUACCGGAGCCGCUCCACAAACACCCUACUCGACGGUUCUAGAUCUCCUUACCGGACCCCGACAGCCAGCGCAGCGUCAUCACCCUCGACGUUUCUAACCUGAUUCCCACCGUCUGGAGAGAUGCCAAGCACCCGCCACGGCCUAGGUACUUGUCACCUUUAAACCCGUCCAGCAUCACCUGCCCGAUGUACUUCAAAUAUACUAACCGGUCGCUGUUACCUGUUAUGCAGCUGGCAAAAACUACAAUGACGAUGUUUCUUCUGGAUCUAACAGCUUGCCAACCAAGAUCCUGGACUGAGGCAUUGCUAUGAUCUUGUAAGCGCGUCUCUCUCUCUUGUAUUGUUCUGUGCCUGCCAGCGUGCUUUGCUAGGAUUUUCGACCAGUAAUCCCUUUGUGCAAACAAUGAUUUCUACUACUGGCUGCUAAAUUAGAUAUGUAGAUGUCAUACAUGAUACUACCUCGUACCUCCGUUCCUAAAUAUAAGUCUUUCUAGAGAUUCCACUAUAGGCUACAUACGGAGCAAAAUGAGUGAAUCUACACUCGAAAAUGCAUCUAUAUACAUCUGUAUGUGGUCCAUACUGGAAUCUCUACAAAGACAUAUAUUUAGGAACAGGGGCAGUACAUUACACAACAUCGUAGGUGGCAUAUAGGAAUUCCAGUGCACUACAUUAGGCUCCCUUAGAGUGCCUGCUAGUCCAGCAUACAGAGUCAUGGCUAUUUUAUGGUACGCACACAAUCGUUAAUUGGUGGUUUAAAUAUGCGCAUGGGAUAUCCAAUGUAGUAUCAUGUAGAGAUGUCUAAAAUUAGCCGUGUCAACUUGCAGAUAGGGUUACACAAUGAAAAAGUACAAGAUGUAUGUGGCAAUUUCAUGGAACAUCGCAAAAAAGGAGAGGCAGCGGUGAGCCUAUACAGUGUGCUAUGGUACGUCACUCCUCCAUUGCGAUCAUCGUGACAUGUUAUUUGUAUGCCAAUUAUUACGAGUUAUCCUAAGAAAAUAAGCACCUGUGAAUAUAAGCUCCAUGUAAUAAGCCAACCAGUUCUUUUCAUUGCGUUUUUAGCUUAUCUUUGGUAUGAUCAGUGGAAAGUCUAGAUUGCAUUAUAUUUUUUUCAUUUUGCUGCCCAUAUGGAAAUUAAUUUGACUUGCAAACAUCACAAAUUGAACCCAGUGCAGUAAUUAAUAUGAUAGGAAAACAGACCAUCACUAUUUGCUCAAAAUGCAAAUACAAAGAUACCAUCUACUUGGCACAAUCUACUUUGGUCAAUGUUUUCCAUAGAGAUCCCAUUGCCUAAUUUAAACGAAGAACACAUGACCCACAUUUAAAUGAAGAACAAUUAUUUAUUGAAAUUCGAUUAUCCAAGUGGCUGGUUAUUAUUGUAUAGCAGCACCACCUGAAAGCAUCAUAUAGCAGCAGCAACAGCUCAUAGCAACUCAUCAUACAGCAGCAGCAGUCUGCAAUUCAUCAUAUACCAGCAGCAGCUCAUAGCAAUUCAUCAUAUAGCAGCAGCAGGAGCAGCUCAUAGCAAUUCAUCAUAUAGCAGCAACAGGAGCAGCUCAUAGCAAUUCAUCAUAUAGCAGCAGCAGGAGCAGCUUGUAGCAACUCAUCAUAUAGCAGCAGCAGCUCAUAACAAUUCAUCAUAUAGCAGUAGCAGCAGCUCAUAGCAACUCAUCAUACAACGACAGUAGCUCAUAGCAAUUCAUCAUAUAGCAGCAGUAGGAGCAGCUCAUAGCAAUGCAUCAUAUAGCAGCAGUAGAAGCAACUCAUAGCAAUUCAUCGUAUAGUGGAUCAGAAUGAAAAUUUGGCAAAAAAUUAGAGGAGAUCCUCACCUUGUUGGAUGAGCUCAUCCUUCAACAACACCUCAAGGCCAUGGCUUGGGAGGAGGGGAGGGGGAAUAAGGUGCCUUCUGCCGCAGUGUGGCAUCAACCGUAGUUGUGCAGCGCCCGCCGGAGUAGUGCGUUGGAUGAACCACAGUGGAGCAGCUGCUGGAGACCAUGAGAAUGAGGGGCGGCGCCAGAGGGAGGAGCAGCCAGGGAGAUUUGCCCCUACCUGCCGGCCAUGUAGCCUAGCUGGACAUAGCAUCGUUGAGGACCAGGCCAGAUGGGACCAGUGGCGACGGCUCGCUGGAGGAACCCUAGUGCUGCAGGCAGGGGAUCAAGGUAGAGGGAAAGGGGAGAGGAGAUGCAAGCGGGCAGGGCAAUGAAUGCUUGCGUGCUUGUUUUUACUUGAGGGUCAGGUGUGACACGGGCGUCAACAGUUGCAUUUUGAGUGUAAUAUAGGCAGACAACAGAGUCAUUUCACUAUUCCCCUUCCCUUCAAUUUUUAGUGAGGUUCUACCCGAAACACCCCCUCCAAAGCGAAAUUAGUUAAGCCCAAGCCCAUAACUCAAAAAUGAAUUCUUUACAUCUUUUAUGGCUUAUUUUGACAAUAUGCCCUGAAAAGGCGGAAUUGAACUGGCCCUUAACCUGCAAUUCAAUUGUGUGUGCAAUGAUGAAUCACCCCUUCCUGCUAUCUGUACAUUUAGGCAUCAUCAUACAUGGCAUAACCUAAUACAUGUGCAUUCCAUUGUAGAAUCUGGAAUAUGCAAUGUUGAUGUUAGUUCAUACGUUGCACAUGAUGUUUAAAUGCCCCUUAAAUCUGGUAGUCAAGUGAUGGUCUUUAAGCCUCCUUCUUUGCUUCUUUUCUUGAUAUGUAAGAUUUGCUCACACAUCUGUUCAAUUGCUUGUUUGCAUCAGCCAGCCAUACUAGGACUGUUUGCUUUGAUUACUUGAUGUUCUUGACCUAACACUCUAACAGAGCUUGUCAACGAUUUAAACACUAAGGGCUGCUGUAGUGGGGCCUUGUCUAACUCAUAGGUGACAUAAAGGUUUGGCUGUACACUACAGUAGGCUCUCCAAGAGUACCUGGAGAUCCAGUUCGAAGGUAUGCCUAGUUUUUACAUAGUGCAGACAUAGUAAAUGCUCAUUUCAUUGUGUGCAAGUGCAAGAGAUGCGGCAUGUUUCAUUAUGUGGUGUUGUUUUGUUAUAAUCUCAUCCUUUUGUGUUCACAGACUGGAAAGUAUGCAUAUUUAUCUUCCAAGGAGACGAGUAACUAGUUUGUGUCACCUUGCAGAGGGGGUGCAAUGAAGAUAAGAUUGAGGAUUUCCAAGUACAAGAUGUUAGGAAGGAGCCUUGCAAGAGAAGUAGGAGCUGCGCUGAGCCUCUUCAACCUGCUAAGGUAAGUCACUGUAUGCAACUCAACAGUUCAAUUCCUUGUUUGUUUCAGGCAUAGUUAAUUUUCUCUUUUCAAUUGCUUUAUUUGUCCUCAGUUAAUGAGAUGCCCAAAUAAUCAUGCCUGAUGUUCAGUACUUGUAUCACUAUUAGUUGACAUAAUUAAAGGCCUUACCAUUUAAUUACUCUGCCGAAGUGUGCCUGAAGCUUUGAAGUCUAUUAACCAACUAUUACUGCAUGAGGCUCACAAUCUAGUUUAUACUACGCUAAUGAUUGCAUAGUUUUUCCUGCUGUAGUAUGUUUGUAUGAAACCCUCUGCUGUUCAUUAUGCUCCCUAAGACUUUAAUUGAGGCACAAAAUGGCCAACUGCUUGCUUACUUAUACGCAACGUGCUGUCUAAAUUUGUAACUUGUCUGUGUUUUCGAUUGGGCCCCAACAUCAUGCUCCUCUGGUGAGCUAAGAGGGAUUUCUGUAUGCAGGCUGCACAGACUAUCUUUUUUAUAAUUUUUAAAAUAUCACCUGCUUAUGCUUCAUGACCUAUAACAUUUUUUUUGAAAGUGACGUGUAACAUUAUUGUUAGUCCUGUUUUGCCAUGUAGUACAAAAUAGUGUCUUGUUCGCUUCACUGUUGAAACUAUAUUUUUGCCCUAGUCAUGUGUACUUACAAAAACAUUUCAGGAUGAAGUGACAUCAACACAAAGAUCUGCGAGCAGUGCGGCAUGGCCGUUACCGAAUGAUUAUGGAUUGGAAUUGGAAUGUGCUGAUGUUCUCGAGCAUCAACUAGAGGUGGCAAGACAACGUGUACAUGAUUGUCAAUGUAUAAUCAACAAGUUGAGACUGGACAUGCAGGUAUUAGAUGAAGGAGUCAACAAAAUGAAACAAGACACUGAGGUAACCAUGAAGGAAUUGGAGAUUUUGCAGACUGAAAUUUGUGCUAUCUGAAUCCGGCCAAUCCUAUUUUCUGAAGAGAUUAUAGUUCAAAUGGAGUUAAGUUGAUGCGCGUCCAUGAUGUAUGAGCUGUAUUUGCCCAGUGUAUGUAAUUUGCUGUUUGUGUAUGCUUUAUUAUCACCUGUGCCGAACCAUAAUGCCGAGUGGGUAUAAUCAGCUGUAAUUUCUUUAUUGUAUAGUGUAGGAUUAUUCUACCUUUCUAUGCCUUGAUCUCUUUGUUGUAUAGUGUAUGCUUCUUAGAGGUGAUAGUAUUGAGUAGGAUAAUUCUUUGAAUAUGCUAUAUCGUUCAAACGGGGGCCAACUCGCCCGACCAUGGCCCUUCACGGGCCGUCGGAUCCAUGGGCCUUCUACGUCUCGUAGGAUCCAUGGGCCUUCUACGUCUUGUAGGAUCCAUGGGCCUUCUACGUGUCGUAGGAUCCAUGGGCCUUCUACGUCUCGUUGGAUCCAUGGGCCUUCUAUGUCUCGUAGGAUCCAUGUGCCUUCUACGUCUCAUAGGAUCCAUGGGCCGCCGACUCAUUUAUGGGUCUUGUACGGGCCUUUAAUGGGCCGUAGACGGGCCUUUAAUGGAAAUUGUACGUUUUAUGGCCUGACCAUAACGGGCCGUUUAGGUCGUAUUUGGUGAUGCUAUGAAAAUGGCCCAACAGACUAACGGUCCACAAACGGGCCGACUGCAACGACGGGCUGAAUUUGGCCCACAAGCAGAAAAUGACAGUAACGGGCCGUAAAUAACCGAAUGCUGCAAAUGAGCCCAAGAAUAAAUGGGCCCUCAGAAGGCCGAAAGUUAACUUGGGCUGGAAACGGCCCAACGGAAUAACGGGCCGUUAAUGGGUAUAAAGUGAUAGACUGUUCAUUACGGGCCAGUUUCACCACGGGCCGUUAAUGGGUGUAAAGUAAUACACUGUUCAUUACGGGCCAGUUUUAGCACGGGCCGCUAAUGGGCCAAGAGUUACAAAGGGCCUCAUAUGGGCCGAAAGACGUCAUGGGCUAUACAUGGGCCAGAAGUGAAAACGGGCUGGAAUCACAUUGGAUGGCCCAGAUGACGCUACUGGGCCUAAUUCGGAUAGGGCGUAACGGGCCUUGCGUUAGCGGGCUGUAAAUGGGCUAUAUGCGAACAGGCCGUUAACAGGCUUUCCAUGGGCCGGCCCGCCACCUUUUGACCAAGUCAAACGGGCUGGCCUUUUCACAAGAAUGGGCCACUGUUGGGCCGUGCCACGUGUCGACGUAUCAUAGGCGCCUCCUGUCCAGUGAGUGGAUGACAUCUGUCCCAACGAUGAGCCGACACGUGUUUCCUCUAGCCAAUGAUGAUUUUACACGUGGAAAAUCCCCAUUGGUCGGGGCUGUUACCGGGUUAUCGGAUCCAAAACCCGACCCGAUAGCUUAACGUCGUUCCAUUACGGUGGAUGCCACGUGUCGGUCACCCUUGACGAAAGCACUUCUAUGACGCGCAAUUUAUCGUCAUGGAAGUGGACACUUCCGUGAUGAUAAUUUUGGUAAUGUCAUGGAACACUUCUACGACAGCACAGGUAUGACUAUCUUGAUUCUGUCAUAAAUUUGUCAUGGAUGUACAUGCAUGACAAAAAACGCGACCUACUGUGACAAACACGUAUCAUCACGGAAGUCUAUUUUUUUUGUAGUGCAUGUUGGUGCCAUGUCAUGGCACCAAGCCAAGUUUCAUUAUUUUCAUGCGUGUUUUGGAUUUACAGGAAUUAAAAAACUAAGUUUCUCAAUGUUUCCAACCCAGCCACGACGCCCAGAAUUUUGAAUUUCAUUCCCAUUUCUUGCAUGGAACCUAGAAAUUUACCCGAGGACACACAUGUGAUUUUUCAACCAACUUUGGUGCACUGGAACAUGUGCUUGUAUUUCAAAUUUGAAUUAUGCACAGAAAGGUGACAUGUUCCCUCCCAGAACCACGAGCCUUCUUGACAGAAGCUCCGAUUUGCAAGAAGCUUAUACCAAAAUUUGUUCCUAUUCGGCCAAUUUUUUUACCACGGCAUGGUACUACCAUGACAUGACACCAUGCCAAGUUUCAUGAUUUUAAAACCAAGUUUCUCAAUGUUCUCGACCGAGCCACGAUGCCCAAAUGUUUGAAUUUUAUUCUCAUUUUUUGCAUGGGACCUACUCCCUCCUUCCAUCUAUAUAGGGCCUAAUGUGUUUUUCAAGACAGCCUUUGACUAUUAACAAGAUUAAUAGCACAUGAGAUGUAUACUAUGAAAAUUAUAUUAUGGAAGAUCCUUUGACAUACAAAUUUGAAGGUAUGCUUUGUGUAAGUUGCAUGUCAUAUAUUAUUGCUCUAACGUUUGGUCAAAGUUAGCCUCAAAAAACGCAUUAGGGCCUAUAUAGAUGGAAGGAGGGGGUAGAAAUUCACCCGAGGACACAAAUGUGAUUUUUCAACCAACUUUGGUGCACGGGAGCAUGUGCUUGUAGUUCAAAUUUGUAUUAUGCACAUUAAAUGACCAAAAACUCAAUUAAUGUGUAAAUAAGGCCAAACGAAGCUGGAAUAAUUCCAAAAUUUAACACGGCACUCAUGUAGUUCUAUGUUGCCUUUGUAAAUAAACUCAAGGGGGACAACGCAUAUCGUUUCGCACUCAAAGGUGGCACGUUCCCUCUCAGAACCACGAGCCUUCUUGAGAGAAGCUUCGGUUUGCAAGAAGCUUAUACCAAAAUCUGUUCCUAUUCGGCCAAUUUUUUUACCACAACAUGGUAGUACCAUGACAUGACAUCCAUGCCAAGUUUCAUGAUUUUCAGACGUGUUUUGGAUUUACAAGAAUUUUAAAACCAAGUUUCUCAAUGUUCUCGGCCGAGCCACGAUGCCCAGAUGUUUUAAUUUUAUUCUCAUUUCUUGCAUGGGACCUAGAAAUUCACCCGAUGACACAAAUGUGAUUUUUCAACCAACUUUGGUGCACGAGAGCAUGUGCUUGUAGUUCAAAUUUGACUUAUGCACAUUAAAUGACCAGAAACUCAAUUAAUGUAUAAAAAAUGACAAACGAACCCGGAAUAAUUCCAAAAGUUAACAGGGCACUAAUGUAGUUCUAUUGUGACACCCAAAAUUUUAUUGGAUUUUUCAAAAAAUUUAUUUGACCUGAGGGAGGUGAUUUAAAUUUUUUCUUCAAAGGAACCCUCCCUUUCAAAAAAUAUUUUUUUAUGGCAAGAGUUUUAUUUGGAUUCACCCAAAACUUGUUUUAGUCUUGGAGGUUCUUGCUUUUCAUUUUUGGCUCAAACCAAAAUGCUUUUCACUUGGGGAACAUGCCUUUUGAAAAUCUCUUUGAAAAUGCACUAUGGCUUUUGGAAUAAUCCUUUACCACUUUCAACAAAUCCCUCUUGCCAUGGCCUUAGUGCAAAUCCACUCUCCUAAACCUUCCCUCAUAUUUGGAUCAUGAUUUGCAUCAAAUCCAGCAAGUUGAACCUCCCCAUAUGAUUAUUUUCCAUUUAAAUCUUAUCAAAACAAUUUCUGUCCUCUAUUCUAGCCCUUGGAGAUUUACAAAGGAACUACCAUUUCUGUUUUGAUUUUUGCCCCCAAACCAAUUCCCCUUCCUAGUCUUUUGAACCCUCAACCAAGAUCCAUGAAGAUCCACUGGUCUUCAGUUCAAAUAUUUCAAACUAUACUUGCUGCAAGUUUGGACCAGAUUUGCCAAAUUUGAUGAAAUUCAUUCUAAUCCUUCUCCAAAAAUUUUGAGAAAAAUCAGGCAGCCUCUGGGUGCAUUGAGAGGUCACCUCACCAAGUUCCAGCCCCAGGAAAAAUUUUCUUCAUGCCAAAUCAUUUCGUCGAACACCUACUGGACACUGUCGCUGUCAUGUUCAGUUAAUUCAGAGAAACAGUUUCAGUACCCACUGUCGUUUUCUUCAGAACCCGACGUCGAUCUCGCCAGUGCCGCGGUGUCGCCGUGCACCCUGUGUUUCCUCCUUGUCCUCUGCACCGCACGGGCGCCUGGAAGCUUGCGGACGUCGGCGACGAGCAGCAGGAGGUGCGCCGCCCCGUGACCGACGCCAGCGGCGGCUUUGCGGCCGUCAGAAGGGAGGCGCAGCGCAGACGGCGCCGUCCAGCGCCGCCCAAGCCACCGGAGGUUGCCGCGUGGUCUUCCACUCCCCCAUGCGCGCUGCCACCCUCGUCGUGAACCGCUGGGCGUGGAGCACGCUCUCUGCCGCCGCCGUGCCAGUACGGCGACCCCGACGAAGACCGACGCCAUUACGCCAUGCCCGACCGAGUUUAGCAGUGGAACGGGACCAGUAACUCCCACUGAUGCUGCCUGGCCACCUAAACCCCCUGCCAAUCCACUACAUCGCCGUAAUUGCUCGCCGGAGAUUCUCCGUUCACGGCCACCCUCUCGAUCCGCCUAUAAAUAGAGGCCCCGAGCUUCAACUCGAGCCCACACCACCUCUGCACUCCACCUAGACCCUGCCUAGCCACUGGAAGAGCUCCGAGGAAGUCUCCUUCCUCAACUCCGGCCGCCGCGACCCGCCACGGGAUCCAGCUCGAUUCGCUCCCGUGCGUGCACCUCUGCCUCCCAUUUCUUGCCAGUAGCCCUCUAGUGCAUCCCUCCUUCUGACCCGCGCUUCAAUUCGAGGUUUGCAGCACACCACCGGAGUUCUCCACCAUCACCCGAGCCGCCGUCCGCCGGAGAAAGUGUCGCCGUCGACGUGGUGCUCUCCGACGCUCGAGUCCACCACCCACCGACGCGGAAGGACACGCUGAAGCUCUUGGUACACUCCGAUCUCCCUGUCUCGCCGUGGUUCGACGCCGGCGACCACCGCAGUCUUCGGGCGCCGGCGAGCUUUUUAAACCUGACAUGUGGACCCCCCUGUCAGCCUCUACUCUCUUCCCCCUCGAAACGUUUUUCUGUUGGCGCCUUCGGGCAAAUACGUUUUCCCUUUGAGUUGGCGCGUUUCUUUCCGAAGCGUUUUCUGUUUUAUCAGUUAAGCCCCUGGAACUUUUCUGUUUCAUUACAGAUGAGUCCCUGGACAGAAACCUUUAUAACUUUUUUAAUAAAAAGUGAUUUUUGAGUGAUUCUUUUUCUGACAGUCUUAAAAUUUUGUCUAGUUUUUUAUGGGAUUUAUUUGGAAAUUUUUUGGGAAAACUUAUAUGCACGCGUUGGUUUUCACGUUAGCGCCCGUUUUCGUUAUGUAGGUUCCGGAAGAGGUGACGGAGCCGCGAACUUCGCCGAGCUAGACUCCGACUUCUCCGAACCAGGCAAGCAUGUUUGAACCUUUGAUAUGAUAAGUGUUUUGCAUGUUUGCGUGUAAGUUUGUGCGUGGCAUAUGAUUGUCGGUGAGUACCUCGUUGCUUGUGCGGCAACUACCCAUAUGUUCCAAAGUUGCGAUGAUCUCUGGUGAGAGAUGGCCUAAUCAUGUGGUGACAUGAAGGGCAGCAAGGUGGUAUUGUUGUCGCAUACCAGCCUUGCGUCAUCCGACUAAUUCCGACGUUAACGUGGACGGAGUCACGUUGUCGUUCUUUUCCCUUCCGUGCUACCACAUGUUUCUUUUGCCAGGAUACGGUUUAGUAAGUUGGUAACCUCUUUCCGUGUACACACCAAACAGAGGGGCCGGGAUGAUGGUUCCAUGGCCCUGGAUUAAAGCCAGUCAUCCGGUCAGGGGGCAUGGGUGUUUCCGGUUGGGACCGAGAGGGGGGGCACCCCCUUAGAGCGCGCGUAUAGAAAUUUGAUCCCAUGCUACGCGAGGUUGUAGCCUCCCCGUCUCAAGGUUUUUCUUGAACGUUGCCGAGGGUGAUCCCUGGCUUCGGAAUGUUGAAUGGGUGUGUACUGGUUAUACGUGUUUCUUCCAAAACACCGUAAACGGAACUAGUCCCCGUGACUACUGAAAUCCGUUGGCUGUGGUUAAGUACAAACUCUGCAGAGUCAAAUCCUUUCGAGCCAUCGUAUCCAUGAUCAAGUAGGGUGAUCAGUAUAUCCAUAUCUAUAUUCGUGGAAAUUUAUCCCCGGUGGACAAGCUCAAGUGGGAAACCCAGUUUAAUUGUUAUUCCUGCAGAUGGACUCACCUUAUAUUUGUCUUGUACUCGUAAUAAUUUAUGUUCUCGAGCUACUGAAUUAUUGAGCUACAAUAUAAGCCCUUUAUGUGAUGUCGCUCAGACGUCCGACUGUGGCAUGAUUGUCUUUUACUUUCAAUAUAAGCCCUUUAUGUGAUGUCGCUCAGACGUCCGACUGUGGCAUGUUUGUCUUUUAUUUCCUGUUAUAAGCCCUUUAUGUGGUGUCGCCCCGACGCCCGACUGCGGCAUUAUUAUUCUUGCAGUUUCCUCUCGAGGAGUCAUUCAGACCCUCGUUUGGCACCGGUAUUACUAUUCUUGCAGUUUCCUCUCGAGGAGUCAUUCAGACCCUCGUUUGGCACCGGUAUUACUAUUCUUGCAGUUUCCUCUCGAGGAGUCAUUCAGACCCUCGUUUGGCACCCAGUAUUUACUUUGGGAUUUCGGGAGGACUACCGCCCGACUUCUCUGUUAUUUUCCCAUGCAUUAUUAUCUCUAUGUCUGAACGCACUGGUUAAUCUGUUCAUAUGCUUCAUGUUUACAUUUGUUAUAUCUUAUGUCCGAACUGUCUUGCGAGGACUUUCAUAGUACUCACCUGGCUUGUUGAUUUGGCCAGAUGUUGACGAAGGCGAUCUCUUGGAUGAAGAGUUUGAUAGUGCGUCCGACGCCUAGAGGAGUCCCAGUCAGUCCUGUGCGAUCCCGGAUAUUGGUCACUUGUGUUUUAUACGCUUCCGCCACCCGCAAUAAGUCUCCUCAAGCCUCACUCCGACGCUCGAAGAGCUGUAGUUUUCAGGAGUCAUAUCACCCACUUCGCGGUGAUAUUUCCACCACCGUUGUUAUCGUGAGUUAGUAGUUAUGCCACCCUAUCCGCCGUUAUGCUUUUCGGCGUUCAUGUAAUAAAUUGUUGAGCAGUCCCCGCUCAACCUUGUAUUAUAUUCAGUACUCCUGGUAUUUUUCUUCUGUGACCAAGAUAUUGUCUACCAGUGAGAAGGAAUUCUUCUUUACUGGUCCGUAAAAGGGAUUGGUCUCUCAAUAAAUAUUUUAUUGAAAAACCGGUCGUGACAUCUAUGUUGCCUUUGUUAAGAAACUCAAGGGGGCAGCGUAUAUCGUUUCACACUCAAAGGUGGCACAUUCUCUAUUAGAACUACGAGCUUCCAAAUCGGCCCAAUUUUUUACCACAACAUGUUAGUGCCAUGACAUGACACCAUGCCAAGUUUCAUGAUUUCUAGGCGAGUUUUGGAUUUACAUGAAUUUAAAAUCAAAGUUUCUCGAUGUUCUCGGCCGAGUCAUGACGCCCAGAUGUUUGAAUUUCAUUCUCAUUUCUUCCAUGGGACCUAGAAAUUCAACCAAGGACACACAUGUGGUUUUUCAACCCACUUUGGUGCACCACAGCAUGUGCAUGUAAUACAUAUUUAGAUUAUGCACAUUAAAAGUCCAGAAACUCAAUUAAUGUAUAAAAAGGCCAAAUGAACCCAAAAUAAUUCCAAAAUUUAACAGGGCACUCAUAUAGUUCUAUGUUGCCUCUGUAAAUAAAAUCAGGGGGAGGCAGCGUAUAUCAUUUCGCACACAAAGGUGACACGUUCCCUCUCGGAACCACGAGGCUUGUUGAGAGAAUCUCCGGUUUUGCAAGAGGCUUAUACCAAAACUUGUCCCAAUUCAGCCAAAAAUUAUACAUAUGAAAACAUGGUUUAGAUUAUCCCAAACAUCUCGCUACCUAGACCAAUAAUGUACUAUGAUUUGAAUUCAACAUAAAAUGGAUACAAAUAUUUGAAUUGGAGAGCGUAUGGUACAUGUAGUUCAUAGUGAAAUAUGAUUACUGCUAUAUGUAUGUUUUUUGUUAUCAAGAUAAUAUUUAAAUUAUUGUAUAACUUGACAACAAUCGUAUUCAAAUAAGGAAAAUUUAUUCAAAUUUAGUCCAUAUGGUAGACGACAAUAUAUAUGUUCACAUGGUGGAGUAAAAUGUUCAUAUAUGAUGGAAGAUCAAAAUGUACGACUACAUCAAUUAUAAACCGCAAGGUCACCUAAUGAUAUAUUCGAAUUCAACAUAACGUGGAUUCAAAAAUUGAAAUUCGAGAUCAUGGCAUCUGUAAUCAUAUAAAAAGGGACAUUACUCUUUCUUUGGUGGGAAUUGAUUUGUUUUUUGUUGUUGUUGAGGGAAGUGCGAAUCGAUUUGGUACUGUGCAGGGUAAUCUUGUUCUCCCGAUUUUUUUUACAUUUUUCUUGUAGUUUUUUCAAUGGCAUCUAUAGCAAUAUAGUAAAAGGGGACAUGACUCUCUUGUGUCUUGUAUGAAUUGUUUUUUUACACGUUAAGUUUGUUCUGCCGAAUAAGGAAUCCGCACCUUGUUAUCCCGAAAUUUUCAAGCUCGAGUAUCUUUUGUCUCACCUGCUUUGAAACUCCCGCUUCUUCAACCCGCGCCGCGCCUUGUUAUCCCGAAAUUUGGACGCGCGCGAGAACUCCCUCCUCAUCCGAAAUUGCUCCCGCAGCCCAGACACGCGAAAUCCCCCUUCUACCCCUCAGCCGGAAAUGAAGCUCCACGUCGCGGUGUCAAAACCGGUGGGGGUACACUGGUAACUUACCCUACAUUUCGGACAAGCGCAUCCCUAAGCUUGGCUCCCCCUCCCCCUUCGCCCCCCCAUUCGUACACCGAGGCCGCCAAAACCCGCGAAACCCCACGCUCCUCCGUCGGCCUCCCGACCGCCGCCCAGCCGGAGACUCUUCCCUGACUACGUCAUCCACCGCAACAGCUCGCCGUCCCUCAUCCACCGCACCGGAUGAGGAUCCAUUGUUGAUCUCGUCGUCCCGCCGGAUCAGCCGCCCCGUCCUCCACCUCCAAGGAGCUACCCCGACGUUCGCCUCGUCUAUCGCGCCACCUCAAUCCCCACAGCGCCGUCUUGACCUGCCCCACCGGAACUGCAGCACCCUCACCAAUUCCUCUGAUGAAGCCAAGGCCAACUCGGCGCCACCAAGGAGAUUCUGCACUCACCGCUGCAUUUUAUCUUUUAUUCGAUCUCACGGGGCUGCGGGUGCUCGAUACCGAGCAGACAUGGCGUGUCUCCAUCGACGACGCCGUCGCCGGCCGUAUCAUCCACGGCGUCUCUCCCCCAUGUCGUUGCUUCCUCGGCGGCGACUUCCACAACGGCAUUAGCUGCAGCUGCUCCGGCUCUCGCUCGCGCUGCGGCUCUGUUCUUGCUGUCGGUCGCGCUGCUGCACUGUUCCUGCUUUCGUUCGUGCUGCUACUCUGCUCUUGCUCUCGCUUGCGCUGCUGCUGCUGCACGACCUCCAGCAGCUACAGGAGUUGCUGCUUUAGCACUCGCUCGCGGUGCUACUGCACGACUUGCUCUCUGCUUGUGCGUUCCCUGCUCGAGCGUCUGCUGAUUUAGAUCACUGCUUCUCUGCUACUAGUGCUCGAAUGCCCUAAACAUCUAUUGCAAUGCUCUGUUACUAGUUUAAUCAGUUUCGACAGUAAAAUUCAGUUUCGACUGUGAAGUUCAUUUUCUUCAGUUAAGUUCAGAGUGAACAGUACUUACAGCAUCUGUCGGAGCGGCCGUGGCGCGGCUGAUGUGUUUUACAUCUAGCACUUUUUGGUGAUGUAUUUUACAUCAUCUAUUGCAGAUGAUAUUAGGGUCCCACUUCAGAUUAACAUUGUCUGUCUUGUCAUGCUUCAGCCUCGUCACCGUACACCUUAGCGGAGCUGCUCCAACGAUGGAAUUGUCCAUCACAGUGGAGCAGUACCCUCAGCGCCGUUUCCAGAGGCCUCAGAUCUUCUUCCCCGCCUCCGACAGUCACACCAGCAUCAUCACAAUCCUCCACGUCCAACCCAAUGAUGCUGAGGUCCACAAGGCUAUGCCAAAGAGGUUGUACACUCGUCGCAUCACUUUGUUUCUCCAUUCCUCUGUUCUUCCAAUUCAUGUGAGCCAAACACCCAGGUUGACUGAAAUCCUAUGUUUCCAAAUGAUCUGUUUUACACGUGCAUUCCUAUCCUAUUCCUGUGUUUUUCCUGUCCCUGCGUUUAUAGAAUCCUCCAAUUCUAAGGAGCCCUUACAGAUUUACUUCAUUUUCAGAUAGGCGUCAAAGAAAACUCUGUGUGUUAUGUCCUGCUCUUGCCGUGUCGUCAUCCACCCCACCUGAGGUGCACCAUCGACAGAAGCGUUCACUGCAGUAGAGAUCCCCCCUGCAGACUUCCUUUCGCCGCCUCAGAUCAUUUUCCCCGUUGCCGGCAGCCACGCCAACUGCAUUACCAUCAUGACUGAGCAGAUGAACCUGAGGACUACACAGUUCCGGAAGAGAGGUCGCAGUCUUUCGUGUUUGCUUAUGUUAUACAUCGAUUAUUAUUACCUGCUACUUUAUCGUUCAAUCUUGAGUUUUGAAUUGCCCAUGGGUCUCAUAUCGAGCCAGCAACGAAUAGUAUCUGUCUACUAUCUGGUUCAUCUGGGGUCUUCGAUGUGGUUCAUGUUGGGUGGGCAACAAACAAUAGAUGAUCCAUUGUCUAUCUUUUUAAACUGAAGCUAUAAUCUACCUGCUAUCAUUAGUUUUGGAUCCAUCCACUCGUUUGCUACCAUCAGUCUUGAUUUUUGCAUGCACCCCUUAGGCCUUACAAAAUCUAACUAUUUUUUUUAUUAUGCAUGUCAGAUAUUGUACACAAUCGUACUGAACAUGUAGAGAAAAAGAGAAGACUGUUGCGUGCGAAUAUAAUGUCAUGCAGACGCCGCUCCAUGGUGGGCGAAGUGCCCCCCCUCCGGCAUUUCCAAAUUGUAUUCCACAGGAAGAUAACUGUUCAGAUGGAGAUUCAGAAGGAGCCGACCACGCCUGUUUACCACCUGAGGUGUUUGCUCUAACCUGGCAUGCUGAUGUUGGUCAUAUCAUGCAUAUGGCGCCUUGCAUUGCUUACAUUAUACAUCUUAUAUGUCAUCAUCUUAGUUUAGAUUUGCUUUGUGUGAAUGCCACCUGUUUGGUUUCUAUAUCAUACUCCCACCUUUCCUACACAUUUGUCUUUUUAGAGAUUUCAACAAGUGACUACAUACGGAACAAAAUGAGUGAAUCUACACUCUAAAAUAUGUCUAUAUACAUCCGUAUGUGGUAGUCCAUUUGAAAUAUCUAAAAAGACAAAUAUUUAGGAACGGAGGGACUAUAUGGGAAUUAUGCAAUGCCAUCUUCUUUAGCCAGGCAUCAUAUACGUGAAUCAUGCAAUGCCAUCCUGUUUAGCCAGUCAUCGUAUAUGUGAAUUUUAUUGUGCCGUAUUUUUUUCCAUAAUGUAUUCCAUUUGUCAACAAUGUUUAUACAUUCAUCUACUCUUCCUGUGCAUCAGCCAUUUGAGUCGGUCAUGGGAAAAUCUGGAGUGAAAACAAGGUCUUCUGAGCAGUCAGUGCUACCUGUCGAUGCAGAUUUCUUGCUGGUUACAGAUAGCUCCUCAGAGGAGGAUUCAGAGAGAGAUGACCAGUCGUAUUCCCCCCCCGAGGUGCAUGCUUUAACUUGGCUGGGUUAUAUUGCUCAUAUCAUGCAUAUGGUGUCUUGCAUUGCCAUGCCAUCUGCUUAGAUUAGACAUGCUUUGUGUGAAUGCCUCCUGUUUGCUUUCUAUAUCAGAUAUGUGAAUUAUGCAAUGCCAUGUUUUUAGCCAGUUAUCAUAUAUGUGAUUAUGCACCGCCAUGGAGCCAGGCAUCAUAUAUGUGAAUUAUCUCAUGCCAUCUUUUUUUUCAUUACGUAUUCCAUUUGUCGACAAUCUGUGUAUAUUGAACUACUCUUCAUGUGUAUCAGCCAUUUGAGCCGGUUAUGGAAAAAUCUGGAGUGAAAACAAGGUCUUCAGAGUAGGCAAUGGUACCUGUUGAAGCAUAUAUCUCGAUGGUUACAGGGAGCUCCUCAGAGGAGGAUUCAGAGACAGAUGACCAGUCCUAUAUCCCACCUGAGGUGUAUGCUCUAAGUUGCAAUGUUUAUAUUUCUCAUAUGAUGCAUAUGGUGUCUUGCAUUGCUUAGUUUAGACAUUAUAUGCACAAUAUUGAAUUCUAUCUGCUUAGUUUAGAGAUCAUACAUGCGAGUGCCAGCUGCUUAGUAUAUGAAUCAAUUAUGUCAAUUAUAUCAUGCCAUCCUGUAUACUUAGACAACAUGUAUGUGAAUUAUUUCAUCCCGACCUAUUUUAGAAAGAUAUCAUAUAGUUUUGUCAUGUCAUCCUGUUUAGGUACUCAUCAUAUGUUUAAUUAUGCCAUUAUAUCCUGUUAUGUUAUCCAUCAUAUAUCUGAAACUGUGUCAUGCUAUCCUGUUUAGUUAGGCAUCAUAUAUGUGAAAUUGUGUCAUCUGUCCUGUUUGGUUAGACAACAUAUAUGUGAAUUACCACAUCUGUCUAUCAUACAAUGUCUGUACGUUCAAUUCCUUUUCUUGUCUAUCAGCCAUUUGAAUUGGAGGGGGUGAUGGCAGUAUCUAAGGGAGCAAAAACCCGUUCUUCACAAAAGACAGUGCUACCCGUCGAUGCAGAUAGAACCAUGGUUGUACUGGCCCACAAACUAGCCCCACCACACAUAAUCGAGACUCUUCCAGAUUGCACACUUACACUGUUGGGCAGAGAAGCAGCUACAACCCAUCUAACCGCAACCCCAGCGGAAAGUAACCCACUUAUAGUUGACAAAGCACCAUGUCCACCACAGAGUACCCCCACACGAGCAGUUUGUAAAGCUACUGCAGUGCCCAAUGCACGAAGACCACCAUAGCUAACCCAAACUCCACGUUUAAAGUAGAAGAGCAACUGUUCUCAGGUCAGAUUCCGUAGCUAUGGUCCAUACUCCUUUGCUGUUGCAUCACUGUAUUUACUCAUACCAACUACUUUCGAAUUUGAAGGAUCCAACUGAAACUCCAAUGGCGCAACAGGUAUGUUUUAACCUAUUUCUUUAACUGGAUUGCUGUUCUAACUUCUUGCUCUAUGUUGAUUUCAGUUUAAGUUGUAUAAACAAUUAUGUUCUCAUGUGAUGCACAAUACAAGUGCUGCCAAUGCUGUGUAGUUUCUCACACUUAUAUUCUGUCUAUGCUGCUGUGUCUUCAAAAUAUAUGAGUUGAACUGUGUCUCUAUCUUGAUUAGGGAACAUAAACUAGAAUGAUAUGGACAAUACAGUGACCAUAGUACAUAGAUAUAUGUUUGUUUCAUGCUGUUAUCCUAUCCACCUUACUACUGAACCGGUUUACCAAAAUGAGUUUCGUAUACUACAAGCUAAACCUGUGAUGUGUCUGCUUGUUUCUCUUGUAGUAUGCAAACAGAAUAUUGGAGAAGAGCACCCCACUAUGCAAUGGUAGAGAAAGUAAUGCAGAUAAGGUUCAAGAUAGUGAGACAACCCUGUUGGUCUCCAAGAAAGGUGAUAAAAACGAUCUUGUAGACAGUGAGAAAACCCCACAGUCCUGCGUUGAUGUAGUGUUCGAGUUACUGGCCAGUACCGUCGGCACAAGCUCUUCGAACUCGCUGCCUGAAUCACUUCGGCUUCUUUAGUCUCAGCUACAAGCUGAAAGGCAUCAGUCAGCUGUGCUGCGGCAAGAAGCCGAAGGACCGAGGAAGUCCCUGCAGAAUUCAGAUGUGUACUUUCUUGUGCAACAGCAAGCGCUAGAGGAUUUAAGCGCCAAACGAGAGAAAGUUAAUAAGCUUGCUAAGCAUCUUGCCAGCAUUAUGGGUACCCAGGAUAUUGUUUCUUGAACUCUUCUGAAGUGGUUUCAGUUCUGGACUUGUUUUGCUGCGGCGUUUAUAUGCUGCUUUGUUCCCUAUAUUUGCACUGGUGGCGAACUUUGAUGCCCAGUGGAUGUAAUAUGUGUAAUAGCCGUGAUAGCCUAGCAUAAGUUGCUUGCUUAUUUAUUUCCUUGUUGUCUUGUUUAUUUGUUUGCUUGUAGACAGUGCAGUUCUUUUUCCGCGAUUUGCUAGUGGCUGCAAUAACCUAUUUUUUAAAACUAGGCCACAAUAACCAUGGGCUAAUAUUUACUGUAGUGACACUGGGCCUCCUACGGGUCGUAGAAAUAGUGGGCCUUCUACGGGCCGUAGAAACACUAGGCCUUCUACGGGCCGUAGAAACAAUGGGCCUUCUACGGGCCGUAGAAACAAUGGGCCUUCUACGGGUCGUAUCAUCAAUGGGCCUUAUACGGGCCGUAUGAUCGAUUGGCCAAACAUGGGCCAAUAACAGGCCGCAUUAUGGCCGUAAACGGGCUAGAGUUGGAAUCGUCCAUUCAUGGGCCGACCAUAACGGGCCAUCGUUAAUAGGCUGUAUUUGAUGACGCUAUGAAAACGGCCUAACGUAUUAACGGACCACAAAUGGGCCGACUGUAACCACGUGCUGAAUUUGGCCCACAAGCAGAAAAUGACAGUAACGGGCCGUAAGUAAACGAAUGCUGGAAAUGAGCCCAAGAAUAAAUGGGCUCUGAGAAGGCCGAAAGAUAACAUGGGCUGGAAACGGCCCAAUGGAAUAACGGGCCGUUAAUGGGUAUAAAGUGAUACACUGUUCAUUACGGGCCAGUUUCACCACGGGCCGUUAAUAGGCCAAGAGUUACAUAGGGCCUCAUAUGGGCCGAAAGACGUCAUGGGCCAUACAUGGGCCAGAAGUGAAAACGGGCUGGAAUCAUAUUGGAUGGCCCAGAUGACGCUACUGGGCCUAAUUCGGAUAGGGCGUAACGGGCCUUGGGUUAGCGGGCUGUAAAUGGGCUAUAUGUGAACAGGCCGUUAACAGGCUUUCCAUGGGCCGGCCCGCCACCUUUUGACCAAGUCAAACGGGCCGGCCUUCUCACAGGAAUGGGCCUGUGUUGGGCUGUGCCACGUGUCGACGUAUCAUAGGCGCCUUCUGUCCAAUGAGUGGACGACAUCUGUCCCAACGGUGAGCCGACACGUGUUUCCUCUAGCCAAUGAUGAUUUUACACGUGGAAAAUCCCCAUUGGUCGGGGCUGUUAACGGGUUAUCGGAUCCAAAACCCGACCCGAUAGCUUAACGGUGUUCCGUUAUGGUGGAUGCCACGUGUCGGUCACCCUUGACGAAAGCACUUCUGUGGCGCGCGAUUUAUCGUCAUGGAAGUGCACACUUCCGUGAUGAUAAUUUUGGUAAUCUCAUGGAACACUUCUACGACAGCACAGGUAUGACUAUCUUGAUUCUGUCAUAAAUUUGUCAUGGAUGUACAUGCAUGACAAAAAAUGCGACCUACUGUGACAAACGCGUAUCAUCACGGAAGUGUUUUUUUUGUAGUGCUCGUUGAUCUACAAAAGAUAAGUAGAAGGGAAGUAGAUAAUAUUCAUGCAAAGGAAUAAUGCAAUCCUCAUUUGUAGCUUUCACCUUAGAAUUGUGUUGCAUCUGAUCAUGCAUUUGUUUAUCACAACUCGGAGUUUGUCUAGGGAUGAUCGGUGUUGUUUCAAUGAUUGAGAUGUCCUCAUCGCCCCCCUCUCUUGAAAAAGAGUCGUCCUCAACUCUACCUGGUCAUCACACAAAAGAAAGCAGGGCAAUAGCAAACCAUAAUGCAAAGGUUUCAUGAUAUAGAGAUUUUUAGUUUUCAAGUUUGCUACCUUAUUGGAUGAUGCCAACAUGAUAUUUUGUUCGACUUAGGAGUUACUUCUUCCAAACAUUUCCAUGGAGCACAAAUUUAUAACCCACCAUGAGCAUGUCCAUAUCAUCCUCCCUCUCUUGGAGAAAAGUCGUCCUCGAUUUUACUCGGUCUACAAAAUUAUAACACAAGGACACUAGAAAAUAACUAGGGAAAGAAAAAAGUUGAACAUUUUUGUGUGGAUCUCAAGUUCCCCAAAUACAUUUUUUUCCAUCAUGGUUGAACAAAUUAUAUUGAUGGAUUGAUGGUGUGCUGAAGGAUGUGCCCAAUAAUUUUUCUCUUGUUUCAUUUCGCCAUUGUUUCAAUGGUUUAUAUGUGCAUACCUCAGGGUGCGUCAAAAUGGAAGAUCCUUUUUGUUUUACCUCAUUGAGUACUUGAAUGCCUUUCUGAAAAUCAAUCUUCACACACGCACCUUGUGUAGUGGUAUUCCAUGUCCUCCAUAUUUGUGCUUGGAUCUCGAUCUUCCAUCAUUGCAAGUGGGCUGAUAGGUAUGCCUUUUGCACCUGCACAUAUUUCAAAGACGGAGAAUUUUGUGAAAGGUUAGUUAUUGAAUGUUCCUCUCUCUUUUCAUUUGGUGGACUACUAAUUUCCCAUGGUGGUGGAUCACUCAUCUCGCUAUUAUCUUGUUGAAAAAUAUCAACGUCACAAUUAGUGGACUCACACAACUCAUUAAUCCUCUCUCCGUAAAUGUGUGGUAUAUCUAGGUGGGGAUCUUGCAUUUCUCUAAUCUCAUGAUGAACAAUCUAAUCCUCACAUUUUGUGGACUCACUCACCUCACUUUUCUUAUCACACUCAAUAUAUGGAAUUGUGGAAAGUGGACACUCUUCCUCACAUUUGGUGGAGUCACUCAACUCAUUUUUCUUUACACUCUCAAGUGUUGGGAUUUUUCAAAGUGGACACUCUUCCUCACUUUUGGCGGAGUCACUCAGCUUGCUUUUCUUAUCACUCUCAAGUUGUGGGAUUUUGGAUUGUGAACUCUCUUCCUCACAUGGAAUUUGUGGCACAUGUUUCCUGGAUGUUGGGACAAUAGUGGUGGUCAAGAUGGGAACAUUAGGAAUGAACUUCUCAUGUAAACAUGGGCUAUGAAUCACCGGAGUCGGUUCAUCAACCACGGUCAUGCUUUGCAGUGGGUCGUCGCUGUGCCGAUGGGUGCCAUAACUUUGUGGUCUGCCAUGACGUCCUUGCUAUGAUUCAUGAGCAGUAACGACACGCCUAGGGGCAGAAGUAGCUUGCCCUCGAGCAUGUCGUCCUUGCCGCAUUUCAGGAGCAAGAACAGCACACCCACGAGCAGUAGCGACACCAUGCCCUUGAGCAUUUGUUCUUUGCUGCACUUCAUGAGCAUGAGGGUAUUGUCGGUGUUGAACCCUAUCACCACCUGCUGGAGGACGCUCAUGAAGCAUCCGCUCCAUGGCUCAGAGUAUGUUGUUCUCGAGUUCCCGCACAUCAAAGCGGGUGGCCAAACAAUUUUCUCCUCCAUGAUUCUUUCGACACGUAGUUGGUGUAGAUCCUGCCAUGUUAGUCGUGCUACAAAAGUGGAAUAGGAUAAUUUUUGUGGUAUCACACAACCACAUCGCUUACUCACCAAAGUUCUUAUGAGUUCACAUCAGAUUGUGCUUUUCCCGGAUGUGUUAAAGCGAUUGAAAGACAAGGAUCAAAGAACUAGAUUCGGUUUUCGGUGGAGGUCAAUGGGGUAAAAAAAGGGGUUUGUGCUGAAAUCAAGUUGAUGCAAACCAAGAAAAUAUGGGGAUAGAUCUGCUGCACCUUUGCACCAAGAUUGAAAAACACACAACACACAAGCUUCUGAAAUUUUUCUACCAAGCUGAAACUUUUGGAUCUUACACAACACUAUCUUUUUCCCUCUUGACUUUUUUGCCACUCUUUUUCUUUCUUUCUUUAAUUUUUUUGCCAGAUAUGCAACAACAACAAGAUCUCUGUACCAACAAGGCUUGUAUUUAUUUUUGGUGGGGCUUUGGACUUCUAGGACAGAAAAUAUAGCAUGAAAAACACUCGAUCUAAAGGGAUGAUAGCAAGAUAAACUUGGAUAACAGAUCCUACCGUGUCAACGAAAGCUCUGAUGCCAGAUGAUAGGUGGGAACCCAAUGAACGAGUUCACGCCCGAGGGUGGCCCGAUCUUCACGUCGUAGGAUCUAAUUGGGAGGGAUAACUAGCUGCAAGCAGCCGGGAUAACUAGCUUUAUACCUACCAAGGUUGGAUGCAACCCGUACGUUGGGGAUGGCUAAUCGAAGCUACAAGAACGCCAACCCGCUGUCCGAACAAUCGUAGAACCACAAACUCGGACUAACCCACACAAAACGGCCGAAUCCGUAGAGCACGAAUUAGGGGGAACCAGAGGCUCCUUCUGGCGAAUCCGGAUGAACUCACAAGAGCAAAGGUAGCAAGGAUCUCUUGGAUCUCUCUAGCAGUCUUGCUGCAUAAGCUUGUAGCUGAAUGGUUUGACAAAAGGUUCUUUCUAGAGGAUGGGGGAGGUGGGGUUUUAUAGCACGGACAACCCCCCUUGGAUAGGUGUGAAAAUGGUUUCAAAAGUAAAUAGGUUUGCAUGGCUUCCUUGUGGGAAUAAGUAGUCAACUUUGGGAGUUGUUGGAGAGCUUGAUACGUUUCCAACGUAUCUAUAAUUUCUUCUUGUUCCAUGCUGCUAUAUUAUCAUUCUUGGAUGUUUUACAAUCAUUUUAUAGCAACUUUAUAUCAUUUUUUGGGACUAACCUAUUGACAUAGUGCCCAGUGCCAGUUCCUGUUUUUUCCUUGUUUUUUACUUUGCCGAAAAUCAAUACCAAACGGAUUCCAAACGCAGCGAAACUAUUUGGAGAUUUUUUCUGGACCAGAAGGGACAAGUUGGGCAAAAGAAGUACCAGAGGGGUGCCCCAAGGGGGGCACAACCCACCUAGGCACGCCUGGGGGCUCAGGCGCGCCCGGGUGGGUUCUUCCCGCCUCGGUGGCCUCCCGCACCGCCUCUUUGCUCUAUAAAUACGCCGAAUAUCCAAAAACACUAGGGGAGUUGACGAAACACAAUUCCAGCCGCCGCAAGUUCCAGAACCACCAGAUCCAAUCUAGACACCAUCACGGAGGGGUUCAUCAUCCUCAUUAGUGCCUCUUCGAUGAUGCGUGAGUAGUUCAUUGUAGACCUACGGGUCCAUAGUUGGUAGCUAGAUGGCUUCCUCUCUCUCUCUUUUGAUUCUCAAUACAAUGGUCUGUUGGAGAUCUAUUUGAUGUAACUCUUUUUGCGGUGUGUUUGUUGGGAUCCGAUGAACUUUGAGUUUAUGAUCAGAUCUAUUUUAUCCGUGAAAUUUAUUUGAGUUUUGAUCUCUUGUAUGCAUGAUUACUUUUAGCCUCGUAUUUCUUCUUUGAAUCUUUGGUUUAGUUAGGCGACUAGAUCGAUUUUUCUUGCCAUGGGAAGAGGUGCUUUGUGAUGGGUUCGAUCAUACGGUGCUCAAUCACAGUGAUAGAAGGGGACAUGACACAUAUGUAUCGUUGCUAUUAAGGAUAAUAAGAUGGGGUCUAUUCCUACAUGAAUAGAUCUUGUCUACAUCAUGUCAUCGUUCUUAUUGCAUUACCCUGUUUCUCCAUGAACUUAAUACACUAGAUGCAUGCUGGAUAGCGGUCGAUGUGUGGAGUAAUAGUAGUAGAUGCAGGCAGUAGUCGGUCUACUAAUCUUGGACGUGAUGCCUAUAUAAUGAUCAUUGCCUGGAUAUCGUCAUAAUUAUUUGAAGUUCUAUCAAUUUUCCAACAGUAAUUUGUUUACCCACCGUAUGCUAUUUUUCUUUUGAGAAGCCACUAGUGAAAUCUACGGCCCUCGGGUCUCUUCUUUAUCAUAUUUGCUUUCCGAUCUAUUAUUUUCCUCUUUUAUUUUUAGAUCUAUUAAUCCAAAAACCCAAAAAUACCUUGUUGCAUUUUUUUGUUAUUUAUUUUAUCUCGCGUUCCUACAAGAUCUAUUUAUCCAAUCUACUACAAUUUUAUUUAUCUUUUACCCGGGAGGGAUUGACAACCCCUCUUACGUGUCGGGUUGCAAGUAUUUGUUCUUUGUGUACAUGUAACGUUUACAUAGUGUUGCAUGGUUCUUCUACUGGUUCGAUAACCUUGGUCUCAUCACUGAGGGAAACACCUACCGUAGAUGUGCUGCAUGAUCCCUUCCUCUUCGAGGAAAAUACUGGCGCAGACAUGAGCCUUCAAGGAAGGAUUUCUGGUGCCGUUGCUGGGGAGACAUCAUCAACAUCUAUCAGGUUCCUAAUCACAAAUCUCAUAUCCUUGCAAUUUACAUUAUUUGCCAUUUGCCUCUCGUUUUCAUCUCCCCCACUUCACAACACAAUUUGCCUUUUUAUUCGCCUUCUUUUCCGUUUUCCUUUUUGCGUGUUUUCUUGUUUGCUAUAUUUGCUUGUGUUGCCAUGUGCCUUCUAUUUGCUUGCAUCUUCGCUUGCUAAAAAUCUAUUGAUAUGGAUCCUCAUCCACUUGCUAAUCUUUUCAAAAGAUCCAAUUAUGAUGAACCAAUUGCUAGUGAAUUGAGUUCACUAGAUUAUCUUUAUGAAAUUUUGCUUGAGAUUUAUGAAUCUAAAAAUUGUGAUGAAGUGUUAAAUGAAGAAAUUUAUAAAGUGAUUCAUGAUAGCUCCUUGAAUGAAAAGCAUGAUUGCAAUGAUGUUAUUAUAAAUUCUAUUAAUGUCAAUUGUGUUAGUGAUAUGCAAAACCCCAAGCUUGGGGAUGCUUGCUUUGCUAUGUCCACUACUUAUUGCAAUGAUCAUGAUUGGGGUGAUAAUGAUUCUUAUGAUCUUGAAGAUUUAUUUAAACCUCAUGAUGAAUAUGCCUGCGAUAAUAUUAAAAGUGGGUUUGGAAGGGUGUCAACUUCAGCUAAAAAUAAUCCCACAUAUUUGGAGAGUGUUCAAUCUUAUGAUUUUUUUAUAAAAGUGGGCUUGGAGAGGUCAUAACUGUAUUUGAUGAUAAUCCCACUAUUUUGGAAUAGUGUCAACUUGGCAUGCAUGUGGGUCAUGAAGAGAAUAUUUUAUGUAAUAGUUAUAUUGUUGAAUUUGAUUAUGAUCUACCUGUAAUUAUUAUGAGCGAGGAAAAUAUGGUUAUCAAAAUUUGCAUGUUACUAAAUUACCUCUCAUUAUGUUGAGAUCGUCAAUGUUUUAUUCCUCUUCUUUGCAUACGUUAGAUGUUUCUUGUCUUGAUAAAUUGUUUCCCUAUAAAAUGCCUAUGCAUAGGAAGUAUGUUAGACUUAAAACUUGUUUUGCACAUGCUAUAUGAUGCUCUCUUUGUGCUUCACUUUUUUGUCUUUCAUGUGAGCAUCAUUAAAAUUAUUAUGCCUAGCUAGGGGCAUAAAACGAUAUCGCUCGUUGGGAGGCAACCCAAUGAAUAAAUUUUAUUUUUUAUUUCUUUCUUUCUGUUCUUGAGUGUUUGCACAAUUAUGCUACUGUUAUGAUUGUGUCUUUAUGUUUUAAUUAGUGUCUGGGCGAAGCAAAGCCUUUGGGAUCAUGUUGGGUGAUAGUUGAUUUCAUCUUGUCGAAAAACACAAACCUUUGCGUCCAGUAAAACAAUUUUCAAAAUUCACAAAUGCGUGAUAAAUCCUGAUUUUUGUACACAAGAUUGAUAUACAGAUUGCCUACAUCGUCCUAAUUUUUUAGAAUUUUUGGAGUUGGAGAAGUAUACGAAGUUUUCAUAUUGCUACAGACUGUACUGUUUUUGACAGAUUCUGUUUUCUUUGUGUUGUGUGCUUAUUUUAAUGAAUCUAUGGACUUUAUCAGGGGGUAUAAGCCAUAGAAAAGUUUGAAUAUGGUAGAUAUAAUGCAAAAAUAAAAAUAUAAAUGGGUUUGCAACAGUACUUAGAGUAGUGAUUUGCUCUAUUAUACUAACGGAUCUCAUGCAGGUUUUGUUUAGUUUUGUGUGAUUGAAGUUUUCAAGUUUUGGAUGAGAUCACGAUGGAUGAAGGAAUACGGAGUAAGAAGAGCCUAAGCUUGGGGAUGCCCCAUGGCACCCCAAGUUAUUAUCCAAAGAGAAGCAAGAAACUAAGCUUGGGGAUGCCCCCGAGUGGCAUCCCCUCUUUCUUCUAACGACAAUCGGUAUUUUACUUGGAACUAUAUUUUUAUUCGUCACAUAUCAUUAGUUUUGCUUGGAGCGUCUUGUAUUAUACGAGUCUUUGCUUGUUUUGCUUUUUAUUUUGUGUCCUCUAUCCUUGUUGGACACACCUAUUUGAGAGAGCCAAAAUUAUGCUAUGAUUUGUUAGAAUUGCUCUUUAUGCUUCACUUAAAUUUUUUGAGCUUUGGAAUUGCUCUAGUGCUUCACUUAUAUCUUUUUGAGCAUGGUGUGCUUUAGUAUUUUUGAAGAAAUGCUCUCAUUGCUUCGCUUAGAUUUAUUUGAGAGUUAGUAAAAUUUUGAAGAAAUUCUCUCUUGCUUCACUUAUAUUAUUUUGAGACAAGAAAAAAAAUUAUGCUCAUGUUCUUCACUUAUAUUUGUUUGAGCUAUCAAAAGCAACAUAUGAAAUUAGUCACAAAGUGAUAGAUAUUCAAGAGGGAUAUAAUAAAAACUAUCAUGAAGAUCAUUGGACAAAAUAAACUUGAUUACUUGUAAUAGUUUUGCGAUAUGAUGAUAUAAAUGUGAGUCAUGUUGAUGAGUAAUUAUGCUUUAGUAAGAAUAUUGGAAUUAAGGUUUGUGAUUCCCUAUGCAAGCACGAAAGUCAAUAGUUAUGCAAUGAGAUUACAUCCUACUUAUGGUGCAUUAUUCGGUGUUAGUUAUGCUUAAUGCUCGUUUAUGUGAUUUUUCGUUUCUUGGUUGGAUGCUUCUCAAUCUCUUUGCUAGCCUUCCCUUGUACUAAGUGGGAUUACUACUUGUGCAUCCCAAAUCCUUAAACCCAGUUUUGCCAUAUGAGUCCACCAUACCAACCUAUAUGCGGUAUUCUCUUGUCGUUCUAAGCAAAUUUGUAUGUGCCAUCUCUAAUUUUCAAAAUAAUUUCUCUUUUGUGUGCUCGUACCGCUCAUGAAACGGUAUGCGGUGUCUGAUAUUUUUCCAUGCUGGGUGUGUUAUUCUCAAGAUGAGUGUUUAUUCACUUGUCAUUGCACGAGAGUAUGACAAAGGUUUUAGGGAUGUCCAGACCCGAAAUGAUAAAUGAUCUUACUUUAUGUUGUCAACUAAUAAAUUCUUUGGAAGGUGUUGGUAUGGACAUCACCCGUGGAUACGGUUAGCCAUGGAAUGUGAAAGUAUGGUGGAAAAAGGAAUAAACUUUAAUUUCUGUUUGGGAACCGCCUAUGAUAUAUCUAGCAUGGAAAGUAUUGGGAACUACUCGAUCAUUUUCGUUGACAGGAAAAGAAUGCCACCCAAAAUGUUUUAUCUCUAUCUUUUUCGCUUUGAGCUCUGGUACCUCUACAAAUCCCUACUUCCCUCUGCGAAGGGCCGUUCUAUUUACUUUAUGCAAUUUUUAUUUUUAUUUUGAGUCUCCAUCUUCUCUUAUAAAGCACCAACUAAGGGGCACUAUGAUUGUACUUGAGCAUUAGGUAUAGCUAAUAUACGAGUGUGUUUCAUGAAUGGAUCAAUGAUUGAGCGGGAUGGGCUAGGGAUAACUUGCUUUAGUAUCGAUAUUUUGAAAGACAUGGUUGCUUGUUGAUAUGCUUGAGUAUUGAAAUCUUCAUGUCAAAACUAGACUAUUGCUUUGAAUCAUAUGAAAGUCCAAAUGUCCAUGCUAGAAAAGAAAAGAAUAUGUGAUGAACAUGUUAGGCAGCAUUCCACAUCAAAAAUUCUCAUUUACCUACUCAAGGACGAGUAGGAAUUAAGCUUGGGGAUGCUGAUAUAUCUCUCGGAUCUCUCUAGCAGUCUUGCUACAUAAGCUUGUAGCAGAAUGAUUUGACAAAACGUUCUUUCUAGAGGAUGGGGGAGGUGGGGUUUUAUAACAGGGACAACCCCCUUUAGCUAGGUGUGAAAAUGGUUUCAAAAGUAAACAGGUUUGCAUGGCUUCCUAGUGGGAAUAAGCAGUCAACUUUGGGAGUGGUUGGAGAGCUCCUCGGAAAUUUGCGAAGCCAUGACAGCCUAGACACCUUCCCUAGGAUUGGCUAGAACUUUUGACUCACAACUCCAAAUGAUGUAAGGUUUUUCUUGCAUUGGAAAGAUAAUUUGAUGUAGGUUCUCGUGAUGUACCCCUGUGGCCUUGAUGGCUCGUGUCUGUGUCAGUAUUUUCCCCGAAGAGGAAGGGAUGAUGCAGCACAGCUACGGUAGGUAUUUCCCUUAGUGAUGAGACCAAGGUUCUCAAACCGGUAGGAUAACCACGCAACACUAUGUAAACGGUACCUGCACACAAAGAACGAAUACUUGCAACCCGACGCGUAAGAGCGGUUGUCAAUCCCUCCCGAGUAAAAGAUAGAUAAAAUUGUAGUAGAUUGGAUAAAUAGAUCUCGCGGGAAUGCGAGAUAAAAUAAAUAACGAAAAAUGGUAGCAAGGUAUUUUUGGGUUUUUGGAUUAAUAGAUCUGAAAAUAAAAGAGGCAAAUAAUAGAUCGGAAAAGCAAAUAUGAUAAAGAAGAGACCCGGGGGCCGUAGAUUUCACUAGUGGCUUCUCUCGAGAAAAAUAGCAUACGGUGGGUAAACGAAUUACUAUUGGGCAAUUGAUCGAACUUCAAAUAAUUAUGACGAUAUCCAAGCAAUGAUCAUUAUAUAGGCAUCACGUCCAGGAUUAGUAGACCGACUCUUUCCUGCAUCUACUACUAUUACUCCACACAUAGACCGCUAUCCAGCAUCCAUCUAGUGUAUUAAGUUCAUGGAACAACGGAGUAAUGCAAUAAGAACAAUGACAUGAUGUAGACAAGAUCUAUUCAUGUAGGAAUAUACCCCAUCUUGUUAUCCUUAAUGGCAACGAUCAAUAUGUGUCUUGCUGCCCCUUCUGUCAUUGGGAAAGAACAUUGCACGACCUAACCCGUCACAAAGCACCUCCUCCCAUGGCAAGAAAAAUCAAUCUAGUUGGCCUAACUAAACCAAAGAUUCGAAGAAGAAAUAUGAGGCUAUAAGUAAUCAUGCAUAUAAGAGAUCAAAACUCGAUUAACUUUCAUUGAUAAAAUAGACCUGAUCAUAAACUCAAAGUUCAUAGGAUCCCAACAAACACACUGCAAAAAUAGUUACAUCAGAUCUCCAAGAGACCAUUAUAUUGAGAAUCAAAAGAGAGAGAGGAAGCCAUCUAGCUACUGCCUACGGACCCGUAGGUCUAGAAUGAACUACUCACGAAUCAUCGGAGAGGCACCAAUGAGAUGAUGAACCCCUCUGUGAUGGAGUCUAGAUUGGACCUGGUGGUUCUUGAACUUGCGGCGGCUGGAAUUGUGUUUUGUCGACUCCCCUAGGUUUUUGGAUUUCUGAGGUAUUUAUAGAGCAAAGAGGCGGUGCAGGAGGCCACCGAGGUGGGCACAACCCACCAGGGCGUGCCCAGGUGGGUUGUGCCCCCCUCGGGGCACCCCUCUGCUACUUCUUUGGCCCAACUUGUCCCUUUUGGUCCAGAAAAAAUCUCCAAAAAGUUUCGCUGUGUUUGGACUCCGUUUGGUAUUGAUUGUCUACGAAGUAAAAAACAAGGAAAAACAGGAACUAGCACCGGGCACUAUGUCAAUAGGUUAGUCCCAAAAAAUCAUAUAAAGUUGCUACAAAAUGAUUGUAAAACAUCCAAGAAUGAUAAUAUAACAGCAUGGAACAGGCAAAAAUUAUAGAUACAUUGGAGACGUAUCAGGCCCCGUCUCUCCACCACAUGGGUGUGGCACAACAAAACAUCAGACGUAAAAACUGAUAGCAUCAGCUUCACUUGAAAAUUGUUAUCUCCAAACUUGUUCCUCCAAAUCGGUUGCUUCAAGAGCUCAUUGUUUGUUGGAUUUCUUCCAUGUGAUACCUAAGUUCAACCAACAACAAUGGGGAUAAAAGUGCAACCAUGUAUUCAAGAAUAUAGUAUGAACUUAAUUUAGCGUUCACCUGGGCAUGUGUUUGCUUGAUUCGGCUUAGUAAUUCUUUCCGACUAAAUUUUGCACAUUUCUGAAAAGUUGUGUAUGAUGUACCCAUGUGCUCAUCAUACUCCCUCCCUUGAUGAAGAGUCGUCCUCGACUCUCGUUGAUCUACAAAAGAUAGGUGGAAGGGAAGUAGAUAAUAUUCAUGCAAAGGAAUAAUGCAAUCCUCAUUUGUAGCUUUCACCUUGAAAUUGUGUUGCAUCUGAUCUUGCAUUUGUUUAUCACAACUUGGAGUUUGUCCAGGGAUGAUCGGUGUUGUUUCAAGGAUUGAGAUGUCCUCAUCAUCCCCCCUCUCUUGAAAAAGAGUCGUCCUCGACUCUACCUGCUCAUCACACGAAAGAAAGCAGAGCAAUACCAAAUCAUAAUGUAAAGGUUUCAUGAUAUAGAGAUUUUCAGGUUUCAAGUUUGAUAUCUUAUGGAUGAUGCCAACAUGAUAUUUUGUUCGACUUAGGAGUUCCUUCUAGAAAACAUUUCCAUGAAGCACAAAUGUAUAACCAACCAUGAACAUUUCCAUAUUAUCCUCCCUCUCUUGGAGAAAAGUCGUCCUCGACUUUACUUGGUCUACAAAAUUAUACCACUAGGACACUAGAAAAUAACUAAGGAAAGAAAAGGUUGAACAUUUUUGUGUGCAUCUCAAGUUUCCCAAAUCCAUUGUUUUUCCAUCAUGGUUGAACAAAUUAUAUUGAUGGAUUAAUCGUGUGCCGAAGGAUGUGCCCAAUAAUUUUUUCUCUUAUUUCAUUUCGCCAUUGCUUCAAGAGUUCAUGUGUGCAUUGUCGGUGUCUAAACCGGCGGAUAUCGGGUAGGGGGUCCCGAACUGUGCGUCUAAGGCGGAUGGUAACAGGAGGCGGGGCACACGAUGUUUACCCAGGUUCGGGCCCUCUCGAUGGAGGUAAUACGCUACUUCCUGCUUGAUUGAUCUUGAUGAUAUGAGUAUUACAAGAGUUGAUCUACCACGAGAUCGUAGAGGCUAAACCCUAGAAGCUAGCCUAUGAUUAUGAUUGUUGUUGUCCUACGGACUAAGCCCUCCGGUUUAUAUAGACACCGGAGGGAGCUAGGGUUACACAGAGUCGGUUACAAGGGAGGAGAUCUACAUAUCCGAAUUGCCAAGCAUGCCUUCCACGCAAGGGAGAGUCCCAUCCGGACACGGGACGAAGUCUUCAAUGUUGUAUCUUCAAAGUCCAACAGUCCGGCCAAAGUAUAUAGUCCGGCUGUCCGAGGACCCCCUAAUCCAGGACUCCCUUAGUAGCCCCUGAACCAGGCUUCAAUGAUGAUGAGCCCGGCGCGCAGAUUGUCUUCGGCAUUGCAAGGCGGGUUCCUCGGGUUCCUCCUCCGAAUACUCCAUAGAAGAUUUUGAACACAAGGAUCGUGUCCGGCUCUGCAAAACAAAUUCCACAUACCACCGUAGGGAGUACAAUAUUCCACAAAUCUAAUCUGCUGACAAGUUUUAUAGCGUGACAUCACGCCACGGCCCGGUCAUUAUUCGAACCGUUUUUCCCAACCAGCUACUGCACAUAUUGCGAGGCGGUUUUCUUGGCACGUCUUGUCGAAGCAGAGAUCGUGUCCCCUUAUCACGGGAUUCUCAUCAAUACGGGUGUGGGUAACCCAACCGUGGCAUUAAUUACGGCGCUUGGGGAAUAAGCGGGUUUACCAGGCAAGUGGGGAGGCGCGCAGUUUCUACUGCCUUUAUAAAGGGACAAGGACUCCUCUUUUUCUCCCACGCCUUCUUCUUCCUUGCCCAUCCAUUCCCACGCACUCGAGCUCCAGCGCCCAAGUUCGCAUUUUCUCCACAAAACCACUCCAAACAUGUCUGGAGCGGGAGGUAAAUGGAUGGUCUCCUCCGUUAUGGAGGAGGACAUUACGAAGCUCCGGGGAGCCGGAUACCUGGCCGCAGACAUCGCGCACCGGCUCCCAGACGCAGGGCAGAUCGUCCCUACUCCAGAACCCCAUGAGAGGGUGGUAUUUCUUACCCACUUCGUCCGCGGACUGGGAUUUCCCCUACACCCGUUUGUCCGCGGGCUCAUGUUUUACUAUGGGCUGGACUUCCAUGAUCUGGCUCCUAACUUCAUCCUCAACAUCUCGGCGUUUAUCGUCGUGUGCGAGGCCUUCCUUCGCAUCAAGCCCCACUUCGGCCUAUGGCUGAAGACCUUCAACGUGAAGCCAAAGGUGGUAGUUGGUCAGCAGGCGGAUUGCGGAGGCGCCAUGGUGGACAAAAUGCCCAACGUCACCUAGCUCGAAGGCUCCUAUGUGGAGACCGUGAAGGGGUGGUAAUCGGGGUGGUUCUACAUCACCGAGAUGCGCGACACCAACUGGGUGGCGGCCCCCGAAUUUCGAUCCGGCAUCCCCAUGCGGCUCACCUCCUGGAAAGAGAAGGGCCUAUCCUGGGGCUCGUCGGUGGAGCUGACCGGACUCCAGAAAUGUAUCAAAAACAUGAUGAGCAAGACAACCAAGCUCGUCAACAUGGUCCAGGUCAUGCUCUCCCGUGUCAAAGAUGGGCAUUCAAUAUGUGGGAGUUUGACCCGGCCGAGCACCAGACGCUGCGAGAGCUCUUCCACAUGACGCACAAAGACGUCUGGAAGGUGCUGUUCAAGGGCGUCGAGGUGCCUCCCCCCCCUUACCGAGGAUCGCGGACUCAGCGCAAAGCGCCCUGCCAAUCUGGUAAGUCUUUUACAUCUCACAAGAUGUUCUUUUUCCCUAGUAAAAUCAUGUGGGGGAUCUGAGCUUCCCCGCCAUUUUAACAGGACUGGGUAGCGACAGCGGAGCAGAUCGAUUGUCCAGCCCCCUGCCCAAAGAUCCAGCAGAUGCUCUCCUAACGGAGAUGCUGGUUCCAGCGUCUUAUGAGGCGCCGGAGAAGAAGGCCAAGAAGAAGGCCACGGGGACCAGGAAAGGUCUCCGGCGCAAGGUUAUAUCGGACUCAUUGUCCAAAAACACCGAGGCGCACUCCUCCCAUGAAAACGAGGAGGAGGAAGAGGAAAGUCCACCUCCCCCGGCCCGGGGGACAGGAAAAGGAAGGCCGCCCCAUCAGGGGAGGCCAAAGGGUCCAAGGCCGAAGUGGCGGCCCUGAAGAAGGCGUUGUCCGAGGCCGAAGACAAAGCGGCCAAGGAGCGCACUGAGCGCGAGAGGUACGAGGCCCGAGUUGGCGAGGUUCAGCAAGAGCUCCAGGAUUUCGUCAAGAAAUACGAGCCCUUGGAGCGUGACUCUAAGACGCAAGGGUCCAAGCUUGCGAAGGCCCUCGAGAACGCACAAAAUGCCAAGGCCGAAGCCCAAAAGGCCCUCCAGGAGAUUCAGGCGGUUAAGAAGAUAGCGGCGGGUAAGGCAUUCAUUAUGCAAAGCAAGCAUGUGAAGGAAACUUUCCUUUUACUUACCCGAGUUCGGAGCUCUCCAGGAGCGUUCGUAGAUCUACACCGCAGUGUGUCGGAUGCCGCGGAAUUCUACCGGGCCGAGGAUGGGAGCUCGACGGAGAAGUUGUUCUAGUCUCAGUACACUGGGACCGAACAUCCGAUGCCCUUGAGCGACCAGUUGAAGCAACUGGUCGAAUUUCACAAGGCGGCCGAAGAGGCCAUGAAGGGCCUCAUGGUCCGGAUGUGGCCUGGCGAGCCCCUGCCUGGCAGCUACUUUGGGCUGGUAAGGCGGCUUGUGAAUGCCUGCCCACGGCUUGAAGUCAUCAAGCGGUCCGUCUGCAUUGAGGGUGCGCGCAGGGCCUUUGCCUGGGCGAAAGUGCACCGGGCGAAGAUGGACGCCGAAAAGCUGGUGAAGGAGGGGCCGCCGGAUGGCAAGGAGCAUCGCCACCCCGAGAAGUAUUAUGAUAGUGUCCUGAAGGGUGCUCGCCUUGUGGCAGAGGAAUGUGCUAAGGAUGUAAUAUUUGAAUGAAUGUACUCAUGUGAUCCUGUAAUAUGAAAUGAGUUCAUCUACGCUAUGAACGCUUGUUAAUUUAAAAUAUUACCUUCUGUGCGACCGUUUAUAAAAUCUGAGAGUUGGCCAGUCGUCGGCUUUUGCCCCCCUGUAGCUAGUACUAGGGUGUUCGGGAUAAACCUGAUCACUCUUUAUCCCAAUUUUUGGGUCCUUCGAAGGAGGUGUUCAGCACAACGAACUAGGCAAUCGGACUAUAAUGCUUUAUCACUCUCACUUAGCCAUAGAAGUCUACAAUUUUAAAUUUUGGCGAAGCCCCUAGUAUUCGGAAGGCCGAAUUUGGGGCGCUAUAUACGCCUAAAUCGGACAAGGCCGACUCCUCCCCCGAAGCGGAAAAAAUCUUUAAGGAUUUGAGACCUCUCGAACAGCGACCAGCUCUCGCCGCAUCAUGGCAGUCAGUUUUCGGCUUUCUCUACUGAGGUGCUCAUCCGGAAGAACCGGGACACAAUCGCAGUAGUUCUCCCAGUGCUACCUUAGCCAAUAUAGCGGAAUGUAAGGUACCAAAACAUGGGAGCCGGGCAAACCCAACUAUUGACCCAAGACAUGAUUCGGAGCUGAUGCAUAUAAUGUUAUAAGUUCGGGGUGCCGCACUGUCGAAAGUGUUCGGACUUUUCGUGCCGUGUUAUGGGGUACACUGAAGCCCCUGGCGCGAUGGUCGUACCAGAAUGUACGAGUGCCACUUGUCGUAAAUAAGCAGACAAGGAAAAAAAUAAAUGCAAUAAUAGGUUAACGCUAUACAUUGUUAUUUAAAUAAUACGUCAAAGCAUACGUAUACAAAUAGUGCAAUAAGCAAAAAAUUGGACUAUUCGACAUGUUCUAUCCAAGGGCAAGCAGCGUAUGGGUAUGUAAAAACAGUACAUCGAUCGUUUAUCAGAGACCACCUGGGAAUUCCGUUGUAUAUCAGAGCUUCUUGUUUCCUUGGUAUUUCCUUCCCGUAAGGGGUCCGACGAUCAGACUGCCGGAAAGGGCUUCCAGAGAAUAAGGUCCUGAAAGAGAGAAAAUGAUAAAGCUAUACGGUCCCUAGGGUGGUUGAGCCGCAUUGUGGGUCGUGCCAUAGCCGUGCCUCCGCCUAUGCCCAUGGUAUCUUGAGUGCGUAGUUAUGUACGCGCUACACAAAUUUCGCCGCUUGACUGGGACUAUGACGGAGGCCGAAUUGCUACCCGAGCUCUGAACGUGCCUGGAGAUCCUGUUGCAGGUUACUUCGGACUCGCUUGAAGGUGUCCGGGUUCCUUUUUUCCUAAUUGGUGGUUGGCCUCAGAAGGCUGCUUUGUGCUUCCGCUGCGAGGGCUGCAGUGUGCUCCUCCGUGCGGAGCGAGCGUUCUGUGUUUCCAUUAACUGUUAUAACUCCGCGAGGUCCUGGCAUUUUGAGCUUGAGGUAUGCAUAAUGCGGUACCGCAUUGAAUCUAGCAAAUGCGUUUCAUCCGAGUAGUGCGUGAUAGCCACUGCGGAAGGGGACGAUAUCGAAGAUUAACUCCUCGCUUCGGAAGUUGUCCGGAGAUCCGAAGACCACUUCCAGUGUGAUUGAGCCCGUGCAACAGGCCUCUACACCUGGUAUGACACCCUUGAAGGUGGUUUUUGUGGGUUUGAUCUGAUCCUCGAGGGGUCUAUACCCAUUUUGCGCACUGUAUCCUGAUAGAGCAGGUUCAGGCUGCUGCCACAGUCCAUAAGGACUCGAGUGAGGUGAAAUCCGUCAAUGAUGGGAUCAAGAACCAAUGCGGCAGAACCGCCAUGACGGAUACUAGUGGGGUGGUCCCUGUGAUCGAAAGUGAUCGGACAAGAAGACCACGGGUUGAACUUUGGGGCGACUGGCUCCAUCGCAUAGACGUCCCUUAGUGCACGAUUCCGUUCCCUCUUGGGAAUAUGCGUUGCGUAUAUCAUGUUCACCGUUUUCACUUGGGGAGGAAAUUUCCUCUAUCCUCCUGUGAUUGGCGGCCGGGGCUCCUCCUCAUCGUCGCUAUGCAGCCCUUUUCCUUGUUUUCAGUAUUCAACUUGCCGGCCUGUUUGAACACCCAACAUUCUCUGUUGGUGUGGUUGGCUGGCUUAUCGGGGGUGCCAUGAAUUUGACACGAGCGAUUGAGUAUGCGGUCCAAACUGGACGGGCCCGGAUUGCUUCUUUUGAACGCCUUUUUCCGCUGACCGGAUUUAGAGCCACUGAAUCCGGCAUUGACUGCCGUGUCUUUGGCGUUGUCGCUGUUGUUGCGGCGCUUGUGUCUGUUGCGACAUGGUCUGUCGUUACUAUCUUUGCCAUCCGAAUUGCCAUGAUUUCUUGAUGUGUUGUUGCUGCGAGCCAGCCAGCUGUCUUCGCCCGCGCAAAAGCGGGUCAUGAGUGUCGUGAGGGCUGCCAUGGACUUUGGCUUCUCUUGGCCGAGGUGUCGGGCGAGCCACUCGUCACGGAUAUUAUGCUUGAAUUCCGCUAAGGCCUCGGCAUCCGGACAGUCGACAAUUUGGUUCUUUUUAGUUAGGAACCGAGUCCAGAAUUUCCUGGCCGAUUCCCAUGGCUGUUGGGUUAUGUGGCUCAAGUCAUCAGCAUCCGGUGGUCGCACAUAAGUGCCCUGGAAGUUGUCAAGGAAUGCAUCUUCCAAGUUCUCCCAACUACCAAUGGAGUUUGCUGGCAAGCUAUUCAGCCAAUGCCGAGCUGGUCCUUUGAGUUUUAGUGGGAGGUACUUGAUGGCAUGUAGAUCAUCACCGCGGGCCAUGUGGAUGUGGAGGAGGAAAUCCUCGAUCCGUACCGCGGGGUCUAUUGUACCAUCAUAUGACUCAAUGUUCACGGGUUUAAAUCCUUCUAGGAAUUCGUGAUCCAUCACUUCAUCAGUGAAACAUAGGGGGUGUGCGGUGCCUCUGUGCCGGGCUAUGUCACGACGCAGUUCAUACAAGUCUUGUCUGUUGUAUUCGGCCCGGCCGGAUUUGCUUUUAUUGUAUCCGGCGUGAUGAUCAUCGUCACGCGUUGGGGCUCGCCCCCGUGAUCUGUAGAUCGAUCUUUUAUGUCCUGCUUUGUUUUCCAAUACGUCUCGCAGGUCCUGGGUGUUUUUGUUUGACUGGCGACGGGGUGCGGGCUGGACUUUGGGCUGAUAUGCCACUCUGUCUCGGCCACGAGGUGGCCGAUCAGCCGCAUCAUAUGCUGGUAAUGUAGGUUUUAGUGCUUCCUCCUCGAGUUGGGGUAGCAACCUGCGCUUUGGGUAACUCUUGGUAGGGCGUUCGAGUUCGUAUUCCUCGGCCGCCAGGACCUCAGUCCAUCUAUCUGCUAGCAGGUCUUGGUCAGUUUGAAGCUGCUGCUACUUUUUCUUCAGGCUUUUUGCUGUGGCUAUAAGCCGGCACUUAAAGCGCUCCAGUUCGACGGGAUCCUCGGGCACGAUAAAUUCUUCGUCGCUGAGGCUCACCUCGUCUUCGGAGAGGGGCAUGUAAUUGUCAUCCUCAGAUUUUCCGCCAGCUGCCUGCUCCUUAGGGCUAGCUUGCCCGUCCUCCUGCUCGAAACCUGGCUGGAGGGGAUUGUUGUCUUCGGCAUUAUCUGUGGCGUUAUUGUCUCUUGUGCUGGUAUCGCUGCUUUUGCUAUGGCGGGGCUUAGAGCGGCGCCGCUGACGCCGGUGCUUGGGUUGCUUCUCGGAGGGAUUGUCCUCCGUUGCCUUAUCGCCAUCGCCUUCUUUGGGGGUGUCCACCAUGUAUAUAUCAUACGAUGAGGUGGCAGUCCAGCGCCCUGUGGGCGGUGGUUCCUAUUCGUCUCCUGCAUCGUCGUCCAGACCGGUGAUGUCUUCAGAGCCGAAAUCAAGCAUGUCGGUUAAGUCGUCGACAGUGGCUAUUAAGUGGGUGGUGGGUGGGGAACAAAUUUCUUCGUCGUCCGCAUCCCACUCAAGCCGGACAUAGUUCGGCCGAGGGUCUCCUGACAAGGAGAGAGACCUCAAUGAAUUUAGCACGUUGCCCAGGGGCGAGUGCUGAAAUAUAUCCACGGAGGAAAACUCCAUGAUCGGUGCCCAAUCAAAUUCGAUAGGCACGGACGCAGGCGGUUCAGAGCCCGUGGCUGGGGACGAAUCCAAGUGUCUAGCAACACGGGUCUCAUAGGAGGUGAAGUCAGCAUUCGGCUCUCUCGCCGCUGAGUGCGCGGCCUCCGUGACGGGGUCUAUCCACCCAUCCUCGGACGGCACGAUCUGCUCCAGAUUGAGGGCCGGAGUAGCCGCAGGUGUGAUUUCCCGAACACUGUCCGACGGCAGAGCUAAGUCAUGCUCAUCGUGACUGUGCGGCGCACCUGACACGGGCUCGAAUCCGACGAAGAUCAAGUCUCCGUGGAUGUCGGCGGUAUAGUUCAAACUUCCAAACCUGACCUGAUGGCCAGCGGCGUAGUUCUCGAUCUACUCCAGAUGGCCAAGCGAGUUGGCCCGCAGUACGAAGCCGCCAAAUACGAAGAUUUGUCCGGGGAGGAAAACCUCACCCUGGAUCGCAUCGUUACCGAUGAUUGAAGGGGCCAUCGAGCCUUUAUCGCGACGGCACAGUGGAACUCUCAAUGAAAGCACCAAUGUCGGUGUGAAAACCGGCGGAUCUCGGGUAGGGGGUCCCGAACUGUGCGUCUAAGGCGGAUGGUAACAGGAGGCGGGGGACACGAUGUUUACCCAGGUUCGGGCCCUCUCGAUGGAGGUAAUACCCUACUUCCUGCUUGAUUGAUCUUGAUGAUAUGAGUAUUACAAGAGUUGAUCUACCACGAGAUCAUAGAGGCUAAACCCUAGAAGCUAGCCUAUGAUUAUGAUUGUUGUUGUCCUAUGGACUAAACCCUCCGGUUUAUAUAGACACCGGAGGGAGCUAGGGUUACACAGAGUCGGUUACAAGGGAGGAGAUCUACAUAUCCGAAUUGCCAAGCUGCCUUCCACGCAAAGGAGAGUCCCAUCCGGACACGGGACGAAGUCUUCAAUCUUGUAUCUUCAUAGUCCAACAGUCCGGCCAAAGUAUAUAGUCCGGCUGUCCGAGGACCCCCUAAUCCAGGACUCCCUCAUGCAUACCUCGGGGUGCAUCAAAAUGGAAGAUCCUUUUUGUUUACCACAUUGAGUACCUGAAUGCCUUUCUGAAAAUCAAUCUUCACACACGCACAUUGUGUAGUGGUACUCCAUGUCCUCCAUAAUUGCUCUUGGAUCUCAAUCUCCCAUCGUUGCAAGAGGGCUGAUAGGUAUGCCUUUUGCACCUGCACAUAUUUCAAAGACAGAGAAUUUUGUGAAAGGUUAGUUAUUGAAUGUUCCUCUCUUUUCAUUUGGUGGACUACUAAUUUCCCAUGGUGGUGGAUCGCUAAUCUUGCUAUUAUCUUGUUGAGAAAUAUCAACCUCACAUUUAGUGGACUCACACAACUCAUUAAUCCUCUCUCCCUGAAUGUGUGGUAUAUCUUGGUGGGGAUCUUGCACUUCUCUAAUCUCAUGAUGAAUAAUCUGAUCCUCGCAUUUUGUGACUCACUCACCUCACAUUUCUUAUCACACUCAAUAUAUGGAAUUGUGGAAAGUGGACACUCUUCCUCACAUUUGGUGGAGUCACUCAACUCAUUUUUCUUUUCACUCUCAAGUGGUGGGAUUUUUGAAAGUGGACGCUCUUCCUCAGUUUUGGUGGAGUCACUCAACUUUCUUUUCUUAUCUCUCUCAAGUUGUGGGAUUUUGGAUUGUGAACUCUCUUCCUCACAUGAAAUUUGUGGCGCAUGUUUCCUGGAUGUUGGGACAAUAAUGGUGGUCAAGAUGGGAACAUUAGAAAUGAACUUCUUAUGUAAACAUGGGCUAUGAAUCACUAGAGUCGGUUCGUCAACCACGGUAAUACUUUAUGGUGGGUCGUCGGUGUGCCGACGGGUGACGUAACUUUGCUAUCGGCCAUAACGUCCUUGCUGUGAUUCAUGAGCAGCAACGACAUGCCUAGGGGGCAGGAGUAGCUUGCCCUCAAGCAUGUCGUCCUUGCCGCAUUUCAGGAGCAGCAGCAGCACACCAACGACCAGUAGCGACACCAUGCCCUGCAUGUGUUCUUUGCUGCACCUCAUGAGUAGCAGGGUAUUGUCGGUAUUGAACCCUAUCGCCACCUGCUAGAGGACGCUCGUGAAGUAUCCUCUCCAUGGCUCGGAGUAUGUUGUUCUCGAGUUGCUGCACAUCAACGCGGGUGGCCAAACAAUUUUCUCCUCCAUGAUUCUUUUGACGCGUACUUGGUGUAGAUCCUGCCAUGUUAGUGGGGCUACAAAAGUGGAAUAGGAUAACUUUUGUGGAAUCACACAACCUCACCUCUUACUCACCAAAGUUCUUAUGAGUUCACAUCAGAUUGUGCUUUUCCUGGAUGUGUUAAAGCGAUUGAAAGACAAGGAUCAAAGAACUAGCUUCGGUUUUUGGUGGAGCUCGGUGGGGUAAAAAAGGGGUUUGUGCUAAAAUCAAGUUGAUGCAAACCAAGAAAAUAUGGGGAUAGAUCUGCCUCACCUUUGCACCAAGAUUGAAAAACACACAACACACAAGGUUUUGAAAUUUUUCUACCGCUGAAACUUCUGGAUCUUACACAACACUUUCUUUUUCUCUCUUGACUUUUUUGCCACUCUUUUUCUUCCUUUCUUAAAAUUUUUUGCCACCCUUUUUUUCACUCUUUUUCCAAAGCACAACAACCAAACUAAAAACAAUUACGAAGAUGAACUUGGUGCAGAUCUAAAAGUUGAAGAACAUGCAAGGUAUGCAAAAAGAAGAUCUCAGGACCAACAAGGCUUGGAUUUAUUUUUGGUGGGGCUUUGUACUUCUAGGACAGAAAAUAUAGCAUGAAAAACACUCGAUCCAAAGGGAUGAUAGCAAGAUAAACUUGGAUAACAAAUCCUACCAUGUCAACGAAAGCUCUGAUGCCAGAUGAUAGGUGGGAACCCAAUGAACGAAUUCACGCCCGAGGGGGGCCCGAUCUUCACGUUGUAGGAUCGAAUCAGGAGGGAUAACUACCAGCAAGCAUCCAGGAUAACUAGCUUUAUACCUGCCAAGGUUGGAUGCAACCCGUACGUUGGGAAUGGCUGACCGAAGCUACAAGAACUCCAACCCGAUGUCCGAACAAUCGCAGAACCACAAACAUGGACUAACCCACACAAAACGGACGGAACCGAGGCUCCUUCUCGCGAAUCUGGAUGAAUUCACAAGAGCAAAGGUAGCAAGGAUCUCUCGGAUCUCUCUAGCAGUCUUGCUGCAUAAGCCUAUAGCUGAAUGGUUUGACAAAAGGUUCUUUCUAGAGGAUGUGGGAGGUGGGGUUUUAUAGUAGGGACAACCCCCCUUAGCUAGGUGUGAAAAUGGUUUCAAAAGUAAAUAGGUUUGGAUGGCUUCCUUGGGGGAAUAAGCAGUCAACUUUGGGAGUUGUUGGAGAGCCCCUGAGAAACUCGAAGCCUUGACAGCCUGGACACCUUCCACGAGAUUGGCUAGAACUUUUGACUCACAACUCCAAAUGAUGUGAUGUUUUUUGCAUUGGGAAUAUAAUUUGAUGUAGCUUGUGGUAAUGUACCCCUAUGGCCCUAUCUCUCCACCACAUGGGUGUGGCACAACAAGACAUCAGAGGUAAAAAACUGAUAGCAUCAGCUUCACUUGAAACUUGUUAUCUCCAAACUUGUUCCUCCAAACCGGUUGCUUCAAGAGCUCAUAGAUUAUUGGAUUUCUUCCAUGUGAUACCUAAGUUCAACCAACAACAAUGGAUAUGAAAUUGCAGCCAUGUAUUCAAGAUUAUAGUAUGAACUUAAGUUAGCGUUCACCUGGGCAUGUGUUUGCAUGAUUCGGCUUAGUAAUUCUUUCUACCUAAAUUUUGCACAUUUCUAAAAAGUCGUGUAUGAUGUACCCAUGUGCUAAUCAUCCUCCCUCCCUUGAUGAAGUGUCGUCCUUGAAUCUCGUUGAUCUACAAAAUAUAAGUAGAAGGGAAGUAGAUAAUAUUCAUGCAAAGUAAUAAUGCAAUCCUCAUUUGUAGCUUUCACCUUAGAAUUGUGUUGCAUCUGAUCAUGCAUUUGUUUAUCACACUUGAAGUUUGUCCAGGGAUGAUCGAUGUUGUUUCAUUAAUUGAGAUGUCCUCAUCAUCCCCCCUCUCUUGAAAAAGAGUCAUCAUCGACUCUACCUGGUCAUCACACAAAGGAAAGCAGGGCAAUACCAACUCAUAAUGCAAAGGUUUCAUGAUAUAGAGAUUUUUAGUUUUCAAGUUUGGUAUCUUAUGGAUGAUGCCAACAUGAUAUUUUGUUUGACUUAGGAGUUCCUUCCAGCAAACAUUUCCAUGGCGCACAAAUUUAUAACCAACCAUGAGCAUGUCCAUAUCAUCCUCCUUCUCUUGGAGAAAAGUCAUCCUCAACUUUACUCGGUCUACAAAACUAUAGCACAAGGACACUAGAAAAUAACUAGGGAAAGAAAAAGUUGAACAUUUUUGUGUAGAUCUCAAGUUUCCCAAAUCCAUUGUUUUUCCAUCAUGGUUGAACAAAUUAUAUUGAUGGAUUGAUGGUGUGCUGAAGGAUGUGCCCAAUAAAUUUUCUCUUAUUUCAUUUUUCCAUUGUUUCAAGAGUUCAUAUGUGCAUACCUCGGGGUGCAUCAAAAUGGAAGAUCCUUUUUGGUUUACCUCAUUGAGUACUUGAAUGCCUUUCCGAAAUCAAUCUUCACAGACGCACCUUGUGUAGUGGUACUCCAUGUCCUCCAUAUUUGUUCUUGGAUCUCAAUCUCCCAUCAUUGCAAGAUGGCUGAUAGGUAUGCCUUUUGCACCUGCACAUAUUUCAAAGACAGAGAAUUUUGUGAAAGGUUAGUUACUGAAUGUUCCUCUCUCUUUUCAUUUGGUGGACUACUAAUUUCCCAUGGUGGUGGAUUAGUCAUCUCACUAUUAUCUUGUUGAAAAAUAUCAACCUCACAUUUAGUGGACUCACACAACACAGUAAUCCUCUCUCCCUGAAUGUGUGGUAUAUCUAGGUGGGGACCUUGCAUUUCUCUAAUCUCAUGAUGAACAAUCUGAUCCUCACAUUUUGUGGACUCACUCACCUCACUUUUCUUAUCACCCUCAAUAUAUGGAAUUGUGGAAAGUGGACACUCCUCCUCACAUUUGGUGGAUUCACUCAACUCAUUUUUCUUUUCAGUCUCAAGUGGUGGGAUUUUUGAAAGUGGACACUCUUCCUCACUUCUGGUGGAGUCACUCAGCUUGCUUUUCUUAUCACUCUCAAGUUGUGGGAUUUUGGAUUGUGAACUCUCUUCUUCACAUGGAAUUUGUGGCACAUGUUUCCUAGAUGUUGGGACAAUAGUGGUGGUCAAGAUGGGAACAUUAGGAAUGAACUUCUCAUGUAAACAUGGUCUAUGAAUCACCGGAGUCGGUUCAUCAACCACGGUGAGCAACUACAUGUCGUUCUGAAUAUGAAAUACAUGAACAUUCGUAGUUCCAAGCAAACUUGGAAUCUUGGAUGUACUCCACUUUACACUAGGUUAUUUAUGCUUUUGCAGUCAAUGGGAGGUGAGUGUGGGUUGAUUAAAGAAAAUGGUAGGGGGUUUUCUGCAAAAGUGCGUGCGCUGACCAGUCCAGCCACCUGGCUGCCAAUUGUCGAGCUGUGAUUGGCCUGGGACUAAAUCAUCACAUGAGGUGCAAGUUGGGGUAUGGUGAAGUAAAGUUUUGCAAGUUUGGGACUAAAUCAUCACAUUCUGUGCAAGUUAGGGUACCUGGGGUGCUAUUACCUCCCGUGAGCCAGAUGGCGUCAGAUGAGGAGUUUGACUCUUGAGAGAUAGCGACGACAUCAGGAUCCAUGACACGCAAAGUUGUUUUUACCAGAGCCGGCAACUAGCUGUGAUUGACCAACCAAUAGAAUCCUGCCAACUCAAAACCUGUCGUUUGUUGUAUCUCUGUAUUUCACCGUUUUCUUCAUUGAAGCCACUGUAUUUAAAUAGCUGGAGCCCACCCACAUGAUUUUAGCCAUGCCACUCGCUUUAAUCAUACGAUUGGGACAGAGGCAAGUCUCCCAUUUCACACACGUACAGGCAUGCAUUUAAAAGGAUCAACCUCUCAAUUUAACUGGUUUGAAAUCCUGCCAAAAAAUUGAUACACAUAUCAAUUUCUGUUUCGCAUUUUAAACUUCCAGUUUUAUUAACUUUAAUACACAUAUCAAUUUCUGUUUCAGUAAAUUUAACAAUGCUGAUUUGAAUUCUUUCUAUCACAUAUUUCAAUUAUUUCAACAAACUAAUUUCACUCAUUUUAGAAAAUAAUUUCAAUAGUUUCAGUAAAACUCAUUAUUUAAAAAAUGAGUGACUACAGAAACAACAACAAAAAAAUCAAUCUUUUUAUAUUUCAAUCAUGAUUUCUGUUAUACCAAUUACACAUAUAAGAAAAAAUUGACACAAACAAUUUCAAUUUAUAUUACCAUAACUUGUUCAAUACAAAUCACACUGAUAUAACAAAUUACACAUAUAAGAAAUACUAAUUUCAUAUAUUUCAGACAAGUAAUUUCAUAUAUUGUCACAAAUAAGUUGAACUGAUUAUUCAAAUGGGUGACAUAAACAAUUUCAAUUUCUUAGAAAAAAGGUGAUUUUAGCUACUCCAAAUUCAUUUGUACUCAAAAAGAGUGAAAUCCAUUGUAGCUAAUGUGACACAAACAAUUUCAAUUUAUAUCUCGACAACUUUUGCAAUACAUAUCACACUGAAAUAACAAAACACACACUUAGAAAAUACCGAUUUCAAAUAUUUCAGACAAGUAAUUUCAUAAUUUUUUAAUUUUAAUAAGAGAAAUAUUUCAUACACAUACCAGUUUCACUAUUUUUUCACUUCUAAAUGAACGAAGUAUAUUUCUGUUAUUCGUUUAUCUUAUUGCACAAAAGAGUGAAACUCAUUAUUUCAAAGUACUGACAUAAACCAUUUCAAAAAAAAAUGAACCCCCAAGUUCUCAUUCACAUAAUGAAGAGACAACAGUUUCAUAAAGAGAAACAUGCAUUCCAAUUUCUGAAAAAAAUGCAUUUCAACAAAAAAAUACUUUCCAAUUACAAUUCUGUUUCACAUCACGAAUGUUAGUUUCACAAAUCCGCAUUUCACAUCAGAUAUAGCAGUUUGACAUAUCUACAUAUCUAUUUCGAUUUCGGUACAACAAUAUCACAUAUAUCACACAAUCUGCUAUAGAUCUUCCCAUCGAUUUCAAUUAGACACCUUCAUUUCCAUCAAAUAUAAAAGUUCAAUAUAUCACACAAGCAGGGGAGUUGUCCAUCUAGUGAGGAAGCAAGGGGGGAUCUCAAAACAUGUACCAUAAAACAAAAAUCAGGAAGUAAACACAGAGAUAAAGAUAUUAGGGGAGUUGUGCUUACUCGGGGGUGGACGCAUAUGGUCGUGGGCUUCAUGACUCACCAGAUCCGGUGGCGGUCAUUCUUGGAUUCGCCGGAUCCGGUGACGACCCUGCUCAUCGAACCGUCGUGCUAGGUGGAUGCUGUGGAGGAAUAACAACGGAG